UUUUCCUCAACAGAAAUCAUGUUGAUUAUUUGUAGCAAAACACGCUCGAGCCCUUCACCAUCACUCCAUUCAUGAAUCUCCGCCUUGAUGAGCAAAGGGUUCCCGCAAAUUAAAUCCCAGACUGGAAAAUUCUUCCUGGGCAUCAUAUAGUCUGCUUUUCCAAGCCUUAGACUUGGGCAGUAAUCACCGGUACCAUCUCCAAGGUAGAUGAUUUUUUUCCUCCCCUCUAAAGAAGCUUGAAUCCUUUCAAUGAUCAUCCCCUGUUACACAAAGCAGAAGCCAAAAUUAAAAUUGUUGACAUCUUGUUUCAUGAUUGUCAUUAAAUUUAUAUGAUUGUUGACCCAUGUCAAGGUCUUGGGUUUGUUUAUGACCUUACAUGAGCCAUUACUUUAAUAGAUUAAGUGGGGUCAAGAAAAGAAGUUGACAUAUCUAAAAUGAAAAUAGAUUUAAAAAAUAAAGAGAUAAAUAAAAACUCCAAGCAAGUUGGACGAAUUUGACUCUGUACAUGUGGAAUACCAUCAAGUAAUAAAAUUUUCUAGAAAUUUUCACUUAAUAUGAAAAAUCUAGGUCUUCCUACAAAAGUUUGGUGUCUUGAUUUAAAAUAUUUACAAUUGUGAUAUUCAUGAAAUUAAAUCUCAUGUUACUGAUGAAAAACAUAUGAUACCUUGCACAAAUUUGGGGGGCAGAUGUUGCAGCCAUGAGAACUCUUGGUGAAAUCAUGAUAAGGAAUGAUCCUCAGCCUCCCUUCUUCAUCAACAAAGCCGGGGUUGGUAUUGAUCUCUGAGAAAUAUUCCCUCAAUCCAAGAUGCUCCAGCAUUGUCUCAACGAAGAACAUGUUUGCAUCACUCACAAUCCUGAGUUCACACCUGAAAAAAUAUUCAAACCAAUUUGAUCACCCUAUAUUUCUAUUGCUUCAAACUGUAGUUUUUAUAGUCACAGGUCAAACACCAAGAGGAGAAGCAUAGAAAUAACGGAGUACCCUAAAGAAUGAGCUGAUUUAAUAGCGGGCACGAUCCUAGGAUGGAUAGGAGCUCGUUUCAGAACCUCAGCAAUGUCAUCAAUGGUUUUUUCUUGGGCAUGAAGCUCCUUCAUCAUCCUGUCCUGUAAUUUUAUUCCACAAACACUGAGUUUCAUUUUUUAUAAAUGUAAAGCCAACAGAAAGAGAAAUUGCAGAGGGCUUAAUAUGGGUUACCAUGAGAGAAUUCCAGGGCAUGAUAGGAAGAAGCUGGUUGAACAAGUCGGUGAAACCCAAGUCAUCGACAACCCAGUUAUCACUAUCACAGUCGAUGAUGGUUUUGUCAAAAUCAAAAACCACAACAGUUCCAGCCAUCUCUCUGAAUGAAAAUCAAACAAAAUACAAAACAAGAUUGGAAAAACUCAGCAACACUUUGAAUGUUUUCUUGUUGGUAUAGCAGCGUAACAGGGGAUGGGUAUUUAUAUGCAAACAAUGGAUUUUAUUUUAUGCCAAAGGAAUAUUACGUGAAGGGAUUAUUAGGUGUAAGUAGGAAGCAAUAAGUAGGACACAAGAAGCCCUUUUUCCUGCAAGCUUCCUACGCAACACAUACUAAUCUGAUACAACUGCUUGUAAAUUAUUACUCCGGUAUAAGCAAUAUUUACCGUUUGAUGGAUGACUUUUGAACCAUGUGAUUAAUCAAGUUUAGUCAGCGGAUCAGGGGGAAAAAGGUGUAGGUUAAUUAUGAAAGGGAUUAGGUUUAAGGCUUAAGGUUUGUCAAACUCCUCUCCAUUACUCCAUUCGCAUACUUGUGCCUUUACUAGCCUCCUGUUUUUUUGCAAAUCAAUUCCCAAACUGGGAAAUUCUUCCUUGUCAUUACAUAGUCCCCAUCUCCCUUCUUCAAACUUGGACAGAAAUCGCCAAGCUCAUCACCGAGGUAGAUUAUUGUUUUCUUCUCCUCCACGGGCAUGAGAGAGACUUGGAUCCUUCCAAUCAUAAUACCCUAUUAAGAAAGAAUUCAAUCAUUAGUCAGUUGGAUGGGAAGAAAAUGAAGAUAACUUAAAAAUAAUUAUAGCAUAAAAUUAUAUAUCUUACAGCUAAUCAUGCUUUGGAUUCAUUACGUUUACUAAACAUUAGAAUUCAGUGGCGGAUGCAUAUGGUAUAGUCGGGUAUUCAUGUACACCUCCAAAGGUUGGAAAAUAAAAAUGUUUUCUUCGGACACCUUCAAAUUUUCUUUUUGAACAUAUCUUUCUUAAUUCCUUAUUCUUCAAUCCUUCAUUCACUGCCACUAUCUAAUAUCCAAUCACAUCUCACAGUUAGUUAAUGCCCAACACACCUCCAUAAAAAAAAUCUUGCAUCCGCUACUGUUAGAAUUCAGUAAUAUUUCACGCAUGAAUGCAUGAUUCAUGUUAAAAAUGAUAUACCUUGCACAUGUUUGGAGGGCAGGGAUGAUGAAAUCCAUGAGUAGAUUGAGUGAAAUCAUGGUUAGGCAAGAUCCAUAGCCUGCCUUCUUCAUUUACCAAACCUGGGUUGGUAUUGAUCUCUGAAAAGCAUUCCCUCAGGCCAUGAUGCUUCAAAAUUGUGUCGAUGAAGAACACGUUCGCAUAACAUACAAUCUUCAAAUCUCACCUGAAAUUAAUAAUGCCAUACUAGUAUUUUUUUUUUUCUAGCGAGAAAACCAGAAAGAAACUUUAAAUAUACAUGCCGGCCGGAUUGUAGUUGGCGGGAAGGAAACUCCUAAAGCUAAGAAAUGUUGCCAGAGAGCUUAUAAAGUGUAUGGUCUUGCGACGGAGGAAUAAUAUCACAGGCUGCAAUCCCUGAGAAUGCAACUGUGGCAUCUGCUCUCUCGACAAACGAUUGGAUGCAAUAUCUCACUUCUUCUCUACUGAUGAGGGAUAUGCAGCAGAUGUCGGCUGGUCUGAUCUUUACUGAACAAGAAGAUGUUGUUUGGCAGGCAUCAAAGUCUAGCAAGUUCUUACUUUCAAAUACAUGGGACUGGAUCAGGGAAAGGCAACCCACUGUGGUUUGCCAUAAACUGGUCUGGAUUCCUCUUCACUCACCAAACAUAGUUUUAUCACUUGGCUUAAGGUUCUUAGUAGAUUGAGCACAGUAGCUAAUAUUAGGAGUUGAUGUACUCAAAUGUCACUAGGGAUCAUCUUUUCCUUUCUUGUGACUUCUCAAAGCAAGUUUGGCAAUUAGUUUUAGCAAAAGUGAAGUGUGUUUUUUAUUGCAAUAUCCAAAAAUGACAGCAGGAGCUCGAUUGGAUUAUUAUAGGUGAAACUUUUUAGACUAUGAUUCUGAGAGGAGUGUGAACAAGUAUAAAUAUAUCACAUUUGGCAUGCGAGGAAUUCUCCAAAACUUGGUAUUUGUUCUCUAAACAUUGACAAAUACUUUGCUAGACAUUAGUUUUAAUGUAAAGUUUUGCCUCUUAAAAUUUGUAAAAAAUAUGAAUAAUCCAUCUAUUAGCUCUGUAUGUAAAAAUUGAGGGCCGGGAUUGUAUAGGCAAUGCUAAAGCUCAUUGUUUGAUUUGUUGACUGGUGGCCUCCUACUUCUUUGGAUCAAUGAAAUACCAUUUAUGAAAAAAAAAAAAACUAAAUAUACACGAACAGAGAGAAAAAUGUAUGCAUAGCGCAAAGCAUGAGCCGAUUUAAUGGCUUUGAUGAUUCGGGGAUGCAUCGCAGUUGUUUGUAUAACAGCUACAAUGUCAUCAAUUUUUAUUCCUUACGAAUGAAGUUUUUUCAUCAUUAGAUCCUGUUUUGUAAAUAAAAAAAUAAACCCUGGUUCUUACAUUUGGAAAAGAAGGAAAAAGAAAAACAUAAAUUAAAAGACUAACCAUAAGAGAGUUCCAAGGCAUGUAGGGACGAGUUGAUUGAACAACUAUGUAGCACGUCAGAGAUCUAAGACAUUUGAAAUUCAAGUUAAUUGAUUUAUGAAAUUAUUUUUAAGAGUUGAUAUCUAGAGACUUAAAUCUCAACAUUUACAAUCAUUUCUCAUAUUCUCAAAUGGACUCCUUAAUAAAAAAAAAUGUCUAUAAUAAGAAAUUAAUUAUGUUUAAUUUGUUUGAAUUGUCAAGCUACUUUAUUCUAAGUUUUAAAAUUUUUUACUUUUUUAAAAAUAUGUUUAGAUUUUAAGUUAUAUAAUCAGAAACAAGUAAUUUAUAAUCAUAUUUCACAUAAAAAUCAUUUCUAGUUUAUAAGAUUUAAAUUUAAAUUAUAAUUUCAAAUUCUUUCUAAAAAUUAGAUCAUGUAAAAUCAAGAUAUAUUUAAAUUUAUGCUUUAUUCUGAUUCUUAAUCUCUUUAUUAUUAGAAUAAUUAAUCUACAUAAGUAUCUACAUAUAUAUUCAUAUCCAUAAUGUGUUUCUAUAAAAGUGAGAAAAUUUCUCCUCAAGAAGAAUCAAAGCAUGUAAGGAAUAUUGAACCUUUGGAAUUUGCCUAGUACAAGCAGAUAGAGAAGCAUUUCUACAGAAGCUGUAUAACAUGAGUGGGGUUUAAAAGAAUAAAAAGUUAGACAAAUAAAUUAAAUAGGUUCGGGUUUUGUUUUAAUAAUUAUAUUUAUUUACGCUAUAGUCAAGUACGUGCAAAACAUUAGUUUAAAAUUUAAUUCAGUUAACUUAUAAAAUUAUUUUUAAAAAUUAGUAUUCAAUUAAAAUUUAAAUUUCAAUACAUGUGUUAUCUUCUUUUAUUCCAUGUAAUCUUUUCUAAUAAAAAAUUAAGUCAUGUAAAGUUUUUUGUUAAUUUUUUAUUAUUUGUUAAUCUACCUAUUCUACAGUAUAUGAUUAAUUUAAUAACCACCACUCCACUUAAUUAAUCUUAACCUUGCAAUUAAAGAAGUAAAACUUUUCCAUUGAUAGGAACUUAAGUAACUUCUUGGUCAUGGAAAUAGCAAUCUCCAUAUUGAAAUGUAAAUCAUGAAAUUAAAUCAUUAAUCCUACUACACAAUUCGUCCAAUAGAAACUAAUCUAAUUUGAACAUAUAUGUAAAUUUGAGUAUAUGUGCAAAAACAAUAGGCGGACGAUUCUUAAGUGAUGAAAAAUUUAGAUAAUUUGAAACUAAACUCUAGUAGGUCAUGUAUAUAGUUGUUUUCGGAGAAGGUAUUCAAUAAGUUUAAGGUUUAAAUCUCAACACUUUCUUUCAUUUCAAAAUUACGAUCUCUUUUGUAACAAAAAAAAAAACUAGAAAUAAUCUUUUAUUUGUAACUUUAAACUGGUGAAUUUAAAUAACAAUAAAAAAAGACAACAAAAGGAAGUUCAUUUGCUCCUCAAAUAAAAUGAUUUGAAAUAGCUAUCAGAUAUAUGGGAAGGUAUGAAUCGGUCUAGAUAGUUAGCCUUUUGUGAAAAGUAUGGUCAUAUUACACAUCUCCUUUCAAUGGUAGUUGAACAUUCCCUCAUCAGAGUAGCAGUGCAAUUAUGGGAUCCUUCAUAUAGUGCUUCAUCUUCAAUAAGGUUGACAUGACACCAACUAUAGAGGAGUAUUUUACAUUGAUGAGUUUGCAUCUCCAAUUACUAGAUAAGAUAUAUGUUAGAAGGCAAAAAUCAACAUUUCGUAAAAAACUCAUAGAUAUCAUGGAGUCAAAAAGGAAGAUGUAAAUGUAUAGAUUUAAGAAAGAAAUGACCAUAUUUGUCUGCUUUGAGAGUUUUUUCAUAAUUUCAUCACAAAGCAUCUGAAUGAUGAUCAAGGGUUGGAUAUAUUUGCUUUAGCCAUAUAUGGCAUGGUAGUUUUUCCUAGAAUUUUAAGUCAUAUUGAUAUAGAAGUGAUUGAUUUUUUGUAGCAUGUGGAAAAAGGUUGCAAUCCCUCUUCUACAAGCUUAGUUGAAACAAUUAUAUCGCUGAAUUAUUUACAUCAAAAAGGCAAAGGGCACUUUGUUGGAUGUAUGCCAUUAUUAUAUUUGUCAAUGAAGAGUCACUUUAUGUGUAAGAAGAAUGCAUUUUCCAAAAUCUACUUUCGUAAUAGAGCUUCAAUUAAGCAAUUUUGUAAGAAUGAAUGGCCAAAGCCCAAAGUUAAGGAGGAAUGGAUGGUCCUGCUACAAGGUCUUAUUUGCACCCAAGUGAAAUGGUUAGUUCUAUGAAUGGAUCAUGAACUGAUGUUAUAUCCAUAUAAAGAUGAAAUAGGGGUCCCACUUCUAGGUUUAUAUAGAGCAACAAGUUAUAUAUCGCUUAUGGUUUGAAAGUAAUUUGAGGCUAAGUAGUUCAUUCUUAUGACAUACAAACUCACUCAAUCAGAUUUUUUACAUAGUGUGUUAAAAUUACUACAAAAGGUGGAUAAUGUGAUCAAGGCAUGGAAGAAGCCCAAAAGAGUGAAUCCUUGGUUAGCUAUUGACAAAGUCACUUAUAAGUAUUUGGUGUGGAAAGCCAAGAGAGGUAAGUAGGUUGUGUUUACACUCAAAGAUCAUUGCCAACCAGUGAAUUAGGAGUUGGAUGAGAUACCUUCAGAGUUAGAGUUUGUAAGGAAAGAAUUUAAAGCUAAGAAAGACAAGAUAAAAUAAGAGAUUCAAUGGCUUUAAGAAGAGGAAAGCAAUGGAAAGACAAGGUAGAAAAGCUAGAAGUUAGAGUCCACAAGAUCUCUAAUGAGCGUGAUACAAAAGUUAAUAAUUUGGCCAAACUUCAUCAAUAACAUAAGAAGUUAGAAUUUGAAUGUAAAGCCUAAAAUGAUGUUAGAAAACAUGACAAUGACUUUAAGGAGAUAAUGGAAUUACAUUAAAAGUAUAAAAGAUUACAUAUCCAAGUGAAGGCUAAAGAAAUAAAUAUCAUUAAUUUGAUUUUUUAGAAGGAAAAGUUGAAUAGAGAAUAUUCCCAAAUGGAGGAUAAUUGUGUUGAAGCCCAAAAGGAGAAUGAGAUGCUUAGAAGGUAUAUUUAGACAUUGAAGUAAAAGUUGAAUGAACAAAGAGGUCAGAUCAUGGUACUCACAAAAGAGCAUAGAGAGCUAUUUUACCAAGUAUGAUUUGGCAAAAAAAAAAGUCUGAGAAGGUAAAAAUACAUAGAGCAUCUUGCAACCUAAAUAAGUAAAGUAGUGAUCGGGGUAAGGGAAAUGGUUUAAGAGACUGAUGCAUUGAGAAUAAUGGUUACACCAAUAGAAGAACAUGGAUAACAUUUAUUAAACUUCAUUAAAGAGUUUAAGGAUCAGUAUAAGCAAAUUAAAUGUUUUUACAAGUAAGAAUAAUAGACUUAGUGUAAAACAAACUUUUAUGGAAUAAAUGAAAGUUCACUUGUGUUGAAAAUUUUUAAAGAAGCAAAUAUUUUCUUUGUUUCUUUUUUAUACAUUGCAUUCAUUCAUACAUAAUUAAAAUCUUAAUCGUGGCAAUCCAUAAUAAGACCAUUAAUUUAAGGUUAUGGUAUACAAAGUUCAAGGAUACAUCAAACACUAGUGCAACAUCAGAGCUCAAGCUAGAAUAAUUGAACAAGAUAAUGCAAGUCGUGUUGAGAAAUUACAAAAAGCUCAAGAGAAAAUCAAGGGAGAAUUGAGCAAAAUCUUUAAAGCUUUGACUAAGCUAAAUAAGAGAAAUACAAUAAAAGAAGACAUUUUAUAUGAAGUUACUGAUCUUUUGUAUUCUUUGAGUUAUGGCCUGUACCAAGCCCAAUCUACUCAAAGCUUCCCACCAUAACAGCUCACAUUGAUACAAGCUAUAUUUAUUUAGAAAUGCCACCUGCACUGACAACAGAGUAUCUAUAAAAUCAUACAACUUGGACUGAGACUAAGAUAGACUUAUCCAAAAAUAAGAUGGACAUAUCCUUGGUCCAAAUCCACAAAGUAAAUGCAAAAAUAAGGUAGACUAUACUAGGAAGGUUGUAUUCACACUAGUUAGAGUAGAAGAGGAUGAAUAUAGAUAAGAUUAUGGUCAAAUUCAUUAUUAUGUAAUUUGCAGGAGUAAAAUAGUUCAUAUGCAAAUCAUUUUAUUUUAGGCAUGAUUCUAGCAAUACAAUCUGAAAGUUCCCAUGCUUGAAGGGAUAUUCCUAGCCUAUAUAUUUUUUAUUAUUCUUUGGUAGAAGGCAAAAUAGAGUUUUCUUUAUCCUUAAGCAAUCUUUUAGAUUGUUUUUCAAGUUUUGUAUCUUUUAGGUGGAUUUCCUAGAAUGGUGAACUUUUAUUAUUCUGUAUCUUUGAUUGGAAUUCUUAUGGUGGUAUUUUUAUAUCCCUUAAUUGCUAGUUUUGGUGAUGAACUUUUAUCCCUUUUAAUCCAAUAAUCAUAUUUUGUCAUUAUUCAAAUCCUUGUGAGUUAUUUUCUUUAUGAGUUUUUUUAUUUAUAGUUAAUCUCCACAUCUUAAACAUCAAUUCUUAGCAUCAAAUUGGUAUCAAAGCUAUUGCAGGUUAUCGUCAUCAAGCAUAAGUAGAAGAGGUUAAAGCCAACACCGAUGUUGUAACAACUAUUAAUAUUGACUACUCAUAGAGGAGAUGCAGCAACAGAUCCUUCAACUAUAACAUCAACUAUAUAUACAAAAAGAAAGAGUGGAGAUAAAGAGGUAAUAAAAGAGAAAUGAAAAAGAUGAAGGAGAAACCAAUCCAUACCUUAGAAAUAAUAAUGAUUUUAAUGAUAGCAUCCUCUAUCACCUACGGUAAGUCAGAAAGUAUUUAAGCAGAAACCAAUUUCAAAUUAGCAUAUUCAAUCUGAAGAUAGAGAUUCUUGAGUUUAAGAGAAAAACGCAACCUGAAGAAUUCUUAGAUUGGCUAUACACAGUGGAACACAUAUUUAAAUAUCAUGAUGCCCUUUAACAUUGCAAGGUAAAGCUAGUGGCCAUCAAACUUAAAAAACAUGCAUCUUUCUAGUGAAAAAAUUCGAAAAAGCAAAGGGAAAAAAAGUAAGAGAAAAAUUAUAACUUGAGAGAAAAUGAAAAUAGUUGAAAAAAAAAAUAUCUCCCAGACAACUUUUGGCAAGAUGUCUUUCUUAGGCUUUAUAACUUGAAGCAAAGAGAUCUGUUAGUGAAAGAGUAUACUGCUAAGUUUGAUCACCUUAUGUUACAAUACGAAUUAAUGGAAUAAAAGGAGCAGACUAUUACCCAAUAUCUUAGAGGAUUGAAGAUUGAGAUAGCUAAUGUGGUACAGCUACAACCCUAUUAGACUUUCAAUGAUGUAUGCAAGCUUGCCCUUAAGUUGGAGAGACAACAAAAAGAGGCCUAUGAUAGCAAUUUAAGAUUUAGGUUUCGAAAAAGCAAGCCUUUGUCUAGUGCACAAGCUAGAAGGUGUUUUAAAUGUCAAAGGCUUAGACACAUUGCCUCAGAAUGCCCAAACAGAAAGAUUAUAAAUCUAGUAGAGGAAGACUUAGAGAAAAAAAGAAAAUAAGCUGGCAGAAAAGGAUUAAAAGCUUAAAGAGGAGGAAGAGGUAACUUAUGGCUAUUGUAAAGCAUCAUUAGUCAUACAAUACAACUUGAGUAUCGCACCUGCUAAGAAAAAAGAUUAGUUAUGUAAAAACAUAUUUCACACUCGUUACACUACCCAUGCGAAGGUAUGUGAUGUUAUAAUUGAUAGUGAAAGUUAUGAAAAUGUUGUUUCUACCUUUAUGGUACAAAAAAUAGGCCUCAAAGUAAUGGAUCACCUCUAACUAUAUAAGCUGUAUUGGCUACAAAAAGAGAAUGAAAUGAAGGUUAGCAAAAGGUGUUUGGUUCUUUGUUCCAUAAGAAAGUAAUAUAAAAAUGAAGUGUGGUGUGAUAUAACUUCAAUGGAUGCUUGCCAUUUACUGCUUGAAAGACCUUGGCAUUAUGAUAAAAGGGUUAUUUAUGAUGAUUACUGCAACACUUAUACAUUUGUGAAUGAUGGAUGCAAAAUCAUCUUAGGCCUUACCAAGCUCAUGGUGAUGUCAAAACCAACCAAAAAGAAAAAAAAACAGCUUGUUUACCAUGGCCAAUUACAGAAAAAAAUUAAGAUGGCCAAUACUAUAUACGUACUAGUAUUGAUUGAGAAGAAUAAGAUAGUGAGGAGAAUAAGAUAGUGAAGAGCCCUUAUAGUACCAUUGUUGGUAGAAUUUCAAGAUGUUGUUUAAGAAGAGUUAUCAGUUGGUUUACCAUUAAUGAGGGAUAUUCAACACUACAUAGACCUUAUCCUAAGAGCUAUUUUACCCAACAAGGCAAAACUUUUCUUGAAGAGUUACAUGGAAAGGAAAUUAAUGAGAACUUGUUUUACUAUAGGUGGAGUUUGCCUACAAUUAUUCACCAAGUCAAACUAUUGGUUAUAGCCCUUUUGAAAUUACUCUUAGUAAGAAAACAAUCUGGCCUUUAGUUUUAAGUCAACGUUAUACUAAUCAACAUUUUGAUGAAGAUGUAGAAAAAAAAGUCAAGAGUAUCAAAAUAUUUCAUGUAUAGGUUUAAAAUAGAAUUUUGUAAAAAAAUAAGAAAUAUAAAAGGGAAAUAAUCAUGCAUCGAAGACAUGUGAAGUUUAAAGAACAUGAUUUGGUGUGGAUUUACUUGCAAAAAGAAAGAUUUUCCCCAAAAAAGUUUGGCAAAUUACAACUUAAGGUAGACGGUCCAUUUAGAGUUAUCCAACGAAUUAGGGAAAAUGCCUACAAGAUACAGCUUUCGAACACUUAUAAAGUAUCUUUCACCUUUAAUGUUGUUGAUUUGUCACCUUAUCAUAGCAAGAAUACUAGUUUAGACUUGAAAACAAGUCUUUUUCAACCAAAGGAUAUUGACACUAAAGUAUCUACACAUCUUACAACUUAGACUGGGACUAAGGUAAACUUAUCCAAAAAUAAGAUAGGCCUAUCCUUGGUCCAAAUCCACUAAGUAAAUGGAAAAAUACACUAGCUAGAGAAGAAGAGCAUGAAUAUGGAUGGGAUUAUGGUUAGAUUCAUUAUUAUGUAAUAUGCAGAAGUAAAUGAGUUCACUUACAUAUCUCUUAAUUUUAGGCAUGAUUUUAGUAAUACAAUUUGAAAGUUCUCAUGCUUGGAGGGAUAUUCCUAGCCUAUAUAUUUUAUAUUAUUUUUUGAUAGAAGGUAGAAUAGAGUUUUCUUUAUCCUUAAAUAAUCUUUUAGAUUUUUCUUCAAGUUAUGUAUUUUUUAGAUGGACUUCUUAGAGUAGUGAACUUCUAUUAUUCUGUAUCCUUGAUUAGAAUUCUUAGAAUAAUAUUUCUGUAUCCCUUAGUUCUAGUCUUUGUGGUGAAUUUUUAUUCCUUUUAAUCUAAUAAUCGUAUUCUAUCAUUAUUCAAAUUCUUGUAAAUUGUUUUUAAUGAGUUUUUUUUUGUUUGCAAUUAAUCUCCACAUCUCAAACAUCAAUUCCCGGCAUCAUGCACCCAACCAAGGGAAUAUCCAAAGUUAUAUCAACCUUAUCUUCACUAAAAAGGUAGUUAAACCGAUCUAAGUUCUCAAUUUGAACGAUCUAAAAGAAAAACUAAAAUUAAAGAUGGUUGAGUCUUUAGAGGACUCUAAAACUAAUUAAAUGAUGAAAAUGCUAGAUGAGAGAUUAAAAGUUAUGAAAAGUAUUGAUUUUUAAGGUACUAAAGUUUGAGAAAUAUGACGAUACGAAAUAUCCCAUCAUGCAUGUUACGAUGUUCUGUUGUAAAAUGGUAGCUUACGCUAGUAAUGGAAAAUUACUCAUGCAUGUAUUCCGAGAUAAUUUAGCUGGUUUUGCUGUGAAGUGAUAUGUUAAGUUAGACAAAACUCAUACCCAAUCAUGGAAAAAUCUAACUCACUUUUUUCUUAACCAAUACCGUUAUAUCAUAUAUAUGGCUUUCGAUUGCCUUUCUUUACAAAAUAUAAAAAAAAAUGACUGAGUUUAAGGAAUAUGCCCAUAUAUGGCAAGAUAUAAUUGUUCAGGUCCAACUACCCUUAACCAAGAAAGAGACAACGGUUCUAUUUUUCAGCACUUUGAAAUCAUCCUAUUAUGAAAAGAUGAUAAGGAACGUGACUAAAAAUUUUGUUGAUAUGAUGAUUUCAGGCGAGAUAAUUGAAAAUGCCAUUAAGAAUGGCAAGGUUGAAAGAGGAGAGUCAUCAUGGCCAAGAGGAUGCCUAAGAAAAAGGAAAGUGAAACUUAAGCUAUGAGUUUCAAAAGGUAACAAUUCAGAAAUUAUACUCUUUACCCACAACCCAUUUAUCCUACAUACUAUUCCACCAAAAAUAAUGCUUUAACUUUUCAUACGAACUAGUUUCACAACUUUCUUAUCUUUUCACCUAUCAACCAGCAUUUAGACCACCCACCAAUGCAUACAACCCUAAUACCUCUCUACUAUAAGGCUUUUCAUGAGCCCAUCUAACCCAAUAAGUGGUCUAAAAAACCAUGAAAUAAUCGAAAGAAGCUUAUGUUUUGCCCUAUUCCCAUAAUUUAUAAGAAGUUGUAUAAAAAACUUUACAAUAAUCAUUUUAUUGCUCUUCUUUAUAUAAAUCCAUUUAAAUCUUUUUAUCUUAAAUGGUACAAUCCUACUGUUCAUUAUGAUUACCAUUAUGGAAUCAUAGGUCAUUUCAUUGAAAAUUACAUUACUUUGAAACACAAGGUACAAAAUUUAAUCAAAGAUAGGUUGAUUAACUUUGACACCAGUGAAAAUAACAUCCGAUGUUAGUGGUAAUCUAUUGCCCAAUCACACCGUAAAUGUUUUAAAUGAAGAUAAAAGACGUUGUAUGAAAAAGAGAGUAGAGGAGAUCAAAAGUCCAUUUAGUAGAUUGUAUGAUACUCUAUAUGAGGUUGGGAUGGUACAAUCAGUGGACCCACACAUUUACCAUAGGAGAUGCAUCCUAAAUCAAAGGUGUAAGUACCAUAGUGGGACUUUGGGUCAUUCUAUUGAGACUUGCAAUCAAUUUUAAGACAAGUUAUAGAAGUUGAUGGAUUCCUAUCAAAUUGAGCUAUAUGAAGAGGGAGAAACCUCGAGAAGUACUAAGGUGUCUAUGACUAAUAAGUCAAAGUGGGUACCAAAAUCAAUAACUACUUAUGGUGGUGAAAAGUCAAAAUCAAUUAUAGACAAGCUUGUCCAUAAGUUGUUACCUUCAAAGUCCAAAGCCCAUUCCCAUAUAAGGAUGAAAAGGUUAUACCGUGGAAAUAUGAUUGUGAAGUGAUAAUCCAAGGACAAGAGGAGACCAUACCCAAGCCAAACAUCACCAACAUAACUAGUGUAGGUGAUAUAACUAGAACUGGAAGGUGCUAUACUCUGAAGAUGGUGGAAAGGGCAAGAAAAAAAAUCAAUAAUGAUAGGAAAACAAGCUGAUCUGAAGGAUAGUUUCAAAAAAGACAAUCCAAGACCAUUGUUUGAAAAAAAAGCCUACGAGUUCUUGAAGCUCGUAAAACAUAAAGAAUAUUCCAUGGUCGAGCAACUAAACAAGAUGGUAGCUAGGAUCUCUUUAUUAUCAUUAUUAUUAAAUUUAGAACUGUAUCAUGAUGUCAUAUUAAAGGUGUUAAACCAAGCUUAUAUGGCCCACAAUCUAUUAAUAGAAUAUGUGAACCAUUUGGCUAGGAACCUAGUGGUGCCACAUUAUACAGCCUUUAACGAUGCGAAAUCCUAUCAAAAGGAAAAGGAAGCAUAAAGGUCUUGCACAUUAUUGUCGAAUGCAAGAGUCACAUAAUAGCCAAAGUGUUUAUUGACAAUGGCUCUAUUAUUAAUGUUAUGCCUAUAUCUAUUUUAGCGAGGUUGCCCAUUGAUGUGUCCUAUACAAAAAACAACUGUAUGGUUGUUUAAGCUUUUGAUAGGACUAGGUGUAAAGUAUUAUGAGACAUUGAAACGCAUUUAUAAAUUGGGCCUUGCACAUUUAAUGUAAAAUUCUAGGUUAUGGACAUCUCACCUUCUUAUAGUUAUUUGUUAGAUAAGCCAUGGAUUCACAUGGCAGAUAUUGUUCCCUCCUCUUUACACUAGAAAGUUAAGUUUAAUAUAGAAGGAUAAUUGGAGAUCAUGGUUAAAAAAAAGGAUUUGUAAGUAACUCAGUCCAUGAACAUUUCUUAUGUAAGGCUACGAAAAAAUCAUUGGAGUGUUCCUAUCAAUCCUUCAAGCUUGUCAAUACUAUGGGCAAGGGGUCUAAAUUACACUAACCAGAUUUCACUAGAAUUGUGGUUAGCUAGAUUAUCAAAAAAGGUUGGUAUCCUAGAGUUUGGUUGGAUAAAAUUUUGCAAGGACUAAAAAAGCCUCCAACGAUAAUAGAUAAUAGCAAAAGAUUGGGCUUGGGAUAUGAAGUAAAGAAAUAGGAAAUAAAGAUGAUGAAAAACAACCGAAAAGGAAAAAUGAUAGCGAGGAAUAUACUUGUCAUAAUAUAUAGAUUCAUAAAUCUAUAGUUAUACUUAACAAGAAGAGUCGCCACCAAUCUUUUUUUCUAUGUGUGAUUGGUCACCUAAUGAAUCUACCAUUUUAAAAAGCUUAUAAGCUUGACUAAGGCUCCCUAAAGAAUAGGUUCUGACCUUCUAAAUAGAAUUAGGUUUGAGACUUUAAUUAUUUAUGAAAAAAGUUAUAGCACCACCACAACGCCUAUCUUAAGAUGAUACUAUUUAAUUUUAAAUUAUCUUAACAAUUAUCCUAGUUCUAAAGGUUUUUAUUUUAAUGUUUAAAUAUUGGAAAUGAAUUCUAAGAUUUCUCCAUCAAUUUGAUAGAAUUCUUAAAAAUACUUCCUCACCUCAAGAGUAUAUAAGAAUCUCAUUUGUUUUCUUACAAAAGUUUUAUCGUCGAAAAAAUGUUUAAUCAUUUUUAUUUUAAUUUUUUUAUUAAAAAUAUAUCUAAUUAUUCCAGUAUUUAGAUCAAAUUAGAAAUAUCUUCUCACCUAGAACUUUCUUAAAUGAUCAACCAUUUGCAAUUACUAAGAAUUUCCUCAUCGGGAUUUAUUUUUAUUUUUAAUUUCUAAAUAUUUCACUAUUUAGGUCUAUUUAGAAAAUUUUUUUUUAUUUUUGGAAAGAACAUAAUAUAACAAUUAUUUUUUAAAUUUUCAUUUUAAUUCUUUCAUCAUUUGAAAUAAAUUUAAAGAAAAUUUCUCACCUAGAAAUUUUUUAAGAAUUUUACCAUUUGAAAUUUCUAAGUUCUCAACCUUGGAUAAUUGUCAAAUAUUUUUAACCAAAAUUUUUUAUUUGGAAAAGAAUACAAUUACCUUUAUUAAAAUUUUAUUUAAAUUAUUUUACCAUUUGAAACAAAUUUAGAGAAACUUCUCACCUAAAGAUUUCUUAGAGAAUUUACCAUUUAAAUUUCUACUAAUCUCAUCUUUGGGCAAUUAAUAUUUAAUUCCAAAAUUUUUUUAAAUUUUAUUUUUUUAUUUUGAAUUGAAAAUAAAUAUUUAUUAUUUUUAUUAUUUUUAUUGAAACUUUAUCUAAAUUUUUCUACCAUUUGGGACAAAUUUAGAAAAAAUUUCUCACCUAAGAAUUUUAUAGAAAUUUACCAUUUAUAGUUUCUAAAAAUUUCAUCAUUGGAUAAUUAUUAUUUAUUCUUUAAAAAAUUAUUAAUGUUUUAUUUUAUUUUUUUAUUACUUCUUUUAACUUUUUUUUAAAAUUUAAUUAAGCAAAAAUGCUUUCAAAAUAAAUAAACAAAAUAAAUAAAUAAAAUAAAAACAGCAAAACAGGAAUCGACUUGGCUUGGUUGUUGUGUAUGGCUAGGCUGUAAGCACGAAACUGGCUAAAAAGACUUGGAAAGUGACUUAACUUGGCUUAGUUGUUGGUUGCUGGAUUCUGGGAUUAACCACCAGAAUAUGAGUAAUUACAUUAGAAUUUUACCCUCAAUUGUUGUCAAACCCUUACUCUUACUUUCUCUUCUAUUUUUUUUUUUCAAUUGCUCUUUGAUUGUUGUCUUUUUGUUCUUUGAUUUAAAGGUCUAUUUAUAAGGUACAAUAUGGAGAAUUUCAUAUUGAUUCCAACUUAAAAAUUAGGAUUAUCAUGAAAAAAUAAAAUUUAUCUUUGAAAAGUUUAACUUCAAAUUUAAUCAUGAUAAAACUACAAUUAAAGAUAAACAACAAAUAAGCAAGAUAAAAUAAGUAAUAAAAUAAAAUAAAAAAGAUAAAUAAAAAAUAUAUAUAGAUAAAUAAAGUAAAAACAUAAUUUUGACAAUUAAACUUGGAUCAAAUCUGAGCCUAAUUGAUUUGGGCAUUUGGCCUUGAAAUUGAAUCAGACUUAGUUAAUUUAGACCUCGAACUAAAUUGGGUAUCUACAGUUGCCCCUCUUUCCUCAUUUUCUGUGCAAUAGGAAUUGUGCAACAAUAUAGAUAUUCAUUACAUCUAGAUAUAGCUUAACAACAAUUAUAAAAUCUCAAAACUCCAAAGAUUCACAAUUUGAAAUAUUCAAGAACUUCACAAUUAGACAAUUAGUAACGCAAGUUGAAACUCAAAGAUUCACAAUUUAAGUUCAAAAAAUCACCAUUUUGAAAUUCAAAGGUUCACAAUUCAAUGAUUAGCAAGGUUCAGUUUCCCAAGAAUUUGAUUCACACGGAUUUUCAAAUUCUCAAAAUUUCUAAUUCGCAAGGAUUUUUAGAUUUGCAAGAAUUUGAUUAUCAAAAUUUCAAUUUCACAAGGUUUUUUAGCUUAACAAGAUUUUUCAACCUCACAAGAAUUUAGAUUCACAUGAAUUUGAUUCUCAAAAUUUCAGUUUCACAAGGAUUUAGAUUCACAAAAUUUUAAAUUCGCAAGAUUUUUCAGUUUCACAAGAUUUCAGAUUUGCAAGAACUUAGAUUCACAAAAACUCAUAUUCAUAAAAUUUUAGAUUCAUAAGAACUUAGAUUCACAUUUGAGAGAUUCACAUCCAAAGUUCAAUUCAAGGAUUUGCAUCAAAAUUGCAAGACUCACAUACAACAUUUAAAGAUUCACAUUAUUCUAGAGAUUCACACCCAAAAGUUUAAAGAUUUUUAUUUAAAAAAGUUUAGGAAUUCAUUUCUAAGAUUUCAAAGUUUUUCAUUCGAUUUCCAAGAUUCACAUUUGAUAAAUUUUAGAGUUUCACAUCUAUAUUCAAAGGUUCUCAUUCAAAACAAAAAAUUAGGGGUUCACAUCUAAAAAUUUGAAAGCUUCUUAUUUGAGUUCAAAGAUUUACAUUCAAUAAAUUUUUGAGUUUCAUAUCUAAAUUCAAAGGUUAUUAUUAAAAAAUUUCGAGGUUCACAUUCAAAAUUUUUAAAGCUUCUCAUUCGAGUUCAAAGAUUCACAUUCGAUUGAUUUUAGAGUUUCACAUCUAAUUUAAAGUUUCUCAUUUAAAAAAAAUUUGGGGUUCAUAUCCAAAAGUUUCAAGCUUCUUAUUCAAGUUCAAAGGUUCACAUUCGAUUGAUUUUAAAGUUUUACAUCUAAAUUCAAAGGUUCUCAUUUAAAACUCAAAGAUUCUUACUUAAAACUUAAAGUUUCUCAUUUAAAACUUCUCAAAGAUUCUAAUUUAAAACUCUUUAAAGUUUUUCAUUAUUUUUAACUUUAAAAAUACUCCAUUAAAAGGCUCCAUAACUUUAAAAUUCUAAGUGUUCUCUUCAUAAAACAUUUUUCCAUUUAAAGAUUCUCAAAUUUAUAAAAAUUAUCAAUCUUUUAUCAAAGUCAAAACUUUGUAUAUAAAGAAUGUCAUGAUUAUGAUGCAAAUGAAACAAUCUAGAUUCUCUCAAUAAUGUAGACGCCAUAUUUUAAACCAUAAUUCAAAUGUCUACUACAUGAGGCAAAUGCAUGGCCAGCCAAGAUUCAAAUAUUCACCAGAUUAUAUACAUGUAUUCUUCAAAUAACGAUGCAAACACAAUGCUUGGAAUGCAAAUAUCAAUGUCAUGAAAUUCUUACUUAAUUGUGGUAAUAAGGUUCUUAAGACUCCACCAUCUCAUCUUUUCUCUUUUUAGUAUCUUGGCACUAAUUAUUUUAGAAUAAAUUCUAUCAAUUGAUCCACAUUAUUUUCACCAUUUGAUCACGGCUCAAAGGGUUCACAGCACUAGCAAUUUUAAAACAAAUUUUGUUUAUUGAUUCACAUUAUUUCCAUCACUUGAUCACAAUUCAUAGGUUAUGUCGAUCGAUCCAUUACCAUAUUCAUCACUUGAUCAUCCCAUGUGUCUUUCAAAUCAUCUUUUUAAGCUUUUUUCAUCUUUUUAUUUUCAUUUUUUUUGCCUUCUAGACUUCUUUUUAAAGGAAUACAUGAAUCUUUUCUAAAUAUUAUCAUUCAUUCAUUAUCAUUUCAAUUUUAGACAAAUAUAAUGCAAUCAUAUAUUUUCUUAAUUUAUUUUGAGGAUGCAAAAAUAAGAGAGUACAAGGUGAAUUACGAGAAAGGUAAUCAAUAUAAGAAUGAGUCUGGUACAAAAAUAAAUGGGCAAAGAAAAAAAUUCAAAACAUAUCACUAGGGAUGAUAUUGAAUGGUACAACAAUGUCCAAACAACGAAUACUCAAACAAUUCUUAACAUGAAUCAAAAAUUCUUUUCCAAAAACUCAUUCCAUUGUUUUUCAAAAUUAUAUGAAGCUUAUUGAACAUUGCCCCAGCCUUAAGGGAUUUUUAGAUGUCUUUGAUCUUUCAUAUAUUUGAAUUGUUUAUCUAACUUUCAGUUCAAAUGUUUUUUUACACAAAUCGCCCUUUCAGGUUUUCAAUUUAAGUUUUCCUUUUCUCUCGUUUUACAUUUUUUCAUUUUUUUCAUUUUCAUUUUUUCCUUUCAUUUUUUUUAUUUUUUAAUUUCUCAUUUUUUAUUUUUUUCUUUUCUCAUUUUUUAUUUUUUUCUUUUCUCAUUUUUCAUCCAUUAUUGAUAUCUCCCACACAUCAAUCUCUAAAACACAUAACAUGAUUCCAUUAUUCCAUUAGAAGCAUGCCCUAGCCUAACAUAUGAUCAUUCAAUUUGAAUGUUCACAUUUGAUCAAAAUAGACUUUUAAAGGUUGUAAUGUAGGCUAUGGUGAAGGGUCAUGAAAGAAAUUGAUAAAAUAGGCUCAAAACACAUGUUUAAAUGGUUCAAACCAAAUGAUCAUUUCCCAUCAUGUAAUGCAGUUUAGCACUUUGCCCUUUUUCAUACCAUUUCACUAUUUUUUUCAUCUUAUUUCUCACAAAAAGAUUCUCAUUACUUCAACCCAAAUCAUUUGUUGCAUUUAUUUUCUUUUUUUUUAUAUAUAAAGGAUUAUUUUUUCCCUUUUUUUUUUUACUCUUUAUCUUUAUAGCCUUUUGUGAUCUCUUGUCCUUUUCCUUCUUCAAGUAUGUUUUUCUCAAAAUUUGCCCUUCAGUAUAGAGGAUAAUCCUUGGUUGGGUUUCUUUAGGAAAAAAAUCAUAAUAAGCUCAAAAGGGGUAACAAUAAAUGGUUUUAUGAAUGGCAAAAGAAAUAUGAUCAUUUUUCAUCUCAAAUGUGAAUGUUUUCUUUAAAGAUCAUCUAUUAAACAAAGAUAAACUCAUGGAUCAUUAUAAAUGAUUGCAUAUCUUCAAGACAUAUCUAUUUUAUAUCUGCUAACAGCUUACUUUUCUUGCUCAAAUAGUUUCCAUAGAUCAAUGUGAAUGAGUUCUCAAAAUCAAAUCCUAGAAUUAUUGUUAUCAUUGUCUAAACAUUCAUCAUUAAGAAUUGGAAUAAAAGAUAUGUGAAAAAACUAAGCAUGGAAUAGUAGUUGGGAUAAAAGAAAAAAUAUAAUGAAAUACACUAUACUAACCUUUUAUUAAAAUGAUAAAAAAAUGAAAUCUUAUUACACAAAAAAAUCCUAACAUUACUCUAAAAAGAAUCCCAAAAUGACAAGCAACACCAACUAACCUUAAUGUCCUUGUCCAUUUUAAAAUUAUGCCCCUGUGUGAUUAGGUGAAUGAUUUUUAUUGAUAUCUUGCCCCCUUAAUUCAUUAAAGCUCACCAAGCUUUUUUCGGAUUAAACUUUGCACCUUAUGUUUGAAAGUAGGGUAAGUUUCAAUAAAAUGACUCAUAAUCCUAUUAUGAUAAUCGCAUGUCACAUUAGCAUCAUACCAUUUUGGAUAGGGUGGUUUUAACGGUUCUAGAAUAACUAGAGAUACCAAGUCAUUCUUAACCAGUUCUGGGAAUAACUCAGUGUAAAGUCAUACGAAUAGGAUCAAUGUGAGCCUUUUCUUGGUUAUUUUGAGAUCUCCUUAAACCACUUACUUGGUUGUUAAGCUUUGAAGCUGAUGUAGUGAUAUAACUAGAUCCAUAUACAAGUAUUUGAAAUGUUGAUUAAUAAGUUAGUGGGUAAGCUAGUUAUGGAUAUGGUUGGUAAAGGGCCUCCGUAAUACAUUAAUUGUGGGAUAGUAAACAAGAUGAACAAGUGGUAGAUAUGAAGCAUAGCUUCUAAAUUGUUGCCUAUCAAAAUUCAUAGCUUAGGUUUCGACUUUUUUCUUUUUAGGCAACCCUCUUUUCCAGAUAGUUUCUCUUUCAUGAAACUUGCCACGUUGAUAGCAUUUUUAAUAAAUUUUCUUGAAAUCACUAUAUCAAUAAAUUUUUUUGUUGCAUUCCUUAUCAUAUUUUCAUAAUAGGGGAUUUUAAAGUACUUACAAAUAACACUGUGAUCUUUUUUUAGUCAAAAGUGGCUAAACUUAAGUAGCUAUAUCUCUUCACCUUUAGGCAUACUUCUUAAAUGAUUCAGUUACCUUCUUCUCCCUAUUUUGUAAGAAAAAGUAAUCAAAAGCUAAAUCUAUUAUAUAUCGAUACUAACUAAAGAAGUCACAGGCUAUCUUACUCCAAAAGUGAAUGCAGGUCUUGUCCAAUUGGUCAUACCAUCUAGCAGUAGAACCAAUAAGUUUAUCUUGAAAUACGUAUAUUAACAGCUUCUCAUUAUUAGCAUAGGCAACCAUCUUCUGACAAUAUAUAGUAAUGUGGGUCUUUGGACACUUUGUACCAUAAUAUUUCUCAAACUCUAGUACUUUAAACUUCAACAAAAUAACAACAUCUGAGAUUAAAUUGUGCCAAGUAGCAUCUAUAGAACCAUAAAAACCAAUUCCCUCUACUGCUCAUAACCUUUCCUCGAGCAUAUUCAUCUUUCUAUCAGUUAUUAAUCCUUCUAAAGUCUCUUUCUCCUUAGGCCUCAGUUUAUUUUUCUCUUUUAGGUCAUCCAAGUUAGAGAUUGGUAUUGAUUCUACUAUUUUCUCAAUAAAGAUAGAAUUUACAUAACUCUGAUAAUGCCUUAGAUUUGAGUCGAUGGCAUUACAGGGUAUGUAUACCCUACAAGGUAUUUCUAUUACUAUGAUAAUGCAUCUUGUGUGGACUAGGCUUGAUGUGGCCCAUAACUAGGAAGAUAAAGAGGAUCAACAAUAUCUUAUACGGAAUGGUUUUGCAAGUUGGUUUUUUGUACACUUUUUCCCUUGUUCAAUUUAUUCAAAAAUAUUAUAAUCUUAUUCAACUCCCCUUCGAGCUUUUCUCGAGCUUUUUUUAUUUUUUCCAAAUGAUUUGCAUUUUCCUAUUCCAUUUGCCUAGCUCGAGCUCUGGUGUUGUACUGAUGGUGAAUGUGUUGAAUUGGGUUCUUAAACAGUGGAGCUAUCUUUAAACCUUGUACCAAAUUAGCUUACUUAUGUUACUAAAUGUGUAUGUGAAGAAGCUUUCAAAAUUAACCUAACUGUUUUAAGAAUGAAUGCAUUGAAUACUUGACAUAACAACUUACGAUUCAUAAACACAUGAAUGUAUGCACAGCAAUGUAUGAAUGCAUGUAUUGAUGUUUGUCCCAUUAUGAUGCAUGGGUGGAUACAUAUGUUAGUGAUGCUAAAAUAAAAUACAACACACAACAUGCAACAAAUUAAUCAACAAGGAUAAAAUAAUGUUUAUCAUGAAGUUGAUAUGAAUGAAGCUCAAAAGGUUCACUCAUAUGUCCUAAUUAGGGUUAUAUUCUAAUGAUAGGUAGAUAUGGCUCUAACCUAAGGUUGGCUUCUUAUUUUAUAUAUAGUUUGGGUUAAAUCUGAAGGUUCCCAAAUUGUUCUCCUUCAUCACAAGCUAGUAAGACACUCCAAUCCUCACCCAUCAUAAGCUACAAACGAAAAAAAUUCAAUUUAAGUUAGAGUAUUUCAUUUGCCAUUACAAAGAUUACCAUCUUACAAAAAUGUAGGUACUUUACUCUUUCUUAAAGAGGAUAGAGCCCGAGUAUAGAGCUCAUAUGAUGCAUAUGCAUGUGAUGGUGUGUGAAGGAACACAUAUCUUUAUUCAUAAUUUUCACAAGCCAAGUUAAAGAAUAAAAAAAUAAUAAUUCAAGAUCAACCAAAAAAAAAAAAGAUAAUUCAAAAGUAAUUAAUGGCCUAACUCCUAGUAUCCCUAGUAGAGUCGCUAUACUAGCAUAAUAUAUAGAUUUGUAAAUCUAUAGCUAGACUUAACAAGAGAAGUUACCGCCAAUCUUUUUUCUAGGUGUGAUUGGUCACCUAAUGAAUCUACCCUUUUAAAAAGCUCCUAAGCUUGACUAAAGGCCCUUAAAAAAUAGGUUCUGACCUUUUAAACAGAACUAGGUUUAGAAUUUCAAUUACGUGUGGGGAAGGUUAUAGUGCCCCCACAACACCCAUCUUAAGAUGAUACCAUUUAAUUUUAAAUUAUCCUAACAAGUAUCUUGGUUAUAAUGGUUUUUAUUUUAAUGUUUAAAUAUUGAAAAUGACUUCUAUGAUUUCUCCAUCAAUUUGGUAGAAUUCUUACAAAUACUUCCUCACCUCAAGAGUAUUCAAGAAUCCUAUUUGUUUUCCUAAAAAAGCUUCGUCGUUGAAAAAAGAUUUAAUCAUUUCAAUUUUUUAUUGAAAAUAUAUCUAAUUAUUCCACAAUUUAGGCCAAAUUGGAAAUAUCUUCUCACUUAAAAUUUUUUUAGAUAAUUAACUAUUUACAAUUAUUGAGAAUUUCAUCAUCGAGAUUUAUUUUUAUUUUUUAUUUCUAAAUUUUUCACUAUUUGGGUCUAUUUAAAAAUUCUUUUUUGUUUUUGUUAUUUUUGGAAGAACAUAAUAUAACAUUUUUUUUUGAAAUUUCAUUUACAUUCAUCCACUAUUUAGGUUAAAUUUAAAGAAAAUUUCUCACCUAGAGAUUUCUUAGAAAUUUUACCAUUUGAAAUUUUUAAGAUUCUCAUAUUUGGAUAAUUGUCAAAUACAUUUAGCGAAAAAGUUUUAUUUGGAAAAGAAUAGAAUUACUUUUAUUAAAAUUUCAUCUAAAUUAUUCCACCAUUUGGGACAAAUUUAAAAAACAUUUUCACCUAAAAAUUUCUUAGAGAAUUUACCAUUUCAAUUUUCUAAGAAUUCAUCCUUGGAUAAUUAGUAUUUAAUUCCAAAUUUUUAUUAUUUUUUAUUUUGAAUUGAAAAUAAAUACUAAUUAUUAUUAUUGAAACUUUAUCUAAAUUAUUCCACCAUUUGGGAUAAAUUUAGAAAAAAAAAAUUUUACCUAGGAAUUUUAAAGAAAUUUACCAUUUACAAUUUCAAAUAUUUCAUCAUUUAAUAAUUAUUAUUUAUUCUCAAAAAAAUUAUUAUUAUUUUUUAUAUUUUUAUUAUUUUUUCUAACUUUUUUUAAAAUUUAAUCAUGCAAAAAUACUUUAAAAAUAAAUAAACAAAAUAAAUGAAUAAAUAAAUAAAUAAAAUAAAAAAUACCAAAAUAGGAACCGAUUUGGCUCGAUUAGUGUGUGUGGCUAGGCUGCAGGCACGAAACUAGCUAGAAAGGCUUGAAAGUGGCUCAACUCGACUUAGGUGUAGGUUGCUAGAUUCUGGGAUUGACCAUCGAAAUCUGGGUAAUUAUGCCAGAAUUUUACCCUCAAUUGCUUUCAAGCCCUUGCUAUUAUUUUUCCUUUAUUUUUCUUUCCAAUUGCUCUCUGAUUGUUGUCCCUUUGUUCUAUGAUUUAAAGUUCUAUAGUACAAUAUGGAGAAUUUCAUAUUGAUUCCAACUUAAAAAAUUAGGAUUAGCAUGGAAAAAUAAAAUUUAUCUUUGAAAAGUUUAACUUCAAAUUUAAUCAUGAUAAAACUAUAUUAUCACUAGUCACUCCUUUUUAAUUUAUGGCCAUUCAUUCUUUUUUUCAAUUAUCCAUUUUUUUUGAAAUAUCCAGAUAAAUUUUAAAAAAAUUAGACAAAUAUAAGGGAAUACAAUUAAAGAUAAACAAUAAAUAAAUAAGAUAAAAUAAAUAAUAAAAUAAAAUAAAAAGGAUAAAUAAAAAGAUCUAUAUAGAUAAAUAAAGUAAAAACAUAAUUUUGACAUUAGGCUUGGAUCAAAUCUGAGCCUAAUCGAUUAGGGCCUUUGGCCUUGAAAUUAAAUUGGGCCUAGUUGAUUUAGACCUUGAACUAAAUUGGUUGUUUACAACUGAUGGUCAUUCUAGUAAGAUAUAUAUAUCUAAGGUCAAAGGAAGAUGCUAAAGAGAAACUGAGUGUGGAAGAAGCUUUUGCCAAGUUGUCCAUCCAGAUAAUAGCUGAAAAAGAUAGAAAAGUCCAAGAGAAAAUGUGUUGGUCCAUCCAUGUCUACCAAGCUUUGAACUAAAAAAUUAGAGUAUCAUCAAGACACUUGCUGUCCUUAAUACCUUUCAAUAUAAUUAUAAAUCCCAAUUGCCUAUGGCCAAAAGUAUUGGGAUGGCCUUUUAUGUACAGGCCUUUUAUCAGUUAUUAUCUUAAUAAAAGAAUAGAAGUAUGCAUUUUCCUUCAUUUUUUCUAUUCAGUUUUCAUUUUUCAUCUAGUCAAAACAUUUUUCCAAAACUUUCCAUUUCAUUUAUUUUAGAUCCUUAAAUUAAUAUGAAGAUAAUCAUAAUAACAAUUAGAAAUUUGAUUUUGAAAACUCAAUUAAUGCUGAUGAACUUAACACCAAAGAUGACUAUGAAAAAUGCACUUUACCUUUAGAUCUAAAGAAAUUGAUUGAAUAGGAGAAUAAAUCUAUUAAGCCUCAUCAAGAAAUCACUAAGAUGAUAAAUUUAGGGGAUGAUAAGAAUAAAAAGGAUGUUAAGGUUUGCUUAUCACUUCCAUCAACUGAUAGACAAAAGUUAAAAGAUCUACUUUAAGAGUUUAUAAAUGUGUUUGCCUAGUCCUAUCAGGAUAUGCCAGGGCUUAGCACCAAAAGAGUGGAGCAUAAGUUACCUUUGAAACCUAAAUGUAAGCCUGUUCAACAAAAAUUGAGAAAAAUAAAGCCUAAAAUGCUAUUGAAGAUUAAAAUAGAAGUAAAAAACAGUUUAAUGUAGGUUUUCUACAAGUGGCCAAAUAUCUUAAAUAGGUAACUAAUAUAGUAUCUAUUCUUAAAAAAGAUAAAAAAAUAUGAAUAUAUGUAGAUUAUCGUGAUCUAAAUAAGGCUAGCCCGAAGGAUAAUUUUUCUCUACCUCAUAUAUACACAUUGGUGGAUAAUAAGGCCAAGCAUUCAAUAUUCUCUUUUAUGGAUGAGUUCUUAGGUUAUAAUCAGAUAAAGAUGGCCCAAAAUGACAUAAAGAAAACUAUAUUCGUAACCAUAUAAGGUACUUUUUGUUACAAAGUUACGCCUUUUGGAUUGAAAAAUACCAGCGUAAUUUAUCAAAGGGUUAUGGUAACACUCUUCCAUAACAUGAUACAUAUGGAGAUUGAGAUGUAUAUGGAUGAUAUGAUCACAAAAUAUCGUGAACAAGAAGACCAUGUAACUAACCUCAAAAAGUUGUUUGAGAGGUUAAAAAAGUUUCAACUAAAGUUAAAUCCAUCUAAAUGCACAUUUGGAGCUAAGCCAAGCAAAUUGCUAAACUUCAUGGUUUGUGAAAGAGGGAUUAAAGUUGACUCAAACAAGAUACAGGCCAUUCAAAAUCUAUUUCCUCUAAGCAUGCCAAAGGAAGUUUGAGGUUUUUUAGACAAAUUGAAUUACAUAUCUUGAUUCAUUUUUCAACUUACCUCUAAAUGCAAUCCCAUCUUUAAACUCUUUCAAAAGAACAAUCUUAUUGAGUGAAAUAAAGAGUGUCAAAAAGCUUUUGAUAAGGUUAAGUAGUACCUAUCAAAUUUUUUAGCGCUGGUAUCAAUUCUUUUAGGAAAAUCGUUAAUUCUAUAUUUAACUAUAUAUAAGAAGUCAAUGGGAUGUAUGUUUGGGCAACAAGAUAAGUUUGGUAAAAAGAGAAAAGUUAUUUAUUACUUAAGCAAGAAGUUCAUGAAAUAUGAGUCCAAGUAUUCAUUAUUGGAGAAAAUGUGUUGUGUUUUAGCUUGGAUAGCUAAAAAACUCAAGCAGUACAUACUCUACCAUACCAUUUGGCUUAUAGCCAAAUUGGACCUAAUCAAGUAUAUUUUCAAGAAAUUGUCAUUUUUAGAAGAAUUGCAAGAUGGCAAAUAAUGCUAUCGAAGUAUGAUAUUGUGUAUGUAUGCCAAAAAGCAAUCAAAAGAAGUGUCAUAACAGAAUUUCUUAUAGAUUAUGUUACUGAAAGCUAUGAGCCAAUGAAACUUGAUUUUUUAAAUGAAUAACUAAUGGCCAUUUUUUAGCCAUAAGAAUGAGAAAUCCUAGAAAAUGUACUUCAAUGGGGCUGAUAAUGCCUUGAGGCAUAAAAUUAGGACAAUUUUGAUAUCUCUCGAAGGAUAGUAUUAUCUCGUUAUGGCAAGGUUGAACUUUAAUUACACUAAUUAUGUGGCAAAAUACGAGGCCUAAGUUACAAAUGGCUUUGAAUAGGAAAAUUAAAGUGUUAAAAGUGUUCAGGAAUUCAACUUUAAUCAUUUAUCAAUUGAAAAGAGAAUGGGAGACAAAAGAUUUGAAACUUAUUCCAUAUCAUAAAUAUAUCUUAGAGUUAUGCAAACAGUUUAAGGAAGUUUAAUUUAAACAUGGCAGUGAUAAUUUGGGUUAAUAACAAUACUAAGAUUUAGCUCAUUAAGUUAGAUAUCCAAGAUAUGCUAAUAACAUUGCACUAAUGUGAAAGAGGAAGAAGAUGGAAAGCCUUGGUAUUAUGACACCUGUAAUACUUAAGGAAUUAGUAAUACCCAGAUCAUGUAACAGAGAAUGAUAAGAGAGUCCUGAAGAGAUUGGCUAUGGUUUCUUCCUAGAUGAUGAGGUCCUUUAUAAAAGAAGUAGAGAUCAGAUGUUAUUAUGAUGUGUAAUUAUAGUUGAGGAAAAGAAGAUUAUUGAGGAUGUGCAUGAUAGAGUAUGUAGAGCAUAUGCAAAUGGACACAUGAUAGCAAGAUAGAAUAUAAGAGCUAGAUACUACUAGUUAAUAAUAAAGAGCGACUGCAUUGAUUAUGUUCAUAAGUGUCAUAAGUGUCAAAUUUAAGCUAACAAGAUCUAUGCUCCACCAAUUAUUUUACAUGUUUUGGCACCACCUUGGCCAUUCUAUAUAUAGGGCAUGGAUGUUAUUGGUCCCAUUACUCUAAAAGCAUCAAAUAAAAAUAGAUUCAUUUUUAUGAUGAUUAAUUAUUUCACUAAAUUAGUUGAAGCAUCUUCAUAUAUGAAUGUGACAUGAUCAAUGGUUUGCAAGUUUAUAAAAAAAAAAAAUCUACAAAUAUGGACUCUGAGAGAGGAUCAUCUCAGAUAAUGCUAAAAACUUAAAUAGCAAGAUGAUGAAAGAUAUAUGUGCUUAGUUCAAAAUUAAACACCAUAACUUAGCAUUAUAUUACCCAAAGAUUAAUGGGAUAGAAGAAGCUGCUAAUAAAAAUAUCAAAAAAAUUUUAGAGAAAAUUACUAAAAUGUAUAGAGAUUGUCAUUAGAAAUUACUUUUUGCUUUACAUGCCUAUUGAAUAUUAUUACAUAUCUUUACUGAGGCAACCUCAUUUUUCCUGGAUUAUGGGAUGGAGGUUGUAUUACUAGUUGAAGUAAAAAUCUCAUCUUUCAAAGUCUUAAAGAAAAGUGGGAUUAGAAAAAGCUAAAUGGAUUCAAGAAUGCUAUGAACAACUAAACUUCAUUGAAGAGAAGAGGCUAUUAAUGUUGUGUCAUGGUCAAUUAUAUCAAAAAAGAAUGAUAAGAGCUCAUGACAAAAAAAUUUGACCUCAUCAAUUUUGAGGAGAAGAGUUGGUGUUGAAAAGAAUUUUCCUAAGUCAGAUAAUAAUAGAGGAAAGUGGACCCGAAUUGGAAAAGGUCAUAUAUGGUAAAAAGGGCUUUUUAAGAUGAAGCAUUAAUUUUAACAAAGAUGGUUGGAGAUGAUCUUUCCAAUCCCAUAAAUUCUAAUGCUAUGAAGAAGUACUUUACUUUAAAAAAAAAGAAAGUCCAAAUCAAAAACUUGAAAGGGCAAUUUAAACCAAAAAUAGGUUUAUCCAAGUUGAAAAUAUGUAAAGGCAACUUGGAUAAGGAGAGUAUAGCAUCAUUUGGAAGGUUCACCAACCACAAAGCUAGUAUAUUUUGAAGACCUCUAAAGCACUAAGGGCAUUGGGUGGUUGAGUUUUUGAAAAAAAUCAGAUAUAUGUUGUCAUGAUUAUUUGAUUAUAUAUCUUGAGGCAUUGUUAACCCAAAUAGCCAUCAUUAUAUACCUUUACCAUGUCCAAUUAGCCACCAUUUGUAAUCUGGCUUCUUUUCCAAAUAAAGAUAUUCAUUUCAUUAUUUAUAUCUCAUUUUCAAUCAAUGUCAUUUCUUUAAAUUAUUUGCAAUGAAUAGAAAAAAUGUUUGAUUUGCGUCUUAUAUGUCUUGAAAAUAACAUAAUGAUUGAUAAUUGAAUAAUAUCAUGAAAAAAUAUAUAUUACUUUAGAAAGAGUGAAAGAUACAAAGGCAAAAGAUAAAACUUUCAAAACCUGGUAAGGACAUUGAUUUAGGAAAGAAAAAAAAAAAAACUCUUCUAAAGAGAAAGGCAAGUGCAUACUUUGAACAAUGAAAAAUAGAGCUAAUUUUGUUCCCAUUAUUGGAAAUUUGAAGAGUUUGGAAUUCAAAAGAAAAAUUCUUAAGAAUCUACUAAUUUUGUUCCCAUUAUUGGAAAUUUGAAAAGUUUGGAAUUCAAAAGAAAAAGUCUUAAGAAUCUAUGUACCACAACUAAAAGUUCAUUAAUUAUCAUUUGCACUGCAUACAUUGCAUAUAGGGAUAUCCUUUCCAUUUAUCUAGAGUAGGGAUGUCAUAAGAUCCAAUAUAAAUAAUGUGAAUCCAAAGAUUUCAAAUUUUUAAUAGAGAAGAAAUUUUUAAGGUAAGAUUUUUUAAUCUUCAAAGAAAAAGCUUUUCAAAAUCUUUAAACCUUUGAUUAGAGGACUCUAAUUUAAAGUUAUUUAGCCUUUGUAUAAAAAAGCCUAUUUCUUAGUUUAAAGUUGUUUAGCCGCUAAAUAAAGAAGCUCCUUUCUUAGUUUAAAGUUACUUAGCCUCUGUAUAGAUGAGCUUAUUUCUUUAUUUAUUAGCCUAUGUAUAAAGGAGUUUAUUUUGUUGAAUCUCUGUUUAGAUGAGUUAUUUGGAGUUUUUAAACUUUAUGCCUCUGUUUAGAGAAGUUUGUUAAAAUUUUUCAAAAAUUCGAUGCCUCUUUUUAGAGGAUUUUUUUAAAAUUGCUUGAGUUGAACUAGACUCAAUGGUUGCCUAAGUCUUUACGUCAUUCUUAUUUUACAGAAAUAUGCAAAAAGAGGCAACUAUAGACACCUCAUUUCAUAUGGUGCUCGUAAUUAAACUUUAGUUUGGGUUUUUUGGGCUUUCAAGGCGUCUAUCAGGCCUAUAAAUUGGAGUGGAGCCUUAAAUUGAUUAUAGGCUUUAAGCUAGUAUAGGGUACCAUUUGAUAUUUGGGCUUUGAAUCCACUUUAUAAUUACACUUAUGUUUUAAUUAAAUAUUAAUAAAAAAAUUAAUUUAAAAAUGAUAAAAAAAAGAAAUGAAAUCAGGAAUUUUUUGAAGAUCAAUCCUGAAAUCAUGAUUGAAUAGAAUUGGAAACAAAUCAAAAAUAAAAAACAUUGACCAAAAUCAAAUUAAAACCCAAAAUCAAACAAUGAUUUAGAACAAAUUUGUUAAUGGCAGAUUUGAUCUUAAAUAAUGGAACGUUAAAAUUUUUUACUAGGAAAUCCAUAUAAAUCAUGCUCAAACCCACAAAUACAUAUAUAGAGAUUAAGCAAAAGCAACAAAGAGGAAAUUUUUUGGUUGUAAAAAAGGGUUAUAGUCACCUAUCUGUGUCCGGGGUCCGUCGCAUCAAUUUUUAUUUUUUUUGCCACUAAUGUUACAUUACUACCCUAUUAUUAUAUUACUACUAUAAUAUUAUUAUAGUAUUAUAUUAUAUUAUUAUUAUAGUAUGCUGAUAUUAUACUACUAUUAUUAUAUUAGUAUUAUAUUAUAGUAUAGUAUAUUAUUAUAUUGUAUUAGGUUAUCAUAUUAUGAUUAUUAUUAUUAUUAAUAUUAUUAUAUUUGAUAUUAUUAUUCCUUUUAUUAUUUUUAUCAGAUUGUCUUUCUUUUUCCCUAAUCAGGGCUGAACAAAUUAUGGAAACCGAAAUCAAAUUGGUCAGUCAAAGGUUUUAAUGUAGAAUCAUGUCUAGAUAAUGGUUCAAUUCAAUGGAGAUCAAAUCAGUAAACAAAAUCACGCUCGGGCAAAAUCCAAUCCCAAGAUUCAAGCUUGGAAUUGAUUCUAUUUGUUUUUUAAAAUUUGUUCUAAGGGGGCCUAUAAAUUAAACAAGAAAUCAAAGGAAUGAUAGAAAAAAAAAAGUAGUGAAAAAGCUAGGGUUAUUAUUUUGGAAAUAAUUUUUGGGCAAUAGGGUUUUCUAGAAAAUUUUGGUCUUUUGGGAUUUGGAUUUUUGGGAGUUAUUGGUUUGAUCUAGAGUUUCUAGGCUUAGAUUUGGGAUUAUAAGAUAGCUUUAGAUUUUUUGAGGGAUUUUGGAGAAUUUGGGAAAAAUCUAUUUUUUUCUGGAAAAUUUUGGAAUUUUGGAAAAACAUAUGAAUUUUUUGAUGAAGUUAUUGGCGGGAGUUUGAAGCUUUCAGUGAGAUUUUAGCAAGAUUUUCAAAAACUGGCAAAGUUUAUAUAUUCCAAUUAAAUUUCUAGAUAGGAUUUUAGAGAAAGGGGAAAGAGUUUUUAGGUUAAAAAGAGUGUGGGUAGAAGGUUUCUAAAGCUAAACGUAAAGGCUUAGCUUUUUUACUGGUCCAAAAUGAUAGCAUUUUGAACACCCCAGAUCCGUGUGUCUACCUAGCAACCCACGUGAAGAUUCGCAUACAGACCUAACCCGUUUCACAAGUUUUUUUUUUUUCGUUUUCAUUUUAUUUUUUAAUUUUAAUUUUAAUUUUUAUUAUUUUCUUAAGUUUUUAUUUUAUUUUCAAUAUUUUUUAUUUAAUUUUGCUAGUUUUCAAAAAAAAGAAAAAAUGUUUUCUGGAAAACAGAAGAAGCAAAGAAUAAAAAAAAAAAAGCUAAAGAAAAUAAUCCCUCCAAAUAAGUUUAAAAAACAAAUAAAUAAGUCUAAAAAAGAAAUCUUUUUUCAAAUAAAUUUAUGGAAUCCACCAAACUAUUGAGAAAUUUCAUAAAUUAGUUUUUUUAAAAAGAAAAAAGAAUAAUAGAAUAUUUUUCCUCUAAACUAUUGGAGGAUUAUUUUUAAAUUAAGUUUUACCAAACUAUUGGAAGACAUUUAGUGAAAUUUACAAAAUUGUUAUAAAUCUUUUUACUAUAAAAUCUCAUAAACUAUUGGGAGAUCUGCCUCAAUGUAAAUCCUACCAAACUAUUGGGAGACUUUACUAAUUUUUUUGAAUAAAAAAUUAUAAUAAAUCUUAUGACGGAGCCUCUUUAGAAUAUUACACUAGUCUCUAUGAAUACUCUUGAGGUGAGAGAAUUAUCUUAAAUUACUACCAAACUAUUGGGACAAUUUUAAGAUUAAUUUUCAAUAUUAAAUAAUUUGGUAAAUUACAAAUAUGAUCAAGGCUUGGAUAAUUUGAAAUCAAACUGGUACUAUCCUUUAGAUGGGUGCUUAAGGGUGCUAUAACAUUUCCUCACAUGUAACCGUACUUUUGAACCUAAAAUUUGGUUUUACAGAUCAGAAUCUAUUUUAGGUGGUCAAUCACACCUAAACAAAAAAGAUUGGUGAUGACUCCUUUAAUCUAUGUCUAGCAUUAGGUCCACGAAUCUAUAUGUUAUGACAAUUUGGUGACUCCACUUGGGACAUUGAAAGUCAAUCUAGUCAAUGAUUACUUAUUAUCUAAGCCUUGCUUAAUAAAUUUGAGAUUAUUUUCUAUUUUUCUUAUUUAUUUCUUUUCAUUGCUUAUACUUUAAUUAUUCAUUUAUUUCUUUUCAUUGCAUAUGCUUGCUUAAUUAUUUAUUUAUUUGUUUUAUAUAUAUAUAUAUAUAUAUCUAUCACUCAUUUAUAUAUGCAUAACAUAAGCUAUCUACCCGAGCUUUACCUUUAGGAAAGAGUGAAGUACCUAUGCCUUCAUGAGAUUUUAUGUAUUCGCAUGGGUCUGAAAAACACGUCCACUCAAAUUGAACCCUUUCUGCUGAUAGCUUAUGAUGGGUAAGGAUCGAGAUGCCUUACUAGUCUAUGAUGGACAAUGAUAUAAGGAACAAUUUGGAAACCUAUUAGAGUUAACCCAAACCAUAUAUAGUUAACUUUAAGACCCAAACCAUAUAUAGUUAACUUUAAGAGCUCAACCAUACGUAGAGCCUUAUCUUUUCACCCUUUUUAGCCAAUCCAAAAUUCAAGGUCAUAUUGUUAUCUUACUUGCUAUAUGAUGCUUAUUCUUUUUUAUUAUUAUUAUUAUUGAAGUGACUAACUAAUUUUCUUGUUUUCUUUUUAUUUCUUUUCCUCUUGUGCAUAUUUAUAAACAUACUUACAUAUUGCAUAGUAUUUUUACCCUAAAAGUCAUUUCAACAAAAGCUCUUAUGGACUCUACAGAACGUCAGGUUUGUGCCUUAUCUAUAUUUUUCAAAUGUGACUUGCCUAUAAAUGUGAAACUAGAAUUAAAGAAGAGGCAGCAAGAAAGAGAUUGUUUACCACUUGGUUAUAUUCCACAUUAUCAAAGGAAGUUUGCAUGCUCUUCAAACAGAAUAAUUUGAAAAGCCUAUCAGAUAUAUAGAAUAGCAUGACUCCUUCAAGGUAGAAAGCUUUUUUUCAAAAGUUUGAGCAUAUUGCAUAUCUUUUAUCAGUGGAUGUUGAUAACUCACUCAUUAAAGUGAUGCUAUAAUUUUGAGAUCCUUCAUACUGUUACUUCAUUUUUUAAUAAGGUUGAUUUGGUGUUAAUUAUAGAAGAGUAUUCAACUUUAGUAGGUAUGCAUCUACUAUAUCCAGAUAGAAUAUAUGUGAAAAAACAAAAAUAAAGAAAUUACAAGAAAUUAAGCCAGAUAUUGGGAGUGAGAAAAAAGAUUAUAGAUUCAUACAUUCAAGAAAAAAAAGAUCGUAAGAAUAUUCCAGGGAAAAUUCUCUAAGAUUUCAUUAUUAAAAAUUUGAAUAAUGAUUAGGGAAUGAAUGUGUUCGCUUUAGCCAUAUAUAGGAUGAUCAUCUUUCCUAAAGUCUUAAGCCAUAUUGAGAUAGAAAUGGUUGUUCUAUUUGAGUAGAUAAAAAAAGGGUAACUAUCUUGGCAGAAACCAUCAGAUCUCUGAACUUUUGUAGAUAAAAUGACAAAGCAAGAUUCAUGAGUUGCAUACCAUUACUAUAUAUGUGGAUGAAAAGCCAUUUCGAAUGAAAGAAGAGUAUUUUUUUUCUAAGCUCUUUUUUAUAGUUGAGUCCCAAUUAGGGAGUUCUCUAAUUGCAUUUGGCCACAAGCAAAGACUCAGAAAUGAUGGAAAUGUUUGUUACAAAAACUCAUAGUCGGUCAGGUAAAAUAGUUAGCUCCGUGGAUGAAUCGAGAACCUAUGUUGUAUCAAUGUGGAGCUGAGAUAGGGGUUCCACUUUUAGAGUUAUGCGGGUUAACAAGUUAUGCACCACUAAUGGUAAGGAGACGGUAUAGAGAUGAAUAGUUUACUCCUAUGACUUGUUAGCUCAAACAAUUUGAUUGUUCAUAUGAUGAGCUCAAAACCUUUUAAAAGAUUGAUAGUAUGAUCAUGGCCUAGAAGAAGCCUAAAAAAGUAAGUCAUGUACCAUUUACUAAUAAGGCCACUAAAAGGUAUUUGAUUUAGAGAACCAAAAGGGGCCAAAAAGUGGCAUUUAUACCUAAAAACCAUUACUAGUUAAAGAGUCAAACGAUGUGCCUCUAAAAUCAGAAUCUAAAAUGAAAGAACUUGAAGUAGAGAAAGAGAAAUUGAAACAAGAACUUUUGAAGCUUCAAAAAGAAAAUGAACAGUGGUAAAACAAAGCAAAAAAAUUAAAAGUCCAAGUCUACAAGAUUUUCAAGGAAUAUAGCAAGGCCUAAAAAGUAAUCCAAAAAUGAGAUGAUGCCUUUAAGAAAUUAAAAGAGCUGCGAUAAAAGCAUAAGAGAUUACAAAUAUAGGUGUAGGCCAAAGAGAUAAAUAACACGAAUCUAGCUUAUGAGAAUGAAGAGUUGAAAAAAGAAUGUGCACAAAUAGAAUAUGAUUAUGUUAAAGUUCAACAAGAAAAUGAAAUGCUCUCAAAUUACAUUUUAACCUUGAAACUGAAGUUGGAUGACCAAAGAAACCAUGUUAAAAUGCUCACGAAAAAGCACAAGGAAUUAUCUUAUAAGGUGUGGUUCAGCAAAAGAGAAGGGUUAUGAAGACAAUGAUACAUAGAGCAUCUCACAACUCAGAUAGGUAAAACAGUAAUCAAGGUAGGUGAAAUGGCAUAAGAGGCUGAGGCGUUAAGAGCUUCAGUCACACCAACAGGAGAGCAUUGACAGAGAUUGCCAAACUUCAUUGAGGAGGCUAAAUACUAGUAUAAGCAAGUUAGGUGUUUUUAUAGAGGGACAGUAUUAGAUUUGAUGUAAAAUAGACUCUUGUGAAAUAAAUGAAAGUUUAUUUUUGUUAAAAUUGUUAAAAAGGCAAACAUUUUUCUUUUCUUUCAUUUUUUUCAUACAUUGCAUCACAUUCAUUCAUUGUUAUUUAUUGUCAUGACAUGAUCACUGAUUUUAAAUCAUGGUAUUAAGGUGCAAGAAUAGCUAUGCAUUCGUAUAAUACCUAGCCUAAAGCCAGAAAGAUGGAGUAGGAUAAUGCAAAUCAUCUUGAAAGAACAGAAAAAGCAUAAUAGAUACUUGAAAAAAAAUUUAGCAAAAUUCUGGAAGCUCUGAAAAAAGAAAAUAGAAGAAAGGCAAUAGAGGAAAAUACCUCACCUGAAGCUAUUGAAUCAACAUAUCCUUUAAGUUUCAGUCUAUAUCAGACCCAAACUACCCUAAUUUUUCAACCAUAACAGCCAACCAUUCUAAAUUAUAACUACCCAAGAAUGAUUUAUGUACUUGAUCAUGAGAAUGUCCAAAAUUAUAAUAAUUUUAUUUUUGUCAAAAAGGUAACUGAACCUACUCAACUCCUUACUUUAGAUAACAUAAAAGACAAAGAAAAGUUGUAAGCAACUGCAUCUUUGGAAAAUUCUAAGACUAAUUAAGCCAUGAACAGGAUUAAAGAAAGAUUACGGGUUGUAAAAAGAAUUGAUUUCUACAAAUCCAUGAAUGCAAUAAGACUUUGGUUAGUACCAGACGUAAUGAUACCUCUCAAAUUUAAAGUAACAAAUUUUGAGAAGUAUGAUGGUACUAAGUACCCCAUCACAUAUAUCACAAUGUACUUGCACAAGAUGGCAGCACAUGAUAGCAAUAAAAAGCUAUUCAUAUAUAUCUUUCAAGACAACUUGACUGGAUCUACUGUAAAGUGGUAUGUGUAACUAGAUGAAACCCACAUAAAGUCAUGACAAGAUCUGACCCAAUCCUUUAUUAAUCAAUAUCACCAAUCAUUGAUGUGGCUCCAAUCGCUUUUCAUUGCAAGGUAUUGAAAAGAAAAAAUUUGAAUCCUUUAAGCAAUAUACCUAAAAGUGGCAGAAUGUAGCUGCUAAAGUACAACCUCCCUUGACAAAAAAAAAACUACAGUGCUAUUCAUGAGCACUCUAAAGUCACCAUACUAUGAAAAAAUGAUAGAAAAUACGACUAAAAACUUUGUUGAUAUAGUGAUUUUGAGAGAGAUCAUAAAAAAUACCAUCAAAAAUAACAAAUUUGAAGGAGAAGAGUCUUCUAAAAAAGUGUCUAAAAAGAAAAAAAAUUGAGACUCAAGCUAUGAGUCUUGAAGGGUAGUAAUCCAAAAACUACUUUCGACUAACCUAUCCCAUAUAUCACAACACUGUAAAUCAUACUUCCACUUCCCCUUACCAACCAAUUACACAACCUUCUUAUCCAUCCUCACCAUAAUCACUUACAUAUCCAGUCAACAUAACAAAUAGUGCUUGUGAACCACAAACAAGGAAAAUACCCGUUUUUGAUCCUAUACCCAUAAGCUACAUAGAGUUAUAUCAAGAACUUUACAAAAACCACCUCAUUACCUUCGUUCCUACAAAACAACUUGAACCUCCAUAUCUCAAAUGCUAUGAUGCCAUCAUCCACUGUCACUUAUGGAGUAAUGGCCAUUCUACUAAAAAUUACCUUUUUUUAAAGCAAAAAGUGCAACAUCUGAUUAAAAAAAGGCUAAUAAGUUUUGAUGCUAAUGCAAACUCAGCACCUAAUAUUAGCAAAAAUCUUUUACCUAAUCAUACAGUUAAUGUCUUAGACAAAGACAAAAAGCACAUCAAAAGAAGGGUAAAAGAGCUUAAGAUGUCAUUCAACCAACUGUAUGGUGCUUUAUAUAAGGCUGGGUUGAUACAACCAGUAGCCCUACACACCUAUACAGGAAGAUACAUCCCUAAUCAAAGAUGUAAGUAUCACACUAGAGUUUUAGGUCAUUUUAUUAACAUCUGUAAACAAUUCUGUGAUGAGGUGCAAAAACUAAUAGACUCAUACCAAAUAGAAUUAUGUAAAAAAUCAAAAGCUUUAAAAAAUAUUUGGGUGGCUAUGACAGAUAGGUGGGUGCCAAAACCACCUUAAAAAAUAUAAAGACUGGCACGAAAAAUAACUUUUACUCUACAUGCUUAUCGGACAUCUGUAUGUACUUUCACCAGGGUAAUUCCAUUUUUCCUAGUCUACAAAAUGAAAGCAUAUUGCCAGUAAAACUAGAAAUCUCAUUUUUGAAAGUCUUAAGAAAAGUGAUAUUAGAAAAAGCUGAAUGGAUUCAAGAGUGCUAUAAGCAAUUGAACUUUAUUAAAAAAAAAGAUUGACAACACUCUACCACAGCCAACUGUACCAAAAAAGAAUAAUGAGAGCUCAUGACAAAAAGGUUUGACUCGAUCAAUUUCAAGAAGAAAAAUUGAUAUUGAAAAGAAUUCUUCUAAGCUAACAUGAUGAUCAGAGAAAUGGACUCCAAAUUAGGAAGGACCACAUGUUGUAAAAAGAGUUUUUUCAAGAGAAACCUUAAUCUUGUCAGAAAUGGAUAGAGAUGAGCUUCUUUAUCCCAUUAAUUCCAAUGUCGUGAAGAAAUACUUUACUUAAACAAAAGAAAAAAGAGGAAGUUCAAGUUGAAAACCCGAAAGGGUAGUUUGAACAAAAAAAAAAAAAAGUUCAAGUUGAAAACUCUGAAAGGUGGCUUGAAUGAGAGCAUCUUGGAUGAAUAGAAUAUGGCAUCACUUGAAAGGCAUAAUAGAGACAAUAAAUUUCAAAGAGUUCAAAAAUGUUAAGGCAUCAUGUUUUGGUUAAAUUUUUUAUGACAUCCAAGAUUUGUUGCCAUGAUUACCUUAUUGCUUACCUAAUUGCUUAUAGAUCCGAUCUUAGUCUAGGUCAAAUCAUUUUUAGACUUACAGUAUCAUUCCAAUCAUUAAUCUAUGAUCUUGACUUGGUCUUGGUCACUUUCAAACUUGCAGCAUCGUUUCAGUCAUUAAUAUAUGACUUCGACUCGAUCUUGGUUACUUUCAAACUCGUAAUAUCAUCCCAGUCAUCUGAUCUCGAUUCAAGUCAAAUCAUUUUAAGACUCACAGCAUCAUCCCAAUCAUUAAUCUAUGAUCUUGACUUGAUCUUAGUCGCUUUCAGACUCGCGUCAUUAUCCUAGUCAUAUGAUCUCAAUUCAGGCCAAAUUUUGAUUUAGGCCAAAUCAUUUUAAGACUCGCGACAUCAUCUUUGUCAUUAAUUUAUGACCUCUACUCGAUUUUGAUCGCUCUUAGACUUACGACAUCAUCCUAGUCAUCCAAUCUCAAUUCAAGUCAAAUCAUUUUAAGACUCAUGACAUCAUUUUAAUCAUUAAUUUACGACUUCAACUCGAUCUUGGUCAUUUCAGACUUGCAGUAUCAUCUCAGUUAUUCAAUCUAGACUCAGGUAAGAUCAUUUUAAGACUCACAGCAUUGUCCCAAUCAUUCUUUUUUUACCUCAAUUUGAUCUUGGUCACUUCUAGAUUUGUGUCAUUAUACCAAUCGUCCAAGCCAGAUUCACAUCAUCGUCAUAAUCAUUCAUCUUCGACCUUGACUCGAUCUUGGUCGUUUGCUGACUUGCGACAUUGUACUAGUCAUUCAACCUAGCUCGAUCCUGGUCACUUUUCAACUCGCGAUUUAUUUUUUAUCAGUUUUACUACUGAUUUAACUCAACCAAAGUGGGUAUCUAGGUCUUUACAUCAUCUCUAUCUAAUAGUGAUGUGCAAAGAAGGACAACUGUAGACACCUAUCUGUGUCUGGGGUCUAUCGCAUCAAUUUUUAUUAUUUUUUACCACUAUUGUUACAUUAUUAUACUAUUAUUACAUUACUACUAUACUAUUAUAAUAUUAUUAUAGUAUUAUAUUAUAUUAUAUUAUAUUAUUAUGAUAGUAUGUUGAUAUUAUAUUACUAUAUUAUAUUAGUAUUAUAUUAUAUUAUAGUAUUUUAUUAUAUUAUAUUAGGUUAUCAUAUUAUAAUUUUUAUUAUUAUUAUAUCCGAUAUUAUCAUUACUUUUAUUAUUUUUAUCAGAUUUUCUUUCCUUUUCUUGAUUAAGGCUAAACAAAUUAUGGAAACUGAAAUCGAAUCAAUCAAUCAAAGGUUUUAAUGCAGAAUCAUUUAUGGAUAAUGGUUGAAUUCAAUGGUGAUCAAAUCAAUGAAAAAAAUCCCGCUCGAGUAGAAUCCAAUCUCAAAAUUCAAGCUUGGGAUUGAUUAUGUCCAUUUUCUAAAAUCAAUUCUAAAAGGGCCUAUAAAUUGAACAAGAAAAAAAAAGGUAGUGAAAAAACUGGGGUUAUUAUUUUGAAAACAAUUUUUGGGCAAUAGGUUUUUUAAAAAAAAUUUUGGUUUCCUAGGAUUUGGAUUCUUAGGAGUUUUGGGUUUGAUCUAGAGUUUCUAGGUUUAGAUUUGGGAUUCUAAUAUUAUAUUUAGAUUUUUAGAGGGAUUUUGGAGAAUUCGGGAAAAAUCUAUUUUUUUCUAGAAAAUUUUGAAAAUUUGGAAGAGCAUAUGAAUUUUUUGAUGAAGUUUUGGGUGGGAGUUUGAAGUUUUCAAUGAGAUUCUGAUGAGAUUUUCAAAAACUAGUGAAGUUUCCAGAUUUUGGUUAAAUCUCUAGGUAGGUUUUUAGAGAGAGAAAAAAGAGUUUUAAGUUAGAGAGAGUGUGGGUAGAAGGUUUUUGAAGCUAAACAUAAAGGCUUAGCUUUUAUACUAAUCCAAAAUGAUAGCGUUUUGAACACCUUAGAUCACGCGUUUACCCAAUAACCCAUUUGAAGAUCCGCUUAUACACCUGACCCAUUUCGCAGGUUUCUUUUUUUCAUUUUCAUUUUAUUUUUAAUUUUUUUUUGUUUUCUUAAGUUUUAUUUUAUUUUCAGUAUUUCUUUUAAUAGUUUUGCUAGUUUUCAAAAAAAAGAAAAAAAUCUUUUCAAAAAUAAAAAAAGCUAAAGAAAAAAAAUCCUUUCAAAUAAGUUUAAAAAACAAAUAAAUAAGUCUAAAAAAGAAAUUUUUUUAAAUAAAUUUAUAGAAUCUACAAAACUAUUAGAAAAUUUCAUAAAUUAGUUUUUUUAAAGAAAAAAGAAUAAUAGAAUAUUUUUUCCUCUAAACUAUUGAAGGAUUAUUUUUAAAUUAAAUCUUACCAAACUAUCGGGAGACUUAAUGAAAUUCACAAAAUUUUUAUAAAUCUUUGUACAAUAAAAUCUCACCAAACUAUUGAAAAAUUUGUCUUAAAGUAAGUCUUACCAAACUAUUGAGAUACUUUACUAAUUUUUUUGAAUAAAAUAUUAUAAUAAAUUCGAUGAUGAGCUUUUUUAGAAUAGGAUAUUAGUCUCUAUGAAUACUCCAGAGGUGAGAGAAUUAUCUUAAAUUGCUAUCAAACUAUUUGAACAAUUUUAAGAUUAAUUUUUAAUAUUAAAUAAUCUGACAAAUUACAAAUACGAUCAAGGUUUGGAUAAUUUGAAAUCAAACUGGUAUUAUCAUUUGGAUGGGCACUGUGAGGGUGUUAUAACUUUUCUCACACAUAACCGUACUCCCAAACCUAAAAUCUAGUUUUGCAAAUCAAAAUUUGUUUCAGGUGACCAAUCACACCUAAACAAAAAAGAUUUAUGGUGACUCAUCUAAUCUAUACCUAGCAGUAAGUCUACGGAUCUAUAAAUUAUAACAAUGGUUUUUGAAUUUUUGGCUUUAUUUUAUUUUCUAGGACUUUUGCACUUGGUUUAGUUUUUUUUUUUUUUUGGAACUAGGAUUCAAUCUUUUGUUUGAUUGGAUUUCUUUUAGGUUUUUAGGGAUUUUGGAUUCAAGUUUUUGAUUUUUUUUUUAGAAUUUUUGGAAAAUUCUUUGAAUUUUCUUAUGAAGGGUUGAAGUUCCCAGCAACCGGCAUUAAAAAUCUUGCCAGCUUUUAGAAUUUUUUCGCCAGAUUCUGGGCACCAUUGAAUUUACUAUUUGAAUGCUAAAGAGAGAAACAGAGAAAAAAACGUGUUAGAGAGAAAAUAUUCCAGUAGUUCUAAAAAGAAAAAAAAUGAGAUUUAGGGGUUUUAUUCUUGUAUAAAACAACACUAUUUUUUGGAUUCAUAAAAACCUAGGAUCUAUGCAUUUUACCACAUUCUAACCUAACCCACAGUGUGGCCCAUCCUUUAACCUGAAUUUCCUUUUUGCUCUGAGCCAAGCCAUGCCUUAGUUGAGUGUCGAGCCAUGUCGAUCCUUGUGCCUGCAGCCGCACUCUUUAGCCACUAAGCCAAGCCGACUUGAGGUAUUUUUUAUAUGCUUAUCUUAUUUAUUUGUUUUAUUUACUUAUUUAUUUAUUCAUUUAUUUAUCUACUUGUUUUUUAAAAUACUCUUACAAAAUCAUAUUUAAAUAAAAAAGUCUUACCAAUAAUUUGCAGAACCAAUAUUUUAUUUUCAAAAUAAAGUUUUACCAACAUAUUAGAAUGCUUUACAAAUUUUAAUUUUAAAAAAAUAAUUUUUAAAAAAAGCCUUACCAAUAUAUUAGAGUGCCGAUAUUUUAUUUUCAAAAAUAAGGUUUUAUCAACAUAUUGAAAAGCCUUAUAAUUUUUUUAUAAUUUUGAAUAAAAUAAAAUAAUAUUUCUUUUUUUUUUCAUAAAUUCUUAUAAAUAUAUUGGAGGAUAAUUUUUUAUAAAAAAUUUUAUCAACAUAUUGAAAGGUAUUCUGACCAUAGACUAGGUUUGUAGAAAUUUACUUCUACAAGCAAAAUUAAAUGAAUUUGAUGGCAAAACUUUUUUAAAGCGUGACAAAUAAUCUCCUUGAAUAUUUUUAAAGUGAGAAAAAAUUCUUAAAUUAUUACCAACAUAUUGGAGUAAUUUAAGGAAAAUUUCUAAUGUUAAAAUUAUUUGGUAAAAUUAUAAAUAUAUUUUAAAGCUUGGAUAACUUGGAAUCAAACUAAUAUCAUUUUUUGGAUGGGGGCUGUAAAGGUGUUAUAACCUUCCCCACGUGCAACUAUACUUUCAAACCUAAAAUUUGGUUUCAUAGACUAGAAUCUUCUAUUUAAAGAUACCUAAGUUAAUCUUGAGAUUUCUUUUUAAAUAAAAUAGAUUUAGUCAAAUGGCUAAUCACAUCUAAACAAAAAAAAAUUAGUGACAACUCUUUUAAUUUAUGUCUAGUGAUAGAUCCACAGAUUUAUUCGUUAUGACAAAACUCAAAUCUCAACAUUUACAACUAUUUUUCGUAUUCUCAAACAUUCUCCUUAAUUAAAACAAAUAGUCUGAAUAAAAAAUUAGGUAUGCUUAAUUUGUUUGAAUUGUUAAGUUACUUUGUUCUAAGUUUUAAAAUUUUUAACUUCUUUUCAUAUAUGUUCAAAUUUUAGGUUAUAUAAUCAGAGACAAGUAAUUUAUAUUCAUAUUUCAUAUAAAAAUUGUUUCUGAUUUAUAAGAUUUAAAUUUAAAUUAUAAUUUCAAAUUCUUUCUAAUAAUUAGAUCAUGUAAAAUCAAGAUAUAUUUAAAUUUAUACUUUAUUCUUAUUCUUAACCUCUUUAUUAUUAGAAUAAUUAAUCUAUAUAAGUAUAUACCAUAUAUAUUCAUAUCCAUAAUGUCUUUUAUGAAAAUGAAAAAAAUACUCAUCAAAGAAGAAUCAAAGCAUGUGCAAGGAAUAGUGAACCUUUGGAAUUUGCCUAGUACAAACAGUUAGAGAAGCAUUUCUAAAAUACAACAUGUAUAGGGUUUAAAAGAAUAAAACUUUGACAAAUAGGUUUGGUUUUUGUUUUAAUAAUUAUAUUUAUUUAUGUUGAAGUCAAGUACGUGUAAAAAGUGAGAUAUGUUAAUUUAAAAUUUAAUUCAGUUAAUUUAUAAAAUUAUUUUUAAAAAAUAGUAUUUGAUUGAAAUUUAAAUCUCAAUACUUGUAUUUUUUUUGUUUUAUUCCGAAUAACUUUUUUUAAAAAGAAAAAAUGAGUCAUGUGGAUUUUUUUUUUGUUGACCUUUUAUCAUUUGUUAAUCUACCUUUGGUCCAACUUUUCUACAGUAUACUAUUAAUUUAAUAACCAUCACUUCUUUGAAUAAUUUUAACCUUACAAUUAAAGAGGUAAAACUUUUCCAUUGAUAAGAACUUACUCAAGUAACUUCUUGGUCAAGAAAAUAGCUAUCUCCAUAUUGAAAUUUAAUCAUGAAAUUAAAUCAUUAAUCUUGCUACAUAAUUCAUCCAAUAUGAUUUAAUUUGAUUGGAACAUAUAUCUAAAUUUAAGUAUACAUGCAAAAAAAAAAGCAGAUGAUUCUUAAGUGAUGAAAAAACUUAUGUAAUUUGAAACUUAACUCUGUUAGUUUAUGCAUAUAGUUGUUUUUGGAGAUGAUAUUUAUUAAAUUUGAUAUUCAAAUUUUAACACUUUCUCUCAUUUCAAAGCUACGAUCCUCUUUUAUUACAAGAAAAAAAAACUAGAAAUAAUCUUUUAUUUGUAACUUUAAACCGGUGAAUUUAAAUUGCUAAGACUUUGAAGUCAUAUUUUCAUUGGCAAAGUUUAUUUACAUUUAUUUCAAAAGUAGAGAAAAAAAGGCCAUUUGGCCUAACAAUCAAUAUCCUUUUGAGCAACUUCGCAAUAGAUGAGCAUUGGCCUCCGAUCUGCCCAACAACUAAUCUACUGAGGAAUUGGCAGAGCUUGAGGCAAAGAUUGGUUUGAUGCUGAAAUCGUUUGUAGUUUGCAGUCAACAGAGAUCAAUUGAGCAGAGUUAUUAUUGUUUUCGUCAACAGAAUUCAUGUUGAUUAUUUGUAGCAAAACACGCUCGAGCUCUUCACCAUCACUCCAUUCAUGAAUCUCAGCCUUGACGGGCAUAGGAUUCCUGCAAAUUAAAUCACAGACUGGAAAAUUCUUCCUUGGCAUCAUGUACUCUGCUUCUCCAAGCCUUCGACUUGGACAAUAAUCUCCGGUACCAUCUCCUAGGUAGAUGAUUUUUUUCUUCCCCUCUAAAGAAUCUUGAAUCCUUUCAAUGAUUAUCCCCUGUUACACAAAGCAGAAGCCAAAAUUAAAAUUUUUGACAUCUUAUUUCAUGAUUUCAUUAAAUUUAUAUGAUUGUUGACCCAUGUCAAGAUCAUUGGUUUCGUUUAUGUCCUUAUAGGAGGCAUUACUUUAACAGAAUAAGUGGGGUCAAGAAAAGAAGUUAGACAUAUCGAAAAUGAGGAGAAAAGAAGUUAGACAUCUAAAAUGAGGAGAUUUAAAAAAUAAAGAAAUAAAGAAAAACUUCCAAGCUAGUUGGAUGAAAUUGACUAUGUACAUGUGGAAUACCAUCAAGUAAUAAAAUUUUCUAGAAUUUUUCACUUACAUGAAAAAUUUAGGUCUACAAAAGUUUGGUGUCUUGAUUUAAAAUAUUUACAAUUGUGAUAUUAAUGAAAUUAAAUCUCAUGUUACUGAUGAAAAAGAUCUGAUACGUUGCACAUAUUUGAAGGACAGAGGUUGCAGCCGUGGGAACUCUUUGUGAAAUCAUGGUAAGGGAUGAUCCUCAGCCUCCCUUCUUCAUCAACAAAGCUGGGGUUGGUGUUGAUCUCUGAGAAAUAUUCCCUCAAUCCAAGAUGUUCCAGAAUUGUCUCAAUAAAGAACAUGUUCGCAUCACUCACAAUCCUGAGUUCACACCUGAAAAAAUAUUCAAACCAAUUUGAUCACCUUAAAUUUCUAUUUCUUCAAACUUUAGUUUUAUAGUCACAGGUCAAACACCAAGAGGAGAAGCAUAGAAAAAAAGCAGUACCCUAAAGGAUGAGCUGAUUUAAUAGCGGGGACGAUCCUAGGAUGGAUAGGAGCUCGUUUCAGAACCUCAGCAGUGUCAUCAAUGGUUUUUCCCUGGGCAUGAAGCUCCUUCAUCAUCCUGUCCUGUAAUUUUAUACCACAAACACUGAGUUUCAAUUUUUAUAAAUGUAAAGCCAACAGAAAUAGAAAUUGCAGAGGGCUUAAUAUGGGUUACCAUGAGAGAAUUCCAGGGCAUGGUAGGAAGAAGCUGGUUGAACAAGUCGGUGAAACCCAAGUCAUCGACAACCCAGUUAUCACUAUCACAGUCGAUGAUGGUUUUGUCAAAAUCAAAAACCAGAACAAUUCCAGCCAUCUCUCUGAAUGAAAAUCAAACAAAACACAAAACAAGAAUGGAAAAACUCGACGACUCUUUGAAUGUUGUUUUCUUGGUAUAGAAUCACGUAACAGGGGAAGGGUAUUUAUAUGCAGAAAAAUGUUAUUAGGUUGAAACAACGGAUUUUUCUAUGCCAAAGGAAUAUUACGUGAAGGGGUUAUAAGGUGUAAGUAGGAAGCACCAAGCAGGCCACAAGAAGCUGUUUUCCCUGCAAGCUUCCUACGCAAAACAUACUAAUCUGAUACAACUGCUUGCAAAUUAUUUCUCUGGUAUAAGCAAUGUUAACCGUUUGAUGGAUUACUUUUGAACCAUGUGAUCAAUCAAGUUCAGUCGGCGGAUCAGGGGUAAAAGGGUGUCGGUUAAUUAUGAAAGGGUUUAGGUUUAAGGUUUAAGGUUUAUCAAACUCCUCUCCAUUGCUUCAUUCGCUUACUUGUGCCUUUCCUAGCCUCCUGUUUUUGCAAAUCAAAUCCCAAACUGGGAGAUACUUCCUUGUCAUUGCAUAGUCCCCAUCUCCCAGCUUCAAACUUGGACAGGAAUCGCCAAGCCCAUAGCCGAGGUAGAUUAUUGUUUUCUUCUCCUCCACGAGCAUGAGAGAGACUUGGAUCCUUUCAAUCACAAUACCCUAUUAAGAAAGAGUACAAUCAUUAAUCAAUAGGAUGGGAAGAAAAUGAAGAUAACUUAAAAAUAAUUAGUAGCAUAUAAUUAUAUAUCUUACAGCUAAUCAUGCUUUGGAUUCAUUACGUGUACUAAACAUUAGAAUUCAGUUGCGGAUGCAUACGGUAUAAUCGGGUAUUCAUGUACACCUCCACAGAUUCGAAAAUAAAAAGUGUUUUCUUUGGACGCCUUCAAAUUUUGUUUUGGAGACCUUCAAAAUUUUCUUUUUGAACAUAUCUUUCUUAAUUCCUUAUUCCUUAAUCCUUCACUUACUGCCACUAUCUAAUAUCCAAUCACAUCUCACAGCCAGUUAAUGCCCAACACCCAGUAAACAUCCACUAUAAUAAAUGGACACCUCCAUAAAAAUAUCUUGCAUCUGCUACUGUUAGAAUUCAGUCAUAUUUGAUGCAUGCAUGCAUGGUUCACGUUGUUAGUAACUAGUAUGAUUUUCAAGUUAAAAAUGACAUACCUUGCACAUGUUUGGAAGGCAGGGAUGAUGACAUCCAUGAGUAGAUUGAGUGUAAUCAUGGUGAGGCAAGAUCCUUAGCCUGCCUUCUUCAUUUACGAAACCUGGGUUGCUAUUGAUCUCCGGAAAGCAUUCCCUCAGGCCAUGAUGCUUCAAAAUUGUGUCGAUGAAGAACACCUUCGCGUCGCAUACAAUCUUCAAAUCACACCUAAAAUUAAUAGUGCCAUACGACUUUUUUUUUUUUUUUUUAUAGCGAGAAAACCAGAAAGAAAAAUUAAAUAUACAUGCCGGUAGGACUGAAGUUGGCAAGAAGGAAACUCCUAAAGCUAAGAAAUGUUGCCAGAGAGCUUAUUAAGUGUAUGGUCCUUUAAUUGCUUCUUGCGACAGAGGAAUAAUAUCCCAGGCUGCAAUCCCUGAGAAUGCAACUGUGGCAUCUGCUCUCUCAACAAACGAUUGGACUCAAUAUCUCACUGCUUCUCUACAGAUGAGGGAUAUGCAGCAGAUGUUGGCUGGUCUGACCUUCACUGAAGAAGAAGAUGUUGUUGGCUAGCAUCAAAGUCUGGCAAGUUCAUACUUUCAAAUACAUGGGACUGGAUCAGGGAUAGGCAACCCACUGUGGUUUCGCAUAAAUUGGUCUGGAUUCCUCUUCACUCCCUAAACAUAGUUUUAUCACUUGGCUUGAGGUUAUUAAUAGAUUGAGCACACUACCUAAUAUUAGGAGUUAGUGCACUCAAAUGUCAAAAAUCACUUGCUACUUUUGUGAUAAAGAGGAAGAGACUAAGAAUCAUCUUUUCUUUUCUUGUGACUUCUCAAAGCAAGUUUGGCAAUUAGUUUUAGCAGAAGUGAAGUGUGUUUUUGAUUGCAACAUCCAAAAGUGGCAGCAGGAGCUUGAUUGGAUUAUUCGGCAUACCAGAGGUAAAACUUUUAAGACUAUAAUUUUGAGAGGAGCGUGAACAACAAGUAUAAAUAUAUCACAUAUGCCAUGCGAGGAAUUCUCCAUAACUUGGCAUUUAUUCUCCAAACAUUGACAAAUACUUUCCCAGACAUUAGUUUUAACGUAAAGUCUUGCGUUUUAAAAUUUGUAAAAAAAUAUGAAUAAUCCAUCUACUAGCUCUGUAUGUAAAAAAUUGAAGGAUUGUAUAGGAAAUACUAAAGCUCUUUCUUUGAUUUGUGGACUGGUAGCCACCUACUUCUUUGGACCAAUGAAAUACCAUUUAUGAAUAAAAAAAAAACGAAAAUAUACACGAAGAGAGAGAAAAAUGUAUACAUAGCCUAAAGCAUGAGCGAUUUAAUGGCUUGGAUGAUUCGGGGAUGUAUAGGAGUUGUUUUAGAACAGCUAUAAUGUCAUCAAUUUUUGUUCCAUGUGAGUGAAGUUCUUUCAUUAUUAGAACCUGUUUUGUACAUAAAAAAAAAUUAAGCCCUGGUUCUUAAGUUUGGAAAAGAAGGAAAAAGAAAAACAAAUAAAUUAAAAGACUAACCAUAAAAGAGUUCCAAGUCAUGGCAGGGAGGAGUUGAUUGAACAACUAUGUAGCAGAUUUAUGAAACCUGGAAUUCAGGUUAAUUGAUUUAUAAAAUCAUCAUUGAGAGAUGAUAUCUAACUGAAACUCAAAUUUUAAUAUUUACAAUUAUUUUUUAUUUUUUCAAACGGUCUUCUUAAUAAAAAAAAAAACAAUCUAUAAUAAAAAAUUACACACCCUUAAUUUGUUUGAAUUAUCAAAUUAAUUUGUUCAAAGUUUUAAAAUUUAUAACCUUUUCUCUUAUACGAUCAAACUUUAUGUUAUAUAAUCAGAGACAAGUAAUUUAUAAUCAUAUUUCAUAUAAAAAUCAUUUUCAAUUUAUAAGAUUUAAAUUUAAAUUACAGUUUCAAAUUCUUUCUAAUAAUUAGAUCAUAUAAAAUCAAGAUAUAUUUAAAUUUAUGCUUUAUUCUGAUUCUUAACCUCUUUAUUAUUAGAAUAAUUAAUCUAUAUAAGUAUAUACCAUAAAUAUUCAUAUCCACAAUGACAUUUAUAAAAGUGAGAAAAAUUCUCAUCAAAGAAGAAUCAAAGCAUGUGCAAGGAAUAUUGAAUAUUGAACCUUUGGAAUUUGCCUAGUACAAUCAGAUAGAGAAGCAUUUUUAGAAAAGCUGUAUAACAUGUAUAGGGUUUAAAAGAAUAAAAUUUUUGACAUAUAGGUUCGGUUUUUGUUUUAAUAAUUAUACUUAUUUAUGCUGCAAUGUAGUACUUGCAAAAAAGAAAUUUAUUUUAAUUGAAUUAUAAAUUUAUUUUUAAAAAUAACUUCCUUAAGUAACUUUUUAAGGAACUUCCUUAAGUAACUUCUUGGUCAUGGGAAUAGCAAUCUCCGUACUGAAAUGUUAAUCAUGAAAUUAAAUCAUUAAUCUUAUUGCAUAAUUCAUCCAAUAUGAACUAAUUUGAUUGGAACAUAUAUCUAAAUUUAAGUCUACGUGCAAAAAGAAUGGGCAGAUGAUUUUUAAGUGAUGAAAAAAAAUUAAAAAUAAUCUUGUAAUUUGAAACUUAAUUAUGUUAAUUCAUGCAUAUAAUUAUAUUUAAAAAAUAAUACUUAAUUAAUUUAAAAUUUAAAACACAACACCUUCUCCUAUUCCAAAGUUACUAGCACUUUUGUAAAAAAAAAAAAAUAAUAAUAAUAGUCUGUACCCCGUAACUCUAAACUGGUAAAUUUAAUUUGAUAAGAUUUUGCAGUCAUAUUUUCAUUGAAAAUGUUUAUUUACAUUUAUUUCAGAAAUAGAGGAAAAAAAAAGGCCAUUUGGCCUAACAAUCAAUAUCCUUUUGAGCAACUUCGCAUUAGAUGAGCAUUGGCCUCCGAUCUGCCCAACAUCUAAUCUACUAAGGAACUGACAGAGCUUGAGGCAAAGCUUGGUUUGAUGCUGAAAUCGUUUGCAGUCUGCAGUCAACAGAGAUUAAUUGAGCAGAGUUAUCAUUGUUUUCCUCAACAGAAAUCAUGUUGAUUAUUUGUAGCAAAACACGCUCGAGCUCUUCACCAUCACUCCAUUCACGAAUCUCAGCCUUGAUGAGCAAAGGGUUCCUGCAAAUUAAAUCCCAGACUGGAAAAUUCUUCCUUGGCAUCAUAUAGUCUGCUUCUUCAAGCCUUAGACUUGGCCAGUAAUCACCGGCACCAUCUCCAAGGUAGAUGAUUUUUUUUCUUCCCCUCUAAAGAAGCUUGUAUCCUUUCAAUGAUCAUCCCCUGUUACAGAAAGCUGAAGCCAAAAUUAAAAUUGUUGACAUCUUAUUUCAUGAUUGUCAUUAAAUUUAUAUGAUUUGACCCAUGUCAAGAUCUUGUGUUUGUUUACGACCUUAUAUGAGCCAUUACUUUAAUAGAUUAAGUGGGGUCAAGAAAAGAAGUUGAAAUAUCUAAAAUGAAAAUAGAUUUAAAAAAUAAAGAAAUAAAUAAAAACUCCAAGCUAGUUGGACGAAUUUGACUCUGUACACGUGGAAUACCAUCAAGUAAUAAAAUUUUCUAGAAAUUUUCACUUAAUAUGAAAAAUCUAGGUCCUCCUACAAAAGUUUGUUGUCUUGAUUUAAAAUAUUUACAAUUGUGAUAUUAAUGAAAUUAAAUCUCAUGUUAGUGAUGAAAAACAUAUAAUACCUUGCACAUACUUGGGGGGCAGAGGCUGCCAGCCACUGAGAACUCUUGGUGAAAUCAUGGUAAGGAAUGAUCCUCAGCCUCCCUUCUUCGAUCAAACAAAGCCUGGGGUUUGGUGUUGAUCUCUGAGAAAUUUCCCUCAAUCCAAGAUGUCCCAGAAUUGUUCUCAAUGAAGAACAUGAUUGCGAUCACUCACAAUCCUGAGUUCACACCUGAAAAAAAAUAUUCAAACCAAUUUGAUCACCCUUAUAUUUCUAUUGCUUCAAACUGUAUUUUAUAGUCACAGAUCAGAACACCAAGUGGAGAAGCAUAGAAAAAAGGAGUACCCUAAAGAAUGAGCUGAUUUAAUAGCGGGGACGAUCCUAAGAUGGAUAGGAGCUCGUUUCAGAACCUCAGCAAUGUCAUCAAUGGUUUUUCCUUGGGCAUGAAGCUCCUUCAUCAUCCUGUCCUGUAAUUUUAUACCACAAACACUGAGUUUCAUUUUUUAUAAAUGUAAAGCCAACAGAAACAGAAAUUGUAGAGGGCUUGAUAUGGGUUACCAUGAGAGAAUUUCAGGGCAUGGUAGAAAGAAGCUGGUUGAACAAGUCGGUGAAACCCAAGUCAUCGACAACCCAGUUAUCACUAUCACAGUCGAUGAUGGUUUUGUCAAAAUUAAAAACCACAACAAUUGCAUCCAUCUCUCUGGAUGAAAAUCAAACAAAAUGCAAAACAAGAUUGGAAAAACUCAACUACUGUUUGAAUGUUUUCUUGUUGGUAUAGGUCACGUAACAGGCGAGGGGUAUUAUAUGCAAAGAAUAGAUUUUUUUUAUGCCAAAGGAAUAUUAAGUGAAGGGGUUAUUUGGUGCAAGUAGGAAGCACUAAGCAGGCCACAAGAAGCCCUUUUUCCUGCAAGCUUCCUACUCAACACGUACUAAUCUAAUACAACUGCUUGUAAAUUAUUUCUCUGGUAUAAGUAAUAUUAACCGUUUGAUGGAUGACUAUUGACCAUGUGAUCAAUAAUCAAGUUUAGUCAGCGGAUCUGGGGUAAAAGGGUGUGGGUUAAUUAUGAAAGGGAUUAGGUUUAAGGUUUAACGUUUAUCAGACUUCUUUCCAUUGCUCCAUUCGCAUAAUUGUGCCUUUACUAGCCUCCUGUUUUUGCAAAUCAAAUCCAAAACAGGGAAAUUCUUCCUUGUCAUUACAUAGUCCCCAUCUCCCAGAUUCAAACUUGGACAGAAAUCGCCAAGCCCAUCGCCGAGGUAGAUUAUUGUUUUCUUCUCCUCCACGGGCAUGAGAGAGACUUGGAUCCUUCCAAUCACAAUACCCUAUUAAGAAAGAAUUCAAUCAUUAGUCAAUAGGAUGGGAAGAAAAUGAAGAUAACUUAAAAAUAAUUAUAGCAUAAAAUUAUAUAUCUUACAGCUAAUCAUGCUUUGGAUUCAUUACGUUUACUAAACAUUAGAAUUCAGUGGAGGUUGCAUAUGGUAUAGUCGGGUACUCAUGUACUCCUCCAAAGGUUGGAAAAUCAAAAACGUUUUCUUUGGACACCUUCAAAUUUUCUUUUUGAACAUAUCUUUCUUAAUUCCUUAUUCCUUAAUCCUUCACUCACUGCCACUACCUAAUAUCCAAUCACAUCACACUGUCAGUUAAUGCCCAACACCCAAUAAGCAUCCACUAUAUUAAAUGGACACCUCCAUAAAAAAAUUUCUUGCAUCUGCUACUGUUAGAAUUCAGUCAUAUUUGAUGCAUGCAUGCCUGGUUCAUGUUGUUAGUAACUAGUAUGAUUUUCAAGUUAAAAAUGAUAUACCUUGCACAUGUUUGGAGGGCAGGGAGGAUGAAAUCCAUGAGUAGAUUGAGUGAAAUCAUGGUGAGCAAAGAUCCUUAGCGUGCCUUCUUCAUUUACCAAACCUGGGUUGGUAUUGAUCUCUGAAAAGCAUUCCCUCAGGCCAUGAUGCUUCAAAAUUGUGUCGAUGAAGAACACGUUCGCAUCGCAUACAAUCUUCAAACCACACCUGAAAUUAAUAAUGCCAUACGAGUAUUUUUUUCUUUUCUGGCGAGAAAACCAGAAAGAAAAAUUAAAUAUACAUGCCGGCAGGACUGUAGUUGGCAGGAAGGAAACUACUAAAGCUAAGAAAUGUUGCCAGAGAGCUUAUUAAGUGUAUGGUCCUUUAAUUACUUCUUGCGACAGAGGAAUAAUAUCACAGGCUGCAAUCCCUGAGAACGCAACUGUGGCUUCUGCUGUCUCAACAAACGAUUGGACUCAAUAUCUCACUACUUCUCUACAGAUGAAGGAUUUGCGGCAGAUGUUGGCUGGUCUGACCUUCACUAAAGAAGAAGAUGUUGUUUGGCAGGCAGCAAAGUCUGGCAUGUUCAUACUUUCAAAUACAUGGGACUGGAUCAGGGAUAGGCAAUCAACUCUGGUUUGGCAUAAAUUGGUCUGGAAUUCCUCUUCACUCCCUAGACAUAGUUUUAUCACUUGGCUUGAGGUUCUUAAUAUAUUGAGCACACUAGCUAAUAUUAGGAGAUUCUGAGAGGAGCGUGAACAACAAGUAUAAAUAUAUCAAAUAUGCCAUGCGAGGAAUUCUCCAAAACUUGGCGUUUGUUCUUCAAAUAUUGACAAAGUCUUUCCUAGACAUUAGUUUUAAUGUAAAGUUUUGCCUUAUAAAAUUUGUAAAAAAAUAUGAAUAAUCCAUCUAUUAGCUGUCUGUGAAAAAUUGAAGGAUUGUAUAGGAAAUGCUAAAGCUUAUUCUUUGAUUUGUUGACUGGUAGCCUCCUGCUUCUUUGGAUCAAAGAAAUACCAUAUGAAAAAAAAAAAAAAACUAAAUAUAUACGAACACUGAGAAAAAUGUACGCAUAGCCUAAAGCAUGAGCCGAAUUUAAUGGCUUGGAUAAUUCGGGGAUGUAUUGGAAUUGUUUUUAGAACAGCUACAAUGUCAUUUAUGUUUGUUCCUUGUGAAUGAAUUUCUUUCAUCAUUAGAUCCUGCUUUGUACAUAAAAAAAAUAAGCCCUAGUUCUUAUAUUUGGAAAAGAAAGAAGAAGGAAAACAAAUAAAUUAAAAGACUAACAAUAAGAGAGUUCCAAGGCAUGGUAGAGAGGAGUUGAUUGAACAACUAUGUAGCUAGUCUAGGAUUUAUGAAAUCUGAAAUUCAGGUUAGUUGAUUUAUAAAAUUACUCUUAAGAGAUGGUAUUUAACUGUAACUCAAAUUUUAAUAUUUAUAAUCAUUUCUUGUACUCUCAAAUGACCUCCUAAAUAAAUAAAUAAAAAGUCUAUAAUAAGAAAUUAAGUAUGCUUAAUUUGUUUGAAUUUUCAAGUUACUUGAUCCUAAGUUUUAAAAUUUUUAACUUUUUUAAUAUAUGUUCAGAUUUUAAGUUAUAUAAUUAGAGACAAGUAAUUUAUAAUUAUAUUUCACAUAAAAAUCAUUUCUAGUUUAUAAGAUUUAAAUUAAAAUUAAAAUUUUAAAUUCUUUCUAAUAAUUAUGUCAUGUAAAAUCAAAAUAUAUUUAAAUUGAUACUUUAUUCUGAUUCUUAAUGCUUUAUUAUUAAAAUAAUUAAUCUAUAUAAGUAUAUACCAUAUAUAUUCAUAUCCACAAUGCCUUUUUAUAAAAGUGAGAAAAUCCUCAUCGAAGAAGAAUCAAAGCAUGUGCAAAGAAUAUUAUGUAAUACCUAAGUCCAAGUUAUUAUAGCUUAAUUAGUGAUCCAGCCCAUAAGUAUCAUUAGUAAAAAAAAAAAACCUAAAGAAGAAAAAAAAAAAAAAGAAAACUUAUCAACAACUUUUGUCGAUAGUUUUUUUUGAGAAAAAAAAAAAGGGAAAAAUUUUAAGAAAUACUUGGGAUGAAGAAAAGAGGAAGAGAUAAUGCAAAUCAAUUCUAGAAAUCACUUAUUAAGAUAAAAUUUUACUUAAAACUCUUGAAAUUUUUAUGUUUUAUACAAUUUUCUACAAACCCAAAUUAUAUUUUUAUAUCUUUUCAACUUCAAAAAUAUUUCAACGACCUCUUAGUGACAAUCUGACGAAAUUGAAGGUACUAAUGGAAAGUCUCUUUAAAACCUUUCUAAUGGUAUGUGUGGUACUUUGUUUAGUUAAGUAAUUUAAGAGAAUUUAGUGUUUUAAAUUUUUUAUUUUUUGGUUUUUAAUAAUUACAGAUGCCCAAUUUUGACCCAUCGAAACUCUUUACCCUGGUAGCCAAUUUGGUUGAACAUUUUAUGCUUUUGAUAGUACAAAAUGUGAAUUUUCUAUUGGUAUAAUUGGUUUGUUUAGAUUAUUUAUAGGCUAAAAGAAUCGAAACUCCAAAAUAGGCUUCAUGAAUCUAAAACUCAAAAAAUCAGGGCUGUUUAUGAUGAUUUGUCAAGUUUUAACCAUUGAAACUUUGGUUUUUAGAAAUUAGUUUUGCCAAAACAAAAUUUUAUAUUGUAGUAUUACAUCCUUACUUUAAAUUCGCGCUUCAUUUUGUCAUUAGGAACUAUAGAAUGUUCAAGUUUUUGUGACUCAAAUUAAACCAAAUGAUCACAUAAUUUAAAAAUUCUCAUUUUUAAUUAUUUUAAAAAUUAUUUCCAGCCAAUAUUUAAUGUGUUUAGCUAUAAAUUACUUAAAUUUUAGUUAUAGUAUUUUUAAAGAAUUUUUACUUAUUUUAAUAUAUUUUUAUUGUGUUAAUUUUAUAUUAUUAAUAUUGUUAAAAGACUAUUAAAUUAUAUUUAGAUUUACAAAAAAAAAAUGAUUACUAUUAAAUGUUAAAAAUUAAAUAUUUGAAAAAAUUUAUAUUGCUACUGAUUUUUAUGUUUUAAUCCUUAAUUUCAUAUUUAUAGUCCAUUCUAGGUAUUUUGCUAUAUUAAAAUAAAAUUUAUUUUAUAUGCUAAAAGAAAAUAUUUUCAAAUAGUUUCAAAUUAUCGAAAAGUUUGCUACAUAACUCAACUUGCUUAUGAUAACCCAUGAAAGGUUUGCCUCAUUAAAUUUAUGUUUUUGGGUUAAAUUCUGAUUUUUAAAUAUUUCUUGAAUUAUUAGGAUAUCAAGAGAAUUGAGUAAUUCGUUGUUUAAGUUUCAGUUUAGCGCAUCAAGUAAGUGACUUGAUAUCUUUUCGAUUUCUAUGUCCCUAAAAAUCAAUCUCAAUAUAUUUAGAGUUGAAAUAUAUAAUAUAUAUUGUUUUGUCCAUUUGUUUUGUAAAUCAGGUUGAGCAUGUAAAAUGUAUCUAUGAUUUAUUUGUUAUGAAUUUGGAAUAUGGUUUGACAUUGUUUUGAUUUCUGAAUAUGAUUUCAGAAUAAUAUAUUUAUAUAUCCAUCAUUUGUUAGAAUAUAAAAUUUUACUUUGGAAUGAUUAUGGAAAUUACUUUAUAUAGAUUAUAUUUUGAAAAAAUUUAUAAAUAUUGAAUUUGUAUAUGUUGGUAAUCUGAAAACAUAUUAUGGUUUUGUCUCAUAGUAUGGCUAUGUUCUGACCCUAUUAGUGGGGAUUAAUUUUGGCUAUGUUGACAUAUACUUUAUGCUAUUGAUGCCGAUUUUUAACUGUGUCAUUAGUUGAAAAUAGUUAUUUUUAUUCACUGUACCAUCAGUGAUAUACUUAUGUCCCAUUGCAUUAAAGGGGUUACUAUGAUUUUUGUUUUGUCCCAUUACAUUAAUGGGUUAAUUAUAAUUGCCAAUGCAAUGAUUUAGUUGCUUUUGCUAUAUUUUUGUCCCAUUAUACUAAAAAAAAUUUUUGAUUUCGACUUAUGCCACAAGAGUUAGUGUGGUCAUAGUAUUUUACAGGAGACUAAAUAAAUUUAUAAUUUUGUGAUAUUUAAUUACAUUUUGUGAUAUGAGAAUUUGGUUUUGAAAAUAUGUUUGUGAAUACAAGACUACCUAAAAUAUUUUUGAAUCAUUUAGUUAAUGUUUUGUGGCAUACUUAAUUCAAUUGAGGGGAUGUCGAGUACUUGUUGAGACAUCUUACUCAUUUUUUUAUUUUUCUUUACUUUUUCAAAUUUUAGUGUUUGUGUCUUGGGAGAUUGAAUCUUGACAAUUACUUGGAUUAGUAAAAUUAGCAUCUCUCUUUAGAUUGGUAUUCUUUCAAAGUGAGUAUUUUAUUAUUGAUUCUAAAAGAUUUGUUAGCAAGAACUUUAGUAUAUUCAACCAACUUACAAAGAGUAUAAUUUUAUAGACUUGAGAUUCUGUAAAGUAUUAAUUUAGAGAUUAUUGAAGAUUUUAAUUUAGUUUGAUAUCUGUUGCCUUAUAUGCUUGCGAGAUUCAUCUCACGAAUAUGCAUUGUUGGUACAUUCUAAAUCUUUAGGUUUGGGGCUUGACAUAUUGAACAAUUUGCUUAGUACAAUCAGAUAGAGAAGCAUUUCUAAAAAAGAAAUAUAACAUAUAUAGUGUUUAAGAGAAUAAAACUUUCGACAUGUAGGUUUGGUUUUUGUUUUAAUAAUUAUAUUUAUUUAUGCUACAAUCAAGUACAUGCAAAAAGUGAGAUAUAUUAGUCUAAAAUUUAAUUCAACUAAUUUAUAAAAAUUUUUUAAAAAAAUAAUAUUUAAUUAAAAUUUAAAUCUCAAUACUUGUAUUUUCUUCUUUUAUUCCAAAUAACUUCUUUUAAAAGGAAAAAAUGAGUCAUGUGGAAUUCUUUUGUUGACUUUUUAUGUUUGUUAAUCUACCUCUGGUCCAACUUUUCUAUAGUACACGAUUAAUUUAAUAACCAUUGUACCGCUUAAAUAAUCUUAACCUCACAAUUAAAGAGGUAAAACUUCUCCAUUGAUAAAAACUUACUUAAGUACCUUCUUGGUCAUGAAAACAGCAAUCCCCAUAUUGAAAUGUUAAUCAUGAAAUUAAAUCAUUAAUCCUACUGCAUAAUUUGUCCGAUAUGAAAAAAUCUGAUUGGAACAUAUAUCUAAAUUUGAAUAUAUAUGCAAAAACAAUAGACAGAUGAUUUUUAAAUGAUGUUAAAAUUUAUGAAAUUUAAAAUUUAACGCUAUUAAUUUAUGUAUGUAGUUGUUUUUGGAUAUAGUAUUUAAUAAAUUUGAUAUUCAAAUCUUAAUAUUUUUUUUCAUUUCAAAGUUAUGAUCUUCUUUCAUAACAAGAAAAAAAAAACUAUAAAUGAUUUUUUAUCUGUAACUUUAAACUGAUGAAUUUAAAUUGCUAAGACUUUGCAGUCAUAUUUUCAUUGGCAAAGUUGAUUUACAUUUAUUUCAAAAGUAGAGAAAAAAAGGCCAUUUGGCCUACCAAUCAAUAUCAUAUUGAGCAACUUCGCAAUAGAUGAGCAUUGGCCUCCGAUCUGCCCAAAAACUAAUUUAUUGAGGAACUGGCAAAGCUUGAGGCAAGGCCUGGUUUGAUGCUGAAAUCGUUUGCAAUUUGCAGUCAACAGAGAUUAGUUGAGCAGAAUUAUCCUUGUUUUCCUCAACAGAAAUCAUGUUGAUUAUUUGUAGCAAAACACGCUCGAGCCCUUCACCAUCACUCCAUUCAUGAAUCUCCGCCUUGAUGAGCAAAGGGUUCCUGCAAAUUAAAUCCCAGACUGGAAAAUUCUUCCUGGGCAUCAUAUAGUCUGCUUUUCCAAGCCUUAGACUUGGGCAGUAAUCACCGGUACCAUCUCCAAGGUAGAUGAUUUUUUUCUUCCCCUCUAAAGAAGCUUGAAUCCUUUCAAUGAUCAUCCCCUGUUACACAAAGCAGAAGCCAAAAUUAAAAUUGUUGACAUCUUAUUUCAUGAUUGUCAUUAAAUUUAUUUGAUUGUUGACCCAUGUAAAGAUCUUGGGUUUGUUUAUGACCUUACUUGAGCCAUUACUUUAAUAGAUUAAGUGGGGUCAAGAAAAGAAGUUGACAUAUCUAAAAUGAAAAUAGAUUUAAAAAAUAAAGAGAUAAAUAAAAACUCCAAGCAAGUUGGACGAAUUUGACUCUGUACAUGUGGAAUACCAUCAACUAAUAAAAUUUUCUAGAAAUUUUCACUUAAUAUGAAAAAUCUAGGUCUUCCUACAAAAGUUUGGUGUCUUGAUUUAAAAUAUUUACAAUUGUGAUAUUCAUGAAAUUAAAUCUCAUGUUACUGAUGAAAAGCAUAUGAUACCUUGCACAUAUUUGGGGGGCAGAGGUUGCAGCCAUGAGAACUCUUGGUGAAAUCAUGGUAAGGAAUGAUCCUCAGCCUCCCUUCUUCAUCAACAAAGCCGGGGUUGGUGUUGAUCUCUGAGAAAUAUUCCCUCAAUCCAAGAUGCUCCAGCAUUGUCUCAACGAAGAACAUGUUUGCAUCACUCACAAUCCUGAGUUCACACCUGAAAAAAUAUUCAAACCAAUUUGAUCACCCUAUAUUUCUAUUGCUUCAAACUGUAGUUUUGAUAGUCACAGGUCAAACACCAAGAGGAGAAGCAUAGAAAAAAAGGAGUACCCUAAAGAAUGAGCUGAUUUAAUAGCGGGGACGAUCCUAGGAUGGAUAGGCGCUCGUUUCAGAACCUCAGCAAUGUCAUCAAUGGUUUUUUCUUGGGCAUGAAGCUCCUUCAUCAUCCUGUCCUGCAAUUUUAUACCACAAACACUGAGUUUCAAUUUUUAUGAAUGUAAAGCCAACAGAAAGAGAAAUUGCAGAGGGCUUAAUAUGGGUUACCAUGAGAGAAUUCCAGGGCAUGGUAGGAAGAAGCUGGUUGAACAAGUCGGUGAAACCCAAGUCAUCGACAACCCAGUUAUCACUAUCACAGUCGAUAAUGGUUUUGUCAAAAUCAAAAACCACAACAGUUCCAGCCAUCUCUCUGAAUGAAAAUCAAACAAAAUACAAAACAAGAUUGGAAAAACUCAGCAACUCUUUGAAUGUUUUCUUGUUGGUAUAGCAACGUAACAGGGGAUGGGUAUUUAUAUGCAAACAAUGGAUUUUAUUUUAUGCCAAAGGAAUAUUACGUGAAGGGGUUAUUAGGCGUAAGUAGGAAGCAAUAAGCAGGACACAAGAAGCCCUUUUUCCUGCAAGCUUCCUACGCAACACAUACUAAUCUGAUACAACUGCUUGUAAAUUAUUACUCCGGUAUAAGCAAUAUUAACCGUUUGAUGGAUGACUUUUGAACCAUGUGAUUAAUCAAGUUGAGUCAGCGGAUCAGGGGUAAAAAGGUGUAGGUUAAUUAUGAAAGGGAUUAGGUUUAAGGCUUAAGGUUUAUCUAACUCCUCUCCAUUGCUCCAUUCGCAUAAUGGUGCCUUUACUAGCCUCCUGUUUUUUUGCAAAUCAACUCCCAAACUGGGAAAUUCUUCCUUGUCAUUACAUAGUCCCCAUCUCCCUUCUUCAAACUUGGACAGAAAUCGCCAAGCGCAUCACCGAGGUAGAUUAUUGUUUUCUUCUCCUCCACGGGCAUGGGAGAGACUGGUAUCCUUCCAAUCAUAACACCCUAUUAAGAAAGAAUUCAAUCAUUAGUCAAUAGGAUGGGAAGAAAACGAAGAUAAGUUAAAAAUAAUUAUAGCAUAAAAUUAUAUAUCUUACAGCUAAUCAUGCUUUGGAUUCAUUACGUUUACUAAACAUUAGAAUUCAGUGGCGGAUGCAUAUGGUAUAGUCGGGUAUUCAUGUACACCUCCAAAGGUUGGAAAAUAAAAAAUGUUUUCUUUGGACACCUUAAAGUUUUCUUUUUGAACAUAUCUUUCUUAAUUCCUUAUUCUUUAAUCCUUCACUCACUGCCACUAUCUAAUAUCCAAUCACAUCUCACAGUUAGUUAAUACCCAACACACCUCCAUAAAAAAAAUCUUGCAUCCGCUGCUGUUAGAAUUCAGUAAUAUUUCACGCAUGAAUGCAUGAUUCAUGUUAAAAAUGAUAUACCUUGCACAUGUUUGGAGGGCAGAGAUGAUGAAAUCCAUGAGUAGAUUGAGUGAAAUCAUGGUGAGGCAAGAUCCAUAGCCUGCCUUCUUCAUUUACCAAACCUGGGUUGGUAUUGAUCUCUGAAAAGCAUUCCCUCAGGCCAUGAUGCUUCAAAAUUGUGUCGAUGAAGAACACGUUCGCAUAACAUACAAUCUUCAAAUCUCACCUGAAAUUAAUAAUGCCAUACGAGUUUUUUUUUUUUUUUUUUUUUUCUAGCGAGAAAACCAGAAAGAAACUUUAAAUAUACAUGCCGGCAGGAUUGUAGUUGGCAAGAAGGAAACUCCUAAAGCUAAGAAAUGUUGCCAGAGAGCUUAUAAAGUGUAUGGUCUUGGGACGGAGGAAUAAUAUCACAGGCUGCAAUCCCUGAGAAUGCAACUGUGGCAUCUGCUCUCUCUACAAACGAUUGGAUUCAAUAUCUCACUUCUUCUCUACUGAUGAGGGAUAUGCAGCGGAUGUUGGCUGGUCUGACCUUUACUGAACAAGAAGAUGUUGUUUGGCAGGCAUCAAAGUUUAGCAAGUUCAUACUUUCAAAUACAUGGGACUGGAUCAGGGAUAGGGAACCCACUGUGGUUUGGCAUAAACUGGUCUGGAUUCUUCUUCACUCACCAAACAUAGUUUUAUCACUUGGCUUAAGGUUCUUAGUAGAUGAGCAAAGUAACUAAUAUUAGGAGUUGAAGUACUCAAAUGUCACUAGGGAUCAUCUUUUCCAUUCUUGUGACUUCUCAAAGCAAGUUUGGCAAUUAGUUUUAGCAAAAGUGAAGUGUGUUUUUUAUUGCAAUAUCCAAAAAUGACAGCAGGAGCUCGAUUGGAUUAUUAUAGGUGAAACUUUUAAGACUGAUUCUGAGAGGAGUGUGAACAAGUAUAAAUAUAUCACAUAUGGCAUGCGAGGAAUUCUCCAAAACUUGGUAUUUGUUCUCUAAACAUUGACAAAUACUUUGCUAGACAUUAGUUUUAAUGUAAAGUUUUGCCUCUUAAAAUUUGUAAAAAAUAUGAUUAAUCCAUCUAUUAGCUCUGUAUGUAAAAAUUGAGGGCCGGGGUUGUAUAGGAAAUGCUAAAGCUCAUUGUUUGAUUUGUUGACUGGUGGCCUCCUACUUCUUUGGAUCAAUGAAAUACCAUUUAUGAAACAAAAAAAAAAAAAAAACUAAAUAUACACGAACAGAGAGAAAAAUGUAUGCAUAGCCCAAAGUAUGAGCCGAUUUAAUGGCUUUGAUGAUUCAGGGAUGCAUCGCAGUUGUUUCUAGAACAGCUACAAUGUCAUCAAUUUUUUUUCCUUAUGAAUGAAGUUUUUUCAUCAUUAGAUCCUGUUUUGUAAAUAAAAAAAUAAACCCUGGUUCUUACAUUUGGAAAAGAAGGAAAAAGAAAAAACAUAAAUUAAAAGACUAACCAUAAGAGAGUUCCAAGGCAUGUAAGGAGGAGUUGAUUGAACAACUAUGUAGCACGUCUGAGAUCUAUGAAAUUUGGAAUUCAAGUUAAUUGAUUUAUGAAAUUAUCUUUAAGAGUGGCAUCCAAAGACUUAAAUUUCAACAUUUACAACCAUUUCUCAUAUUCUCAAACGGCUUCCCUAAUAAAAAAAAAUAGUAUAUAAUAAGAAAUUAAUUAUGUUUAAUUUGUUUGAAUUGUCAAGUUACUUUAUCCUAAGUUUUAAAAUUUUUAACUUUUUUUAAAUAUGUUCAGAUUUUAAGUUACAUAAUCAGAAACAAAUAAUUAUAAUCAUAUUUCAUAUAAAAAUCAUUUCUAGUUUAUAAGAUUUAAAUUUAAAUUAUAAUUUCAAGUUCUUUCUAAUAAUUAGAUCAUGCAAAAUCAAGAUAUAUUUAAAUUUGUGCUUUAUUCUGAUUCUUAAUCUCUUUAUUAUGAGAAUAAUUACUCUAUAUAAGUAUCUACAUAUAUAUUCGUAUCCACAAUGUGUAUUUAUAAAAGUGAGAAAAAUUCUCAUCAAGAAGAAUCAAAGCAUGUAAGGAAUAUUGAACCUUGGAAUCUGCCUAGUACAAGCAGAUAGAGAAACAUUUCUACAAAAGCUGUAUAACAUGAAUGGGGUUUAAAAGAAUAAAAUGUUAGAAAAAUAAAUUAAAUAGGUUCUAUUUUUGUUUUAAUAAUUAUAUUUAUUUACGCUAUAAUCAAGUACGUGCAAAAUGUUAGUUUAAAAUUUAAUUCAGUUAAUUUAUAAAAUUAUUUUUUAAAAAUAGCAUUCAAUUAAGAUUUAAAUUUCAAUACAUGUAUUCUCUUCUUUUAUUCCAUGUAAUCUUUUGUAAUAAAAAAUUGAGUCAUGUGAAGUUUUUUUGUUAAUUUUUUAUUAUUUGUUAAUCUACCUAUUCCACACACUAUAUUACUAAUUUAAUAACCACCACUCCGCUUAAUUAAUUUUAACCUUGCAAUUAAAGAGGUAAAACUUUUCCAUUGAUAGGAACUUACUCAAGUAACUUCUUGGUCAUGGAAAUAGCAAUCUCCAUAUUGAAAUGUAAAUCAUGAAAUUAAAUCAUUAAUCCUACUACAUAAUUCAUCCAAUAGAAACUAAUCUAAUUGGAAAAUAUAUCUAAAUUUGAGUAUACGUGCAAAAACAAUAGGCGGACGAUCCUUAAGUGAUGAAAAAUUAAGGUAAUUUGAAACUAAACUUUGGUAGUUCAUGUAUAUAGUUGUUUUAGGAGAAGGUAUUCAAUAAGUUUAAGGUUUAAAUCUCAACACUUUCUUUCAUUUCAAAAUUAUGAUCUCUUUUGUAACAAAAAAAAAUAGAAAUAAUCUUUUAUUUGUAACUUUAAACUGGUGAAUUUAAAUAAUAAUAAAAAAAAAAAACAACAAAAGGAAGUUCAUUUUCUCCUCAAACAAAAUAAUUUGAAAGAGCUGUCAGAUAUAUGGAAAGGUAUGAGUCAGUCUAGACAAUUAGCCUUUUGUGAAAAAUAUGGUCAUAUUACAUAUCUCCUUUCAGAGGUAGUUGAACAUUCUUUCAUUAGAGCAACGGUGCAAUUAUGUGAUCCUUUAUAUAGAUACUUCAUCUUCAAUAAAGUUGACAAGACACCGAUUAUAGAGAAGUAAUUUACAUUGCUGGGUAUGCAUCUCCAAUCACUAAAUAAGAUAUAUGUUAGGAGGCAGAAAUCAACAUUUCGUAAGAAAAUCAUAGAUAUCAUGGAGUUCAAAAGGAAGAUGUAAAUGUACAAGUUUAAGAAAGAAAUGACUAUAUUUGUUUUCCUUGAGAGUUUUUUCGUAAUUUCAUCACAAAGCAUCUAAAUGAUGAUUAAGGGUCAGAUAUAUUUGCUCUGGCCAUAUAUGGCAUGGUAAUCUUUCCUAGAAUUUUAGGUCAUAUUGAGAUAGAAGUGAUUGAUUUUUUCUAGCAUGUGAAAAAAGGUUGCAAUCCCUCUUCUGCAAUCUUAGUUGAAACAAUUAAAUCCCUAAACUAUUAUCAUCAAAAAGGUAAAAGGUGUUUCAUUGGAUGCUUGCCAUUAUUAUAUUUGUGGAUGAAAAGUCACUUUAAGUGUAAGAAGAAUGCAUUUUCCAAACUCUACUUUCGUAGAGCCUCAAUUAAGCAAUUUUGUGAAAAUGAAUGGCCAAAGCCCAAACCUAAGGAGGAAUGGAUGGUCCUGCUACAAGGUCUUAUUUGCACUCAAGUGAAAUGGUUAGUUCCAUGAAUGGAUCAUGAACUAAUGUUAUAUCAAUGUAGACAUGAGAUAGGGGUCCCACUUCUAGGUUUAUAUGGAGCAACAAGUUAUGCACUGCCUACGAUUCAAAGGCAGUUUAGGGCUGAAUAGUUCAUUCCUAUGACAUACAAACUCACUCAAUCAAAUUUUCUACAUAGUGAGUCAAAAAUACUGCAAAAAGUGGAUAAUGUGAUCAAGACAUGGAUGAAGCCCAAAAGAGUGAGUCCUUCGUCAGUUAUUGAUAAAGUCACUUAUAAGUAUUUGGUGUAGAAAGCCAAGAGGGGCAAGGAGGUUAUGUUUACACUCAAAUAUUAUUGCCAGCCAAUGAAUUAAGAGUUGGAUAAGAUAUUCUCAGAGUUAGAGUUCGCAAGGAAAGAAUUUGAAGCUAAGAAAGAUAAGAUAAAGAAGAGAUUCAAAGGUUUUAAGAAAAAAGAAAGCAAUGGAAAGACAAGGCAAAAAAGCUAGAAGUUAGAGUCCACAAGAUUUCCAACGAGCGUGAUACAAUAGUUAAUAAUUUGGCCAAAGUUUAUUGACAACAUAAAAAGUUAAAAGCUGAAAGUAAAGCCCAAAAGGUUGUUAAAGAGCACGACAAUGUCCUUAAAGAGAUGAUAGAGCUGUGUCAAAAACAAAGAUUACGUAUCCAAGUGAAGGCCAAAGAAAUAAAUAUCAUUUAUUUGACUUUUGAGAAUGAAAAGUUGAAUAGAAAAUAUUCCCAAAUGGAGGAUAAUUUUGUUAAAACCCAAAAAUGAGAUUGAGAUGCUUAGAAGGUAUAUUUAGACAUUGAAGUAAAAGUUGAAAGAAUAAAGAGUUCACAUCAUGAUACUCACAAAAGAGCAUAGAGAGCUAUCUUAUCAAGUAUGAUUUGACAAAAAAAAAGUUUGAGAAGGUAAAAGUACAUAGAGUACUAUGCAACCCAAAUAAGUAAGGUAGUGAUCAAGGUAGAAAAAAUGGUUGAAAAGGCUAAGGCAUUGAGAAUAUUGGUUACACUAAUAAAAAAACAUGGACAAUGUUUAUUAAAUUUCAUUGAAGAGGCUAAGGAUCAGUAUAAAUGGGUUAAAUGUUUUUACAAGUAGAAAAUAAUAGACUCAAUGUAAAACAGACUUUAGUGGAAUAAAUGAAAAUUCACUUGUGUUAAAAAUUUUUAAAGAGGCAAAUAUUUUCUUUGUUUCUUUUUCAUACAUUGCAUUCAUUCAUACAUAAUUAAACUUUUAAUCAUGAUAGUCCAUAUAAGACCACUAAUUUAAGGUUAUGGUAUACAAAUUCAAGGAUACAUCAAACACCAGUACAAAACUCCGGCUCAAGCUAGAAGAAUUGAACAAGACAAUGCAAGUCAUGUUGAGAAAUUGGAAAAAGCUCAAGAGAAAAUCAAGGGAAAAUUGAGCAAAAUCUUUGAAGCUUUGAGUAAGUUGAAUAAAAAAAAUAUAAUAUAAGAAAAUGAUUCACGUGAAGUUAUUAAUCUUUUGUAUCCUUCGAGUUAUGACCUGUACCAGGCUUAAUCUACUCAAAGCUUUCUACCAUAAUAGCUCACAUUUCAUACAAGUUAUAUUUAUUUGGGAAUGCCACCUGUACUGAUACCAAAGUAUCUGCACAUCAUAUAACUUGAGCUAAGACUAAGGUAGACUUAUCAAAAAAUAAGAUAGACCUAUUUUUGGUUCAAAUUCAUUAAGUAAAUACAAAAAUAAGAUGGGCUAGACUAAGGAGAUUAUAUUCACACUAGCUAAAGAAGAAAAGCAUGAAUAUGGAUGAGAUUAUGGUCAGAUUCAUUAUUAUGUAAUCUAUAACAAUAAAUGAGUUCACAUGCAAAUUCUUUGAUUUUAGGCAUGAUUUUAGCAAUACAAUAUAAAAGUUUUCAUGCUUGGAAGGAUGUUUCUAGCCUAAAUAUUUUCUAUUAUUCUUUGGUAGAAAGCAGAAUAGAGUUUUUUUUAUCCUUAAGCAAUCUUUUAUAUUAUUUUUUAAGUUUUAUAUCUUUUAAGUGGAUUUCCUAGAGUGGUAAACUUUUAUUGUUCUAUAUCCUUGAUUAGAAUUUUUAGGGUGGUGUUUUUAUUUCUCUUAAUUUCUAGUUUUGGUGAUGAACUUUUAUCUAUUUUAAUCCAAUAAUCAUAUUCUAUCAUUAUUCAAAUCCUUGUGAGUUAUUUUCUUUAUGAGUUUUUUAUUUACAAUUAAUUUCAUAUUUUAAACAUCAAUUCUCGGCAUCAAAUUUAUAUCAGAGCUAUGGCAAGUCAUUCUCAUCAAGCACCAACAGAAGAGGUUAAAGCCAACACUGACGUUACAGUAAUUACCAAUGUUGACCUAAAUGAUGCCCUCAUAAAAGAGAUGUGGUAACAGAUCCUUCGACUACAACAUCAGUUAUAUAUACAAAAAGAGAAAAAGAGAAGAUAAGGAGGUAACGAAAGAGAAACGAAGAAGAUAAAAGAAAAACCAAUUCAUACCUUGGAAAUAACAAUGAUCUGAUGAUAACACAAUAUCUCACCUAUAGUAAGUUAGAGACUAUCUAAGCAGAAACUAAUUUCAACUUAAUAUAUUCAAUCUAAUUAUAAAGAUUCCUGAGUUCGAAGGGAAAAUGCAACCUAAAGAAUUCUUGGAUUAGCUAUACACAGUGGAACACAUAUUUGAAUACCAUGAUACCUUUAAAUUUCGUAAGGUGAAGCUAGUGGCCAUCAAACUUAGAAAGCAUACAUCCUUUUAAUGGAAAAUAUGAAGAACCAAAAAGAAAGAGAAGGCAAGAGAAAAAUUAUAAUUUAGGAGAAGAUGAAAAAGAGUUGAUGAGAAAGUAUCUCUCAGAUAACUUUUGACAAGAUGUCUUUCUUAAGCUCUAUAACUUAAAGCAAAGAGAUCUGUUAGAGGAAGAGUAUAUAGCUGAGUUUGAUCAUCUCAUAUUAAAAUACGAAUUGGUAGAACAAAAGGAGCAAACUAUUAUUUGGUAUCUUGAAAUAUUAAAGAUUCAGAUAGCUAAUGUGGUGUAGCUACAACCCUAUUGAAUUUUUAAUGGUGAGCUUACCCUUAAGGUGAAGAGAUAACAAAAGGAGGCCUGUGGUAGCAAGAUAAGAUUUGGGUCUCGAUAAGGCAAGACUUUUUUAAUGCACAAACCAAAAGAUGUUUUAAAUGUCAAGGGUUUGGACAUAUUGUCUCAAAAUGCCCAAGAGAAAGAUUAUGACUUUAGUAGAGGAAAACUUAGAAAAAAAAAGAAAAAGAGCUGGCUAAAAGGAUCAAAACCUUGAAGACGAGAAAGAGGUAGCCUAUGGUGAAUGUGAAGCAUCAUUAGUCAUACAAUUCAGCUUGAGUACCACACCUACUAAGAAAGAAGAUUGGUUGUGUAAAAACAUAUUCCACAUUCGAUGUACUAUUUAUGAGAAGGUAUGUGAUGUUAUAAUUGAUAGUGAAAAUUUUAAAAAUAUUGUUUCUACCUUUAUGGUGUAGAAAUUAAGCCUCAAAAUAGUGGAUCACCUCUAACCAUAUAAGCUGUCUUGUUUGUAAAAAAAGAAUAAAAUCAAGAUUAGCAAGAGGUGUUUGGUUUUUUUUUCCAUAAAAAAGUAAUACAAGGAUGAAGCGUGGUGUGAUGUAACUUUAAUAGAUGCCUGCCAUUUACUACUUCAAAGAUUUUGGCAUUAUGAUAGGAAGGUUAUUUAUGAUGGUUACUGCACCAGUUACACAUUUGUGAAAUAUGGAUACAAAAUCAUUGUAGGCCCUACCAAGCCCAUGGUGAUGUCAAAACCAACCAAAGGUGAAGGAAACAGCUUGUUUACCAAGGCUAAUUAUAAAAAAAAAAAAAAAAUUAAGAUGGGCGAUGCUUUAUAUGCACUAGUGUUGAUUGAGGGGAAUAAAGAUAAUAAGGAGCCCCCUAUAGUGAUAUAACCAUUAUUCGUAGAAUUUCAAGAUAUUGUUCAAGAAAAGUUAUUAGUUGGUUUACCACCAAUAAGGGACAUUCAACAGUGCAUAGACCUUAUCCUAAGAGCUAUUUUACCCAACAAGGUAAAAAUUUUCUUGAGGAGUUAUGUGAGAAAAAAACUAAAAUAAUGGAAAUUUAUUUUACUACAGCUGGAAUUUACCUACAAUCAUUCACUAAGUCAAACUAUUGAUUGCAGCCCUUUUAAAAUUACUCUUGUUAAGAAUGCAAUCUGUCCUUUGAUUUUAAAUCAACGUUAUACUAAUCAGCAUUUUGAUGAAGAUGUAGAAGAAAGAGCCAAGAGUAUCAAAAUAUUUCAUGAACAGGUUUAGAAUAGAAUUUUGUAGAAAAAUGAGAAAUAUAAAAGGGUAAUAAUUAUGCAUCAAAGACAUGUGAAGUUCAAAAAACAUGACUUGGUGUAGAUUAACUUGCAAAAAGAGAGAUUUUCUCUAAGAAAGUUUGGCAAAUUACAACCUAAAGCAAAUGGUCCAUUUAGAGUUCUACAAUGCAUUGCUACAAGAUAGAGCUCUCCAACACUUAUGGAGUAUCUUUCACUUUCAAUGUUACUAAUUUGUCACCCUACUAUGGCGAGAAUACUAGUUCAGACUUGAAGAUAAGUCUUUUUCAACUAGAAAAGAUUGACACUAGAAUGUCUGUAGAUCAUACAACUUGGGCUGAGACUAAGGCAAGCUUAUCUAAAAAUAACAUGGGCUUAUCCUUAGUCCAAAUCCACUAAGUAAAUGUAGAAAUAAUGUAGGUUGGACUAGAAAUAUUGUGUUUACACUAGCUAGAGAAAAAGAGUAUGAAUAUGGAUAGGAUUAGGUUCAGAUUCAUUAUUAUGUAAUAUGCAAGAGUAAAUGAGUUCACAUGUAAAUUUCUUGAUUUUAUACACGAUUCUAGUAAUACAAUCUGAAAGUUUUCAUAUUUGGAGGGAUGUUCCUAGCCUAUAUAUUUUUUAUUAUUCUUUGGUAAAAAGCAUAAUAAAGUUUUCUUUAUCCUUAAGCAAUUUUUUAAAUUGUUCUUCAAGUUCUGUAUCUCGUAGGUAGAUUUCUUAGAGUGGUAAACUUCUAUUGUUUUAUAUUCUUGAUUAGAAUUCUUAAGGUGGUGUUUCUAUAUCCCUUAGUUUCUAGUCUUAGUGGUGAAAUCCCUUUUAAUCCAAUAAUCAUAUUAUAUCAUUAUUCAAAUCCUUGUGAGUUAUUUUUUUGUAAGUUUUUGUGUUUGUAGUUAAUCUCCAUAUCUCAAACAUCAAUUCUCAGCAUCAUGCACCUAGCCAAGAGAAUAUCCAAAGUUAUAUCAAUCCUGCCUUCACUUAAAAGGUAGUUGAACCGGUUUAAGUUCUCAAUUUGAAUGAUCCAAAAGAGAAAUUAAAAUUAAAGAUGACUAAGUCUUUGAAGGACUCUAAAGUUGAUUAAAUGAUGAACAUGCUCGAUGAGAGAUUGCAAGCUGUGAAAAGUAUUGAUUUUUAAUGUACCAGAGUUUAAAAAAUGGCAGUUUACGCUAGUAAUGAGAAAUUACUCAUGUAUGUAUUCCAAGAUAAUUUAACUGGUUUUGUUGCAAAGUGAUAUGUCAAGUUAGACAAAACUCGUACCCGAUCAUGAAAGGAUCUAACUCACUUUUUCAUCAACCAAUACUACCAUAUCAUAGAUAUGACUUUCGAUUGCCUUUCCUUACAAAAUAUGGAAAAAAAAUGAUUGAGUUUAAAGAAUUUACCUCAAAUAUGGCAAGAUAUAACUAUUCAGAUCCAACUAUCUUUAACUAAGAAAGAGACAACGACUCUAUUUUUGAACACUUUGAAGUUAUCUUAUUAUGAAAAGAUGAUAGGGAGCAUGACUAAAAAUUUUGUUGAUAUGGUGAUCUUAUGCAAGAUCAUUGAAAAUGCAAUUAAGAAAGAGACAACGACUCUAUUUUUGAACACUUUGAAGUUAUCUUAUUAUGAAAAGAUGAUAGGGAGCAUGACUAAAAAUUUUGUUGAUAUGGUGAUCUUAUGCAAGAUCAUUGAAAAUGCAAUUAAGAAUGGUAAGGUUGAAAUAGGAGAGUCAUCGUGGCCAAGAAGAUGCCCAAAAAAAAGAAAGUGAAACUCAAACUAUGAGUUUCGAAGAGUAAUAAUUUAGAAAUUAUACUCAUUACCCAUAACUUAUUUACCUUACAUACUAUUCUACCAAAAAUAAUGCUUCAACUUUUUCAUACCAACUAGUUUCACAACUUUCUUAUAUACACCUAUCAACCAGUAUUCAGACCACCCACCAACGCAUACAACCGUAAUACCCUCUUACUGUAAGGCCCUCUAUGUGCCCAUCCAAUCCAAUAAGUGGUCCAAGAAAACCACGAAAUAAUCGAGAGAAGCCUAUUUUCAACCCCAUUCCCAUGAUUUAUACAAAAUUGUAUCGAAAACUCUACAACAAUCAUUUGAUUGCUCUUCUCUAUAUAAAACUACUUAAAAACCCUUUUAUUUUAAAUGGUAUGAUCCCGCUACUCAUUAUGAUUACCAUUAUGAAAUCAUAGGUCAUUCCACUAAAAAUUACACUACUUUGAAAUAUAAGAUGCAAAAUUUAAUCAAAGAUAGGCUGAUUAAAUUUGACACUAUUGAAAAUAACAUUCAAUGUCAAUGGUAAUCUAUUACCCAAUCACACCGUAAAUGUUUUAAAUGAGGACAAGGGACGUUGUAUGAAAAAGAGAGUAGAAGAGAUUAAAAUUCUAUUUAGUAAAUUGUAUGAUACUCUAUACGAGGUUGGGAUGGUACAAUCAAUGGACCUACACACCUACCGUAAGAGAUGUAUCUUAAAUCAAAGGUGUAAGUGCCAUAAUGAGGCUUCGGGCCAUUUUAUUGGGACUUGCAAUCAAUUUUAGGAAGACGUAUAGAAGUUAAUGGAUUCCUAUCAAAUUGAGCUAUAUAAGAAAGGAGAAGCCUCAAGAAGUACUAAGGUGUCUAUGACUAAUAAGUCAAAGUGGGUACCAAAGUCAAUAACUAUUUAUUAUGGCAAAAGGCCAAAAUUAAUUAUAGACAAGCUUGUCCCUAAGUUGGUGACCUUCAAAGUCCAAAGCCCGUUCAAAUAUAAGGAUGAGAAGGCUAUACCGUAGAGAUAUGACUGUGAAGUGACAAUUAAAGAACAAGAUAAGACCAUGCCCAAGCUAGACGUCACCAACAUAAUUGGUAUAGGUGAUAUAACUAGAAGUAAUACCCCAGCCCAAAUAAUAAUUGGGCUAGAAAAAUACUAAAGCCCAUCAUUUUAUUAACACAUUAUUUAGUAAAAGAAAAAUAGCUAAACUAUUAGAUGAAAAAAAAAACUUAAUUAUCGUGAAACAGAAAGGAAAUAGAGUUUUUCUUCCCCAUCUUCCUUAGGGUUAGAGAAUACGAAAAAUCAAGUUGGAGAUUCACAAUCAGAGGCUACAAUCAAGUUAAUCCUUUAAAGGUGAGUACAUACCCUCUUUUUAUUUGAAAAAAAUAUCAAAUUGAUUGCUAUUAUUUGGAGUUGAAGUUUUGAGAGGAAAAUCAAGAAAAAUCAUGAAAUCCUUCAUUAAUCUUGAUGAUCUAUUUGGGUAAAUUACUGGGCUUUGUUUAUUUCAUGUUUUUAAGAUUUAUUAAUGAUUAUUGAAUGGAGUUUGAAGGCUGAAAGUAAGGAUUUGAGUUUUUAAAGAUUGAAGGAGAAAUUCUAUUUUUGGGAGAGAUGUUGUGAUCUGUAAUAAUGAACUAAAAUAGAAUUUUGUAUUAAUGGAUAGAUUAUUGCUAUGAUUAUUAUAUAUCAUUGGAAAGCAUGUUGAAUCUAGUUUCUAAUGAAAUAAACGAAAGUCAAAUCUGAGUUUUCUAUGAAGAGUUGUCUAAUUUUAACUUAAAGAUAUGCAGGUUGUAAGACAACAGCAUCAGGGUCGAAUUACGAAAUUCUUCUUAAUUUGUAUACAAGGAUUUAUAGAUUAAGCCAUAUGUGUUUGGAAAGCUUAUUGAGUCUGUUUUCCAAUGAAACAAGCGGAAUUGAAUUUGGAGUUUCCUGUGAAUAAAUAUAUAGUUUUUAUUAGAAGGUAUACAGGCUGUUUGAGAGCAGUAUAUGACGUGAAUUUCAAAAAUUGUUAUAAUUAAUCUGCAAGGAAUUAUGAGGUGUACCAUAUAUGGUUAGAAAGCUUAUCCAGUCUAGUUUCUAACACAUUAAAUAGAUCAUAAUUUCGAUUUUGAUAUAUUGAGAUAUGACUGUUUUAAUGAAAAGAGGUCAGGCUACCAGUAUUAAUUAGUUAAGUUAACCCUUUGUGUAACUUAGUUGAUUUUUGUAUAAAUGGUCUCAAAAAGGGUUGAUUAAAUUCUAGUCUGUUGAAAUGAUCUUGGAUAGGCCAUUAAUUAUUUUGGGGAAAAACUAAGUGGUGGAAUCGAAAAGAGGUAAGUAGAAUCUCACACACUUUACUUAGUUUUGAAACUAUGUAUAUAUGUAUGUUUCUAAUUGAAUGAAUAUUUUAUUUCAUUAUUUUCAAUGUAUGAAAAUAGGAUCAAGCAUAUGAUUAUUUUGUCUUUCUUUAUAUAAACGAUGGAUCACGCUUAUGAAUGAAAUGAAAAAAUGAUUUAUGUUUAAAGAAUAAUUUUAUGAUAGCUACAUUUUUACAUCCCUGGGAAGUGGGAUCAUCGACACCAAAACUAGUUCUACAACCCUGGCUAACGGGUAAUAGUAGUUAGCAAAGACAUGAUCAUACAACCCUGGCUAACGGGUAUUAGUAGUUAGCGUAAGCCUUGGCUAACGGGUUAUAAUAAUUAGCAAUGAUCAUGAGAAUGAAAUUGUCAAUACGGCCAAUGUCACGGGUUAUAGCAGUGACCAUAGCUAACGAUAAAUGAAUGAUAAUGAUGAUUUAUGAUGAUUUUAAUGAUUGAUCCAUGAUUUGGUUUGAUUAUGAUAUUUGAAUGGCAGCAUAUUUUGCAAUGAUUUAUGAAGUGACAUAUUUUGAUAUUGAUUUAUGAAUUUAUGAAAUAUUUGAUAAAACGAUGAUCUUGAAAUGUUUUGAUAUUAUGAUUUUGAUGAAUGUUUUGAAUGAUUUAUAUGAUGUGUAAGAAAACGAUGCUUGAUCUGGUAAGGUGUGUGAGCUUAUACUUACUGAACUGUGGUUUGCUCAUUCUCUUUUUACUUUUUCUUUACAGAUGACUAAGUGAUAAGUUCGGUUAGUCUUGUGUGAAGCUAGAAGAUGAAAUGGGUAAGAUUACUUAAUCGUCAGAGAAUAUGUUGGCCAAUGAUAUUUUAAGAGGCAGUUUUGUAUUUAAUAUGGUUUGUAUUUGGAUAUAUAAAGAUGUAUCAUUAGUUGGAUUAAAGAUAUGAAUUUUACUUAGUAGAUUGUUUUAUUGAAGAAUUUUAGAAUGUUUAAGAAAGAAGGCUUCAUAUUACUUUGAGAUUUUUUUCAAGGUAAUAUAGCCGUGUUACGUCUUGAUCUCAGGACAUGACAGGGAGGUGCUAUACUCUAAAGAUGGUGGAAAGGGAAAAAAAAGAAAAAUCAAUAAUGAUUAAAAAGCAAGCUGAGCUGGAGAUAGUUUCAAAAAAAGAUAAUCCAAUACCAGUGUUUGAAAAAGAAGCCUACGAGUUCUUGAAGCUGGUAAAGCAUAAAAAGUAUUUUGUAGGGGAGCAACUAAACAAGAUGGCAGUUAGGAUCUCUUUAUUAUCAUUAUUAUUGAAUUCAGAACCGCAUCAUAACGUCAUAUUAAAGGUCUUAAACUAAACUUAUAUGGCCUACAACGUGUCAAUAGAAUAUGUGAAUCAUUUGACUGGGAACCUAGUGGUGCCACAUUAUACAGCCUUUAACGAUGAUGAAAUCUUACCAAAAGGUAAAAAAAGCACAAAGGUUUUGCACAUUAUUGUCAAAUGCAAGAGUUACAUCAUAGCCAAGGUGCUUAUUGAUAAUUUUUCUAUUAUUAAUGUUACACCUAUAUCUAUUUUAGUGAGGUUGGCCAUUGAUAUGUCCUAUAUAAAAAACAACCAUAUGAUUGUCUAAGCCUUAAACGAGACUAGGUGUAAAGUAUUAUAAGACAUUGAAAUGCAUUUACAGAUUGGGCCUUGCACAUUUAAUGUAAAAUUCUAGGUUAUGGAGAUCUCACCUUCUUAUAGUUAUUUGUUAGACAGGACAUAGAUUCACAUGAAAGAUGUUGUUCCCUCCUCUUUACACCAGAAAGUUAAGUUUAAUAUAGAAAGAUAACUGGUGAUCAUGGUUAGAGAAGAGAUUUGUUAGUAACUCAGUCUAUGAAUGUUCUUUAUGUAGAGGCUGUGAAAGAAUCAUUGGAGUGUUCUUAUCAAUCUUUCGAGCUUGUCAAUACUGUGGGCUAAAAGGUCCAAAUUACACUAACCAGAUUUCACUAGAAUUUUGGUUAGCUAGAUUAUCAAUAAAAAUUGGUAUCCCAGAGCUGGGUUGGAUAAAAAUAUGCAAGGAAUAAAAGGGCCUCCAAUAAUAAUAGAAAAUAACGAAAGAUUAGGCUUGAGAUAUGAAGCUAAAGAAUAAAAAAUAAAGAUGAUGAGAGACAACCAAUGAGGAAAAAAAAUAGUGAGGAAUAUACCUGUAAUAACAUAUAAAUCUGUAAAUUUAUAGCAAGACUUAACAAGAAAAGUUACCACCAAUUUUUUUUUUAGGUGUGAUUGGCCACUUAAUAAAUCUACCUUUUCAAUGAGGUCCUAAGCUUGACUAAGGGUCCCUAAAGAAUAGCUUCUAACCUUCUGAACAAAAUUAGGUUUGAGAGUUUCAUUACUUGUGGGGAAGGUUAUACCACCACCACAACACCCAUUUUAAUAUGGUACUAUUUAAUUUUAAAUUUUCCUAACAAAUUAUCUUGGUUCUAAUGAUUUUUAUUUUAAUAUUUAAAUAUUGAAAAUGACUUCUAAGAUUUCUCCAUUAAUUUGGUAGAAUUCUUAAAAAUACUUUCUCACCUCAAGUGUAUUUAAGAAUCCCAUUUAUUUUCUUGCAAAAGCUCUGUCGUCAAAAAAAGGUUUAAUCAUUUUUAUUUUGAUUUUUUAUUGAAAAUAUAUCUAAUUAUUUCACCAUUUGGAUCAAAUUAGAAAUUUCUUCUCACCUAGAACUUUCUUAGAUAAUCAACCAUUUGCGAUUACCAAGAAUUUCAUCAUCGGGAUUUAUUUUUAUUUUUGAUUUCUAAAUUUUUUACCAUUUGGGUAUAUUUAGAAAUUUUUUUUGUUAUUUUUGGAAAAACAUAAUAUAACAAUUUUUUUUUUUGAAAUUUCAUUUAAAUUCUUCCACCAUUUGGGAUAAAUUUAAAGAAAAUUUCUCACCUAGAGAUUUCUUAAGAAUUUUACCAUUUGAAAUUUCUAAAAUUCUCAUCUUUGGAUAAUUGUCAAAUAUUUUUAACCAAAAACUUUUAUUUGGAAACAAAUACAAUUACUUUUUAUUGAAAUUUCAUCUAAAUUAUUCUACAAUUUGGAACAAAUUUUGAGAAAUUUCUCACCUAAAGAUUUCUUAGAGAAUUUAUCAUUUUAAAUUUCUACAAAUCUCAUCCUUAGGCAAUUAGUAUUUAAUUCCAAAAUUUUAUUAAAAUUUUAUUAUUUUUUUAUUUUGAAUUGAAAAUAAAUAUUAAUUAUUAUUAUUAUUGAAAUUUUAUCUAAAUUAUUCUACCAUUUGGGAUAAAUUUAGAAAACAUUUCUCACCUAGAACUUUUAUUAAAAUUUACCAUUUAUAAUUUCUAAAAAUUUCAUUGUUGGAUAAUUAUUAUCUAUUCUCAAAAAAAUUAUUAAUGUUUUAUUUUAUUUUUUUAUUAUUUCUUCUAACUUUUUCUAAAAUUUAAUCAAACAAAAAUAAUUUAAAAAUAAAUAAAUAAAAUAAAAAAUACCAAAACAGGAACUGCCUCGGCUUGGCUAGUGUGUGUGGCUAGGCUACAGGCACAAAACUGGUUGAAAAGGCUUGGAAAGCGACUCAACUCGACUAAGGUAUAGGUUGAUUAACCACCGAAAUCUGGGUAAUUAUGCCAGAAUUUUACCCUUAAUUGCUGUUAAGCCUUUACUUGUACUUUUUCCCUUAUUUUUCUUUCUAAUUGCUAUCUAAUUGUUGUCUUUUGUUCUGUGAUUUAAAGGCCUAUUUAUAGGGAACAAUAUAGAGAAUUUCAUAUUGAUUCCAAUUUAAAAAGUUAGGAUUAUCAUGAAAAAAUAAAAUUUAUCUUUAAAAAGUUUAACUUCAAAUUUAAUUAUGAUAAAACUAAAUUAUUACCAGCCACUCCAUUUUAAUUUAUGGCCAUUCUUUUUUUUUUUCAAUUAUCCAUUUUUUUUAAAUAUCCAGAUACAUUUAAAAAAAUUAGAUAAACAUGAGGAAAUACAAUUAAAGAUAAACAACAAAUAAGCAAGACAAAAUAAGUAAUAAAAUAAAACAAAAAAGAUAAAUAAAAAAAUAUAUAGAUAAAUAAAAUAAAAACACAAUUUUGACAAUUAGGCUUAGAUCAAAUCUGAGCCCAAUUGAUUUGGGCCUUUAGCCUUGAAAUUAAAUCGGGCCUAGUUGACUUAGACCCCGUACUAAAUUGGGUGUCUAUAAUUGUCUCUCUUUGCUUAUUUUCUAUGCAACAGGAAUUAUGCAAAAAUAUAAACAUUCAUUACUUCUAAAUGUAGUUUAAUAACAAUUAUAAAAUCUCAAAACUCCAAAUAUUCACAAUUUGAAGUAAUCAAGAAUUUCACAAUCCGACAAUUAGUAAUGCAAGUUGAAACUCAAAGAUUCAUAAUUUAAGUUUAAAGAAUCACCAUUUUGAAAUUCAAAGGUUCGCAAUUCAACAAUUAGCAAGGUUCAAUUUCACAAGAAUUUGAUUCGUAAGGAUUUCAAAUUCUCAAAAUUCAUAUUUGCAAGGAUUUUGGACUUGCAAGAAUUUGAUUCUUAAGGAUUUUAGGUUCACAAGAAUUUUCAAAUUUGCAAGAAUUUGAUUCUCAAAAUUUCAAUUUCACAAGGUUUUUCAGCUUAACACGAUUUUUCAACUUCGUAAGAAUUUAUAUUCACAAGAAUUUGAUUCUCAAAAUUUUAGUUCACAAGGAUUAAAGAUUCGCAAUAAUUUGAUUCUCAAAUUUUCAAUUUCGCAAGGAUUUAGAUUCACAAGAAUUUGAUUCACAAAAUUUCAUAUUCGCAAGAUUUUUCAAUUUCGCAAGAUUUCAAAUUUGCAAGAACUUAGAUUCACAAGAACUCAAAUUUGUAAAAUUUUAGAUUUGCAAGAACUUAGAUUCACGUUUGAGAGAUUCACAUCCAAAGUUUAAUUCAAGGAUUUGCAUCAAAAUUGCAAGCCUCACAUCCAACAUUUGAAGAUUCAUAUUCUUCUAGAGAUUCACACCCAAAAGUUUAAGGAUUUUUAUUUACAAAAAAAACUUUAGGAAUUCAUUUCCAAGAUUUCAAAGUUUCUCAUUCGAGUUUCAAGAUUUAUAUUCGAUAAAUUUAGUAGUUUCACAUCUAUAUUCAAAGGUUCUCAUUAAAAAAAAUUUGGGGUUUACAUCUAAAAUUUUCAAAGCUUCUUAUUCAAGUUCAAAGAUUCAUAUUUGAUAAAUUUUUUAGUUUCAUAUCUAAAUUCAUAGGUUCUCAUUAAAAAAUUUAGAGGUUCACAUCCAAAAUUUUCAAAAAUUCUCAUUCAAGUUCAAAGAUUCACAUUCGAUUGAUUUUAGAGUUUCACAUCUAAUUUAAAAGUUCUCAUUCAAAAAAAUUUGGGGUUCACAUCCAAGAGUUCAAAGCCUCUUAUUCGAGUUCAAAGAUUCACAUUUCAUUAAUUUUAGAGUUUUACAUCUAAAUUCAAAAGUUCUCAUUUAAAACUCAAAGAUUUUCAUUUAAAACUUUUUAAAGAUUCUCAUUUAAAACUCCUUAAAGUUUUUCAUUAUUUUAACUUUAAAAAUGCUCCAUUAAAAGGCUCGACAACUUUAAAAUUCUAAAUGUUCUCCUGAUAAAACAUUUUUCCACUUAAGGAUUCUCAACUUUAUAAAAAUUCUCAAUCUUUCAUCAAAGUCAAAACUUUGUAUAUAAAGAAUGUCAUGAUUAUUAUGCAAAUGCAAAAAUCUAGAUUCUUACAAAAAUGUAGACACUAUAGUUUAAACCAUAAUUCAAAUAUUCACUACAUGAGGCAAAUGCAUGGCCAGCCAAGAUUCAAAUAUUCACAAGAUUAUAUACAUGUAUUGUUCAAUGCAAACACAAUGCUUGGAAUACAAAUAUCAAUGUCAUGAAAUUCUACUUAAUUGUAGUAAUAUGGUUCUCAAGACCUCACCAUCUUAUCUUUUCUUUUUUUAACAUCUUGACACUAACUAUUUCAGAAUAAAUUCUAUUAAUUGAUCCACAUUAUUUUCAUCAUUUGAUCAUGACUCAUAGGUUUCACAGCACUAGCAAUUUUAGAACAAAUUUUAUCCACUGAUUCAUAUUAUUUCCAUCACUUAAUCAAAAUUCAUAGGUUACAUCGACUAAUCCAUUACCAUAUUCAUCACUUGAUCAUCCCAUGUGUCUUUUCAAAUUAUCUUCUUAAGCUUCGUCCAUCUUUUUAUUUUUUUACCUCUUCAACUUUUUUUCAAAGAAAUGCAGGAAUCUUUUCUAAAUAUUAUCAUUCAUUCAUUAUCAUUUUCAAUUCUUAACAAAUAUAAUGCAAUCACAUAUUUUUUCAAUUUAUUUUAAGGAUGCAAAAAUAAGAGAGUACAAGGUGAAUUGAGAGAACAAUAAUCAAUAUAAGAAUGAGUCUAGUACAAAAAUAAAUGGACAAAGGAAAAAAUUUAAAACAUAUCACUAAGGAUGGUAUUAAAUGGUAUAAUAAUGUCUAAACAAUGAAUAUUCAAACAAUUCUUAACAUUAAUCCAAAAUUUUUUUUCAAAAACUCAUUCUAUUGUCUUUCAAAAUCAUAUGGAGCUUAUUAAAUUUUAUCCCAGCCUUAAGGGAUCUUCAAAUGUCUUUGAUCUUUCAUAUAUUUAAAUUGUUUAUCUAACUCUCAGCUCAGAUGUUUUUCUACCUAAAUUACCCUUUUAGGUAUUCAAUUUGAAUCUUCAUUUUCUCUCAUUUUACAUUUUUUUAUUUUCUCUUUUUUUCAUUUUUCUUUUUUUUCUUUUCAUUUUUUCAUUUUUUUCAUUUUUUUCAUUUUUUAAUUUUUUCUUCAUUUUUCAUUUUUUUCCUUUUCUCAUUUUCCAUCCAUUAUUGAUAUCUCCUGCACAUCAAUCUCUAAAAUACAUAACAUGAUUCCAUUGUUCCAUCAUAAAGCAUUUCUUAGCCCAAUAUAUGAUCAUUCAAUUCAAACAUUCAUAUUUUAUCAAAAUAAACUUUUACAGGUUAUAACGUAGGCUAUGAUAAAGGUUCAUGAAAGAAAUGAAUAAAAUAGGCUCAAAACACAUGUUUAAAGGGUUCAAACCAAAAGAUAAUUUUUCAUCAUGUGAUGUAGUUUGGCACUUUGCCUCAUUCCACAUCAUUUCACUACUUUUUUUUUUAUCUUAUUUAUCAUAAAAAGAUUCGCAUUUCUUUAUCCCAAAUCAUUUAUGGCAUUCAUUUUUUUUGUAAAGGGUUCUUCUUUUCUUUUUUUUUUUUUACUCUCUAUCUUUAAGGCCUUUUGUGAUCUCUUGUUUUUUUUUUCACGUAUGUUUUUUCUAAAAUUUAUCUCUUAGUAUGGAGGAUGAUCCUUGGUUAGGGUUCUUUAGGAAAAAAAUCAUAAUAGGCUCAAAAGGAGUAACAAUGGAUGGUUUUAUCAAUGGUAAAAAAAAUAUAGCCAUUUUUAAUCUCAAAUGUGAAUGCUUUUUUUGAAUAUUAUAUAUUGAACAAAGACAAACUCACGGAUCAUUAUAAAUGACUACAUAUCUUUAAGACAUAUUUAUUAUAUAUCUGCUAGCAGCUUACUUUUUUUGCUCAAAUAGUCUCUAUAGAUCAAUGUGAAUGAGUUCUGAAAACUAAAUCCUAGAAUUAUUGUUAUCAUUGUCUUAACAUUCAUCAUUGAGAAUGAGAAUAUAAGACAAGUAAAAAAACUAAGCAUGGAAUAUUGGUUAGGAUAAAAGAGAAAAUAUAAUAAAAUACAUCAUACUUGCCUUUUAUUAAAAUGAUAAAAAAUGAAAUCUUAUUACAUAAAAAAAAUCCUAACAUUACUUUGAAAGAAAUUUUAAAAUGACAAGCAACAUCCAACCAACCUUAACAUCUUUGUCCAUCUUAAAAUUAUGCCCCUGUAUGAUCAGGUGAAAAAUUUUUAUUAACAUUUUGCCCUCUGAUUCAUCAAAGCUCAUCAAGCCUUUUCGAAUCAAACUUCACACUUUGUGUUUAAAAGCAAGGCAAGUUUCAAUAAAAUGACUCAUAUUCCUAUUAUGAUAAUCGCCUGUCGCAUUAGCAUUAUACCAUUUUGGAUAGAGUAGCUUUAAUGGUUCUAGAAUAACUAAAAAUACUAAGUCAUUCUUAACUAGUUCUGGGAAUAACUUAGUGUAAGUCACAAUGCUAGGAUCAAUGUGGGCCCUUUCUUGGUUAUUUUGAGAUCUCCUUAAACCAUUUGCUUGGUUGUUAUGCUUUGAAGCUAAUAUAAUUAUAUGACUAGAUCCAUAUAUAGGUAUUUGAAAGGUUGAUUAAUAGGUUGGUGGGUAAGCUAGUUGUGGAUAUGGUUGGUAAGGGGCCUACAAAAUACCAAUAACUAUGGGAUAGUAAAUAGGAUGAACAGGUGGUGGAUAUGAAGCAUAGCUUUUGAAUUGUUUCCCAUCAAAAUUCAUAGCUUAGGCUUUAAUUUCUUUCUUUUUAGGCAACCCUUAUUUCUUGCUAGUUUUUCCUUCUUGAAGCUCGUCACUCUUGAUAGCAUUUUUAAUAAUUUCUCUUGAAAUCACCAUAUCAAUAAAGUUCUUCAUUACAUUCCUUAUCAUCUUUUCAUAAUAGAGAAUUUUAAAGUACUUACAAAUAACAUUGUAAUCUUUUUUUCAGUUAAAAAUGACUGAACUUGAGUAGCUAUGUCUUUCUACCUCUAGGCAUACUUUUUAAAUGAUUCAAUCACCUUCUUCUUCAUACUCUGUUAGGAAAGAUGCUUAAGAGUUAGAUCUAUUAUAUAUUGGUAUUAGCUGAAAAAAUCACAUGCCAUCUCACUCUAAGAGUGAAUGUAGGUUUUGUCCAAUUGGACAUACCUUCUAGCAGUAGAACCACUAAGGUUAUCUUGAAAUACAUACAUUAACAGCUUCUUAUUAUUAGCAUAGGCAAUCAACUUCUGACGGUAUAUGGUAAUAUGGGUAUUUGGACACUUUGUACUAUCAUAUUUCUUAAACUUUGGUACUUUAAACUUUAGAAAAAUAACAACAUUUGGACUAAACAGUGCCCAGCAACAUCUACAGAAUCAUAAAAACCAAUUCCUUCUACUAUUCGUAACCUUUUCUUGAGCAUAUUCAUCUUUUUGUUAGCUAUUGAACCUUCUAAAAUCUCUUUCUACUUAAGUCUUAGCUUCUCUUUCUCUUCUAGGUCAUUCAAGUUGGAGAUUGGUAUUGAUUCUACUAUUUUAUCAGUAAAUACAAGAUUUAUAUAACUCUAGUAAUGCCUUAGAUUUGAAGUCGAUGGCAUUAUUAGGGUAUGUAUACCCUACAAGGUAUGUGUAUUGCUAUAGUGGUGCAUCAUGUGUGGACUAGGCUUGAUAUGGCCUAUAACUGUGAGGAUAAAGAGGAUCAACAACAUUUUUAUGAGGAAUGGUCUUGCAACUGGUAUUUUAAUCUACAUUUUUUUUCCUUAUUCAAUUUAUUCAACGAUUUUAGAAUCUUACUCAACUACCCUUCAAGCUUUUCUUGGGCCUUCUCUAUUUUUUCCAAACAAUUUGCAUUUUUCUAUUCCAUUUGCCUAGCUCAAGCUCUGGUGUUAUACUAAUGGUAAAUGUGUUGAACUGGGUUCUUAGAUGGUGGAGCUAUCUUUAAACCUUGUACCAUAAUUAGCUUGCUUAUGUUAUUAAAUGUGUUUAUGAAAAAGCUUGCAAAAUUAACCUAACUUUUUUAAGAAUGAAUGCAUUGAAUGCUUGACCUAACAAAUUAUGAUUCAUAAGCACAUGAAUGUAUGCACAGUAAUGUAUGAUGCAUGUACUGAUGUUUGUCUCAUUAUGAUGCAUAGGUGGAUACAUAUGUUAGUAAUGCUAGAAUAAGAUACAACACAUAACAUACAACAACUUAAUCAAUAAGGAUAAAAUAACAUUUAUCAUGAAAGUCUUAUGAAUGAAGCUCAAAAAGUUCACUCAUAUGUCCUAAUUAGGGUUAUAUUCUAGUGAUGGGUAGGUGUGGCUCUAACAUAAAGUUAGCUUCUUAUGUAUUACUAUAUGUGGUUUAGGUUAAAUCUGAAGGUUCUCAAAUUGUUCUCAUAUCAUUGUCCAUCACAAACUAGUAAGACACUCAAAUCCUCACUCAUUAUAGGCUACAAAUGAAAAAAAUUCAAUUUGAGUUAGAGUAUUUCACUAGCCAUUACAGAGAUUAUCAUCUUAUGAAAGCAUAGGUACUUUACUCUCUCUUAAAAAGGACAGAACCUAGGUAUAAAACUCAUAUGAUGUAUAUGCAUGUGAUGGUAUGUGAAGGAACACAUAUAUCUUUAUUUGUAAUUUUUACAAGCAAAGUCAAAGAAUAAAAAAAAUAAUAAUUUAAUAUCAAGCAAAAAAAAAGAGAUAAUUCAUAAUUAAUUAAUGGCUUAACUCUCUAGUAUUCCCAAUAGAGUCGUCAUACUAUCAUAACAUAUAGAUCUAUAAAUUUAUAGCUAGACUUAACAAUAAGAGUUGCCACUAAUUUUUUUUAGGUGUGAUUGGUCAUUUAAUGAAUCUACCAUUUUAAGAAGCUCAUAAGCUUGACUAAGGGUCCCUAAAGAAUAGGUUCUAACCUUUUGAAUAGAACAAGGUUUGGAAGUUUGAUUAUGUGUAAGGAAGGCUAUAAUGCCCCCUAAUGCCCAUCCUAAUAUGGUAUCAUUUAAUUUUAAAUUAUCCUAACAAUUAUCUUGGUUCUAAUGGUUUUUACUUUAAUGUUUAAAUAUUAGAAAUGACUUCUAAGAUUUUUUCAUCAAUUUGGUAGAAUUCUUAAAAAUACUUCCUCACCUCAAAAGUAUUCUAAAAUCCCAUUUGUUUUCUUUAAAAAGCUUCAUCGUCGAAAGAAGGUUUAAUUAUAUUUAUUUUAAUUUUUUUAUUAAAAUUAUAUCUAGUUAUUCCACCAUUUUGGCAUAAUUAGAAAUAUCUUCUCACUUAAAUAUUUCUUAGAUAAUCAACCAUAUGUGAUUACCAAGAAUUUCGUCAUCGAGAUUUAUUUUUAUUUUUUAUUUCUAAAUUUUUCACUAUUUUAGUCUAUUUAGAAUUUCUUUUUUUGUUAUUUUUGGAAGAACAUAAGAUAACAAUUUUUUUUUUAAAUUUCAUUUAAAUUCUUCAACUACUUGGGAUAAAUUUAAAGAAAAUUUCUCACCUACAGAUUUCUUAGGAAUUUUACCAUUUAAAAUUUUUAAGAUUCUCAUCAUUGGAUAAUUGCCAAAUAUUUUUAGCCAAAAUUUUUUAUGUGAAAAAGAAUACAAUUACUUUUAUUGAAAUUUCAUCUAAAUUAUUCCACCAUUUGGGACAAAUUUAGAGAAAUUUUUUACUUAAAAAUUUCUUAGAGAAUUUACCAUUUUAAAUUUCUAAAAAUAUCAUCCUCGUAUAAUAACUAUUUAAUUCCAAAAUUUUAUUAAAAUUUUAUUAUUUUUUAUUUUGAAUUGAAAAUAAAUGUUAAUUAUUAUUAUUGAAUCUUUAUCUAAAUUUUUCUACCAUUUGGGAUAAAUUUAGAAAAAAUUUCUCGCUUAGGAAUAUUUUUAAAAUUUACCAUUUACAAUUUUUAAAAAUUUCAUCAUUAGAUAAUUAUUAUUUAUUCUCAAAAAAAUUAUUAAUAUUUUAUUUUAUUUUUUAUUAUUUUUUCUAACUUUUCCUAAAAUUUAAUCAUGUAAAAAUACUUUAAAAAUAAAUAAAUAAAAUAAAAAUACUAAAAUAGGAACGACUCGGCUCAGUUAGUGUGUUCCGCUAGGCUGCAAGUAUGAAACUGGCUGGAAAGGCUUGAAAAACAACACAACUUGACUUAGGUGUAGGUUGCUAGAUUCUGGGAUUGAUCGUCAAAAUUUGGGUAAUUAUGCCAUAAUUUUACCUUAAAUUGUUGUCAAACCCUUACUCUUACUUUUUCCUCUUUUUCUUUCCAAUUGCUCUCUAAUUGUUAUCCUUUUGCUUUGUGAUUUAAAUGUCUAUUUAUAUGGUACAAUAUGGAGAAUUUUAGAUCGAUUCCAACUUAAAAAAUUAGGAUUAUCAUGGAAAAAUAAAAUUUAUCUUUGAAAAGUUUAACUUUAAAUUUAAUCAUGAUAAAACUACAUUAUCACUAGGCACUCCUUUUUAAUUUAUGGUCGUUCAUUCUUUUUCUCAAUUAUUCAUUUUUUUGAAAUAUCCAGAUAAAUUUUUAAAAAAUUAGAUAAAUAUGAGGAAAAAAAUUAAAUAUAAACAACCAAUAAGCAAGAAAAAAUAAAUAAUAAAAUAAAAUAAAAAGGACAAAUAAAUAUAUAUAUAUAGAUAAAUAAAGUAAAAACACAAUUUUGACCAUUAGGCUUGGAUCAAAUCUAAGCCCUAUUGAUUUGGGCCUUUGGCCUUGAAAUUAAAUUGAGCCCAGUUGAUUUAGACCCCGAACUAAAUUGGGUGUCUACAAUCGAUGGUCAUUCUACAUCUGUAUAAAACUUUUAGGCUAGUAGGAUAUAUGUAUAUAAGGUUAGAGGAAGAUGCUAAAGUGAAAUUGAGUGUGGAAGAAGCUUUCGCCGAGUUGUCCAUCCAAAUAAUAGGCGAAAAAGAUACAAUAGUCUAUAAGGAAAAGGUGUUGGUCCAUCCAUGUCCACCAGGCUUUGAACUAAAAAAUUAUAGUAUUAUCGAGAUGCCUGCUAUCCUUGAUACUUUUCCAAUAUAAUUAUAACUCCCAAUUGUUUGUGCCUAAAAGUAUUGGGAUGGUCUUUUAUGUACAAGCCUCUUAUCAAUUCUUAUCUCAAUAAAAGAAUAGAAAUAAGCAUUUUCAUUCAUUUCUUCUAUUCUGGUUUCAUUUUUUGACUAGUCAAAACAUUUUUUCAGUACUUUCCAUUUCAUUUAAUUUCAGGUCUUCAAAUUAAUAUAAAGAUAAUCAUGAUGACAAUCAAAAAUUUCAUUUUGAAAACUCAAUUAAUAUUGAUGAACUUGACACCAAAGAUGACUCUAAAGAAUACACUUUACCUUCACAUCUAAUGAAAUUGAUUGAAUAAGAGAAUAAAUCUAUUAAGCCUCAUCAAGAAAUCAUUGAGAUUAUAAAUUUAGGGGAUGAUAAGAAUAAGAAAGAAGUCAAGGAUUGCUUAUCACUUCCAUCAACUGAUAGACAAAGGUUAAAAGAUCUAUUUUGAGAAUUUAUAAAUGCAUUUGACUAGUCCUAUUAAGAUAUGCAUGGGUUUAGCACCAAAAUAGUGGAGCAUAAGUUACCCAAAACUUGAAUGUAGGCCUGUUCAACAAAAAUUGAGAAAAAUGAAGCCUAAAUGUUGUUAAAGAUUAAAAGUGGUAAAAAAAAAUAGUUUGAUGUAGGCUUUCUACAAGUGACCAAAUAUCUUGAGUAGGUAGCUAAUAUAGUACCUAUUCUUAAAAAAGAUGGAAAGAUAUGGAUGUGUGUGGAUUAUCGCAAUAUGAAUAAGGCUAGGCCUAAAGAUCAUUUUUCUCUACCUUAUAUCGACACAUUGGUGGAUAAUAAGGCCAAGCAUUCGAUAUUCUCUUUUAUGGAUUAGUUUUUAGGUUAUAAUCAGAUAAAGAUGGCCCAAGAUGACAUAAAGAAAACUACAUUCAUAAUUAUAUGGGGUACAUUUUGUUAUAAAGUUAUGCCUUUUGGACUAAAAAAUGCCAGGGUAACUUAUCAAAGAGUUAUUGUAACAUUCUUUCAUGACAUAAUGUAUAAGGAGAUUGAGAUGUAUAUGGACGAUAUGAUAACAAAAUAUCAUGAAGAAGAAGACCAUGUAAUUAAUCACAGAAAGUCAUUUAAAAGGUUAAUAAAGUUUCAACUCAAGUUAAAUCCAUCCAAAUGCACAUUUGAAGCUAAGUCAAGGAAAUUGCUAGACUUCAUGGCUAGUGAAAGAGGGAUUGAAGUUGACUCAAACAAGAUAUGGGCCAUCUAGAAUCUAUUUCCUCCAAGCAUGCCAAAAGAAGUUUGAAGUUUUCUAGGCAAAUUGAAUUACAUCUCUCAAUUCAUUUUUUUAACUUACAUCCAAAUGUGAUCCCAUCUUUAAAUUCUUUCAAAAGAACAAUCCUAUUGAGUGAAAUAAAUAGUGUCAAGAGGCUUUUGAUAAGGUUAAGUAGUACUUGUCAAAUUCUCUACCACUGGUAUCACUUGUUCUAGGGAAACCAUUAAUUCUAUAUUUGACUGUACAUGAGUAAUCAAUAAGAUAUGUGUUGGGGCAACAAGAUAAGUUUGGUAAAAAGGGAAAAGCUAUUUACUACUUAAGCAAAAAGUUUAUGAAAUAUGAGUCUAAGUAUUCAUCAUUAGAGAAAAUGUGUUGUGCUUUAGCUUGGAUAACUAAAAAACUCAAGCAUUACAUGCUCUACCAUACCAUUUGGCUUAUAGCCAAAUUAGACCCAAUCAAGUAUAUUUUCAAAAAAUUGUCAUUGUCUAGAAGGAUUGUAAUAUGGCAAAUAAUGUUAUCGAAGUAUGAUAUUAUGUAUGUAAGCCAAAAAGCAAUCAAAAGAAGUGUCAUAGCAAAAUGUCUUAUAGAUCAUGUUACUGAAAGCUAUGAGCCAAUGAAACUUGAUUUUUCGAAUGAAAAAUUAAUGGCCAUUUUUUAGCUAGAGGAAGAAGAUGAUAAUGAGAAAUCCUAAAAAAUGUACUUCGAUGGGGCUGUUAAUGCCUUGAGGCAUGAAAUUAAGACAAUUUUGAUAUCUCCCAAAGGAUGUUAUUAUCCCAUUAUGGCAAGGUUGAACUUCAAUUACACUAAUUAUAUGGCAAAAUACUAUGCCUAAGUCAUGGGUUUACAAGCUGCUUUGAAUAGGAAAAUUAAAGUAUUGAAAGUGUUCAGAAAUUCAACUUUAACCAUUUAUCAAUUGAAAAAGAAUGAGAGAUAAGGGAUUCAAAACUUAUUCCAUAUCAUAAAUAUAUCUUAGAGUUAUGCAAACAGUUUAAGGAAGUUCAAUUUAAACAUUUUUCCUGUGAAAAAAAUCAAAUUGUAGAUGCACUGGCUAUUUUGGCAGUGAUGAUUCAGGUUAAUAACAAUACUAAGAUUUAGCCCAUUAAGUUAGAUAUCCAAGAUAUGCCACUACAUUGCACUAAUGUGAAAGAAGAAGAAGAUGGAAAACCUUGGUAUUAUGACAUCCUAUAAUACUUAAAGAAUCAGUAAUGCCCAGAUGAAGUAAUAGAAAAUGAUAAAAGAGUCCAAAAGAGAUUGGCUAUGGUUUCUUCUUAGAUGGUGAGGUCAUUUAUAAAAGAGCUGAGAUCAGGUGGUAUUACAAUGUGUAAAUGCAGCUAAGGUAAAGAAGAUUAUUGAAGAUGUAUACGAUAAGGUAUAUGGAGCACAUGCAAAUAAACACAUGAUGGUAGGAUAGAAUAUAAGAGUUGGAUACUACUAGUUAACAAUAAAGAAUGACUGCAUUGAUUAUAUUUAAAAGUAUCAUAAGUGUCAAAUUUAUGCCGACAAGAUCUAUGCUUCACCAUUUACUUUGCAUGUUUUGACACCACAUUAGCCAAUCUCUACAUAUAGAGAAGGCAAUUUAACCCAAAUCCAGUAGUUUCGACCCGACUCAACCUUUUAGUGUCAAUUUUUUUGUAAAAUCGAGUGUCGGGUUGGGUCGAGUAAUAUAAGAAAAAAUUCAAAAUUAGGUCGGGUUGAGGUUUAGGCAAACCCAACCUUACCCUACCCCCUACCCGAUAUAUAUAAAAAUUAUUUUUUUAAUUAUUUAUUUAAUUUUAUAUUUAUUUUUAUAAAUUUUUAUAUAUAUUUAAUUUUAUAUUUAUAUUAAAAUAAUAUUUUAUAUUUUAAAAAUAUAUAUUAUAUUAAUUUCGGGUCAGAUUAGGUCAGGUACAAUCUCAUACAAUGUCUUGUUGGGUAGGAUCAAGUUCGGGUAUAAAAAAUAAAAAAAUCAUUAGGUUGGUCAGGUUCAGGUUUUAUAUAUAUAAAGUCGGGUCAGGUUCGGAGUAAGCAAAAACCCAUCUCGACCCGAUCUGUUACCAUCACUAUCUAUAUGGGGCAUGGAUGUUUUUGGUCCCAUUACUCCAAAAAUAUCAAAUGAAAAUAGAUUCAUUUUUAUGAUGAUUGAUUAUUUUACUAAAUUAGUUGAAGUAGCUUCAUAUAUGAAUGUGACAUGAUCAGUGGUUUGCUAUAAAAAGAGAAAUAAUAUGCAGAUAUGGACUUUGAGAGAAGAUCAUCUUAGAUAAUGCUUAAAACUUAAAUAGUAAGAUGAUGAAAGAUAUAUAUGCUCAGUUCAAAAUUAAACACCAUAACUCAGCAUCGUAUCACCCACAGAUUAAUAGGACAUUAGAAGUUGCUAAUAAAAAUAUCAAAAAAAUUCUAGAGAAAAUUACUAAUACGUAUAGAGAUUGUCAUGAGAAAUUGCUUUUUGCUUUACAUGCCUAUCUAAUGUCAGUACGUAUCUUUACUAAGGCAACCUUGUUUUCCUUGAUUAUGGGAUAGAGGUUGUAUUACUAGUUGAAAUAGGAAUCUCAUCUUUUAGAGUCUUAAGAGAAGUGGGAUUAAAAAAAGCUAAAUGAAUUUAAGAGCGCUAUGAACAACUAAACUUCAUUGAAGAGAAAAGGCUAGUAAUGUUGUGUCAUGGUUAAUUAUAUCAUAUAAGAAUGAUGAGUGCUCAUGACAAGAAAGCCCGACCUCAUCAAUUUCGAGGAGAAGAGUUGGUGUCGAAAAGAAUUUUUCUUAGUUAGCGUGAUAAUAGAAGAAAGUGAACCCAAAUUGGUAAAGGUCAUAUGUGGUAAGAAUGACUUUUUUAGAUGAAACAUUAAUUUUAAUAGAGAUGGAUGGAGAUGAUCUUUCUAAUCCUAUAAAUUCUAAUACUAUGAAAAAGUACUUUACUUUAAAAAAAAAAGUCUAAGUCGAAAACCCAAAAGGGUAAUUUGAACCAAAAGUGGGUUUAUCCAAGUUGAAAAUAUGUAAAGGCAACUUGGAUGAUAAGAGUACGACAUCAUUUGAAUGGUUCACCAACAUGAAAACUAGUAUAUUUUGAAAAGCUCUAAAGCACUAAGGGCAUUAUAUGGUUGAGUUUUUUAAGAAAAUCGGAUAUAUGUUAUCAUGAUUAUUUGAUUGUAUAUCUUAAAGCAUUGUUAACCCAAAUAGCCAUCAUUGUUUACCUUUACCAUGUCCAAUUAGCCACCAUUUGUAAUAUGGUAUCUUUUUCAAAUAAAGAUAUUCAUUUCAUUAUUUAUAUCUCAUUUUCAAUCAUUAUCAUUUCUUUAAAUUAUUUGCAUUGAAUAGAAGAAAUAUAUGAUUUACGUCUUAUAUGUCUUGACAAUGGGAUAAUGAUUGAUAAUUGAAUAAUAUCAUGAAAGAUUAUAUAUUACUUUGGGGAAAGUGAAAGAUACAAAGGCAAAAGAUAAAACCUUCAAAACCUGUUAAAGGACAUUGAUUUAGGAAAGAAAAGAAAGAAAAUGAGAAAGGCGAGCGCCUACUUUGAACAAUAAAGAAAAUAGCUAAUUUUGUUCCUAUUGUUGGAAAAUUGAAGAGUUUGGAAUUCAAACGAAAAAGUUUUGAGAAUCUAUGUACCACAACUGAAAGUUCAUUAAUUAUCAUUUGCAUUGAAUAAAUUGCAUAUAGGGAUAUCUUUUCCAUUUAUCUAGAGUAGGGAUGUCACAAGAUCCAACAUAAAGAAUGCAAAUCCAAAGAUUUCAAAUUCUCGAUGGAGAAGAAAUUUUUAAGGUAAGAUUUUUUAAUCUUAAAAAAAAAAAUUUUUCAAAAUCUUUAAACCUUUGAUUAGAGGACUCUAAUUUAAAGUUGUUUAGCCUCUAUAUAGACAAGCCUAUUUCUUAGUUUAAAGUUUUUUAGCCUUUAAAUAGGGAAGCUCAUUUCUUAGUUUAAAGUUAUUUAGCCUCUAUAUAGAUGAGCUCAUUUUUUAAUUUAUUAGCCUUUGUAUAGAGGAGUUUUAUUUUGUUAAACCUCUAUUUAGAUGAUUUAUUUGGACUUUUUAAGCUUUAUGCCUCUGUUUAAAGGAGUUUGUUAAAAUUUUUCAAAAAUUGCAUGCCUUUUUUUAAAAGAUUCUUUUAAAAUUACUUAAGUUGAACCGAACUCAAUGGUUUUCUAUGUCUUUGCAUCAUUCUUAUUUCACAGAAAUGUACAAAAAGAGGUAACCAUAGACACUCCAUUUCGUCUGGUGCCUGUAAUUGAACUUCAAUUUGGGUUUUCUAGGCUUGCAAGGUAUCUAUCGGGCCUUUAAACUAGUGUAAAGCCUUAAAUUGAUUAUGGGCUUUAAGCCAAUAUAAGGUACCUUUUGAUAUUUAAGCUUUGAGCCCACUUUAUAAUUGCACUUAUGUUUUAAUUAAAUAUUAAUAAAAAAUUAAUUUAAAAAAUGAUAAAAAGUAAUAAAUGAAAUCAGGAAUUUUUUUGAAGAUCAAUCUUGAAAUCAUGAUUGUAUAGAAUUGGAAACAAAUCAAAAAAGAAAACACUGACCAGAAUCAAAUUAAAACCCAAAGUCAAACCACGAUUUAGAUCGAAUCUGUUUAUGGCAGAUUUGAUCUUUAAAUAAUGGAACCCUAAAAUUUUUGACUAGGAAAUCCAUAUAAAUCGUGCUCAAACCCACAAAUAUAUACACAGAGAUUAGGCAAAAGCUGUAAACAAAGGUUGUAGACACCUAUCUGUGUCUGGAGUCCAUCGUAUCAAUUUUUAUUAUUUUUGCCAUUAUAGUUAAUUACUAUACUAUUAUUAUAUUACUACUAUACUAUUGUUAUAUUAUUAUAGUAUUAUAUUAUAUUAUUAUUAUAGUAUGUUGAUAUUAUAUAUCUAUUAUUAUAUUAGUAUCAUAUUAUAUUAUAGUAUACUAUUAUAUUAUAUUAGGUUAUCAUAUUAUAGUUAUUAUUAUUAUUAUUAUUAUUCUUAUUAUUAUUAUUAUAUUUGAUAUUUUAUUACUUUUAGUAUUUUUAUCAGAUUUUCUUUCCUUUUUCUUGAUCGAGGCUAAACAAAUUAUGGAAACCGAAAUUGAAUCAAUUAAUCAAAGGUUUUAAUAUAGAAUCAUGUCUAGAUAAUGGUUGAAUUUAAUGUUGAUUAAAUCAGUGAACAAAAUCACGUUCAAGCAUAAUACAAUCCCAGGAUUUAAGCCUAGGAUUUAUCCUAUCCAUUUCCUAAAAUCCGUUCUAAGAGGCUUAUAAAUUGAACAAUAAAUCAAAGGAAUGGGAGAAAAAAAGUAGUGAAAAAGCUGGGGUUAUUAUUUUGGAAAUAAUUUUUGGGUAGUAGGGCUUUAUGGAAAAUUUUGGUCUUUGGGAUUUGGAUUCUUGGGAGUUUUGGGUUUGAUCUAGAGUUUCUAAGUUUAGAUUUGGGAUUCUAAGAUUAGGUUUAGAUUUCUGAAGGGAUUUUGGAGAAUUUGGGAAAAUUUUGUUUUUUAUUUUUGGAAAAUUUUGGAAUUUUGGAAGAACAUAUGAAUUUUUUAAUGAAGUUUUCGGCAAAAGUUUAAAGUUUCUAACAAGAUUUUCAGAAACUAACUAAGUUUCUAGAUUUUGGUUAAAUCUUUAGGUAGGUUUUUAAAGAGAAGGGAGAGAUCUUUUAGGUUAAAGAGAGAGCGAGCAGAAGGUUUCUGAAACUAAACGCCUAGCUUUUAUACUGGUACAAAAUGAUGAUGUUUUGAACAUCCCAGAUUCGCACGUCUAACCGACAACCCGCAUGAAAAUUUGUGUGCAAACCUGACCCAUUUUGUAGGUUUUUUUCUUCAUUUUUAUUUUAUUUUUUGAUUUUAUUUUUUAUUUUUCUUUCCUUUCUUAAGUUUUUAUUUUAUUUUCAGUAUUUUUUAUUUAAUUUUGCUAAUUUAAAAAAAAAAAAGAAAAAAAUUUUUUUUGGAAAACAGAAAAAGCAAAAAAAAUAUAAAGAAAAAUUUUCUUCCAAAUAAGUUUAAAAAAAAAAAAGAAAUAAGUCUGAAAAAGAAAUCUUUUUCAAAUAAAUUUAUGAAAUCUACCAAACUAUUGAAAAAUUUUAUAAAUUAGUUUUUUCUUAAAGAAAAAAGAAUAAUAGAAAUUUUUUUUCCUUUAAACCAUUGAAGGAUUAUUUUUAAAUUAAGUUUUACCAAACUAUUGGGAGACUUAAUGAAAGUCACAAAACUUUUGUUAAUCUUUUUACAAUAACAUCUCAUUAAACUAUUAGGAGAUCUGCCUCAAGGUAAGUCUUACCAAAUAAUUAGGAGACUUUACUAAUUUUUUGAAUAAAAUAUUAUAAUAAAUUCGAUGACAGAGCCUCUUCAAAGUGAGAUACUAGUCUCUAUGAAAACUCUUUAGGCGAGAAAAUUAUCUGAAAUUACUACAAACUAUUGGGAUAAUUUUAAGAUUAAUUUUUAAUAUUAAAAAUUUGGUAAAUUACAAAUAUGAUCAGGGCUUGGAUAAUAUGAAAUCAAAUUGGUAUUAUCCUUUGGAUGGGCGUUAUGAGGGUGUUACAACCUUCGUUAUGUAUAACCGUACUCUCGAACCUAAAAUCUGGUUUUGCAUAUUAGAAUUUGUUUCAGGUGAUCAUCACAUCUAAACAAAAAAGAUUGAUGGUGACUCCUCUAAUCUAUAUCUAGUGAUAGGUCCAUAGAUCUAUACGUUAUGACAGUUUAAUGACUCCAUUAGGGACAUCAAGAGUUAAACCAGUCAAUGAUUACUUAUUAUCCAAGCCUUGCUUAAUAAAUUCAAGAUUAUUUUUGUCUUUCUUAUUUAUUUCUUUUCAUUGCUUACACUUAAUUAUUUAUUUAUUUCUUUUCAUUGUUUAUGCUUGCUUAAUUAUUUAUUUAUUAAUUAUAUAUAUCUAUCAUUCAUUUACAUAUGCAUAACAUAAGUUCUCCACUCGAGCUCUACCUUUGGAAGGAGUGAAGUACCUAUGCCUUCAUGAGAUUUCAUGUUUUCGCAUGGGCUUGUAAAAUACUCCCACUCAAAUUGAACUUUUUUCACUUAUAACCUAUGAUGGGUGAGGAUCAGGAUGCUUUACUAGUCUAUGAUGGACAAUGAUAUAAGGAACAACUUGAUAACCUUUUAGAGUUAACCCAAACUGCAUAUAGUUAACUUUAAAAGCCUAACUAUAGCUAGAGCCUUAUCCUUUCACCCUUCGUAGUUAAUCCAAAAUUCAAGGUCAUGCUAUUAUCUUACUUAGUAUACAGUGUUUAUUCUAUUUUUUUAUUAUUAAAGUGACUACCUAAUUUCCAUGUCUUCUAUUAUUUCUUUCCUCUUGUGCAUAUUCAUAAACAUACUUAUAGAUUGCAUAGUAUUUUUACCUUAAAAGUCAUUUCAACAAAAGCUCCCAUGGACUCCACAGAACAUCAAGUUUGCACGUCAUCUAUACUUUUCAAAUGUGACUUACCUAUAAAUGUGAAAUUAGAAUCAAAGAAUAGGUAGUAAGAAGAAGGAGAUUGUUUACCAGCUAGUCAUAUUUUUACACUAUCAAAUGAAGUUUGCCUACUCCUCAAACAGAAUGAUUUGAAAAGCCUAUCAAACAUAUGAAACAACAUGACUCCUUCAAGGUAAGAAGCUUUUUGUCAGAAGUUUAGGCAUAUAGCAUAUCUCUUAUCAGUAGAUGUUGAUAACUCACUCUUUAAGGUAAUGGUACAAUUUUGGAAUCCUUCCUACCAUUACUUUAUCUUUAAUGAGAUUGAUUUGGUGCCAACGAUAAAGAAGUGUUCAACCUUAAUGGGUAUGCAUCUAUUAUAUCUAGAUAGAAUAUAUGUAAAGAAACACAAAUCAAGAAAUCGUAGGAAAUUAGGCCAGAUUCUAAGAGUGGGAAAAGAGAUCAUAAAUUUAUGCAUUUGAGAAAAAACAGAUCAUAAGGGUAUUCCAUGGGAAAUUCUCUAAGAUUUCAUUGUUAAAAAUUCGGAUAAUGAUCAAUGAAUAAAUGUAUUCAUUCUAGCCAUAUAUGGGAUGACCAUUUUUCUUAAGAUCUUAGGCCAUAUUGAGAUAGAAGUGGUUGAUCUAUUUGAGCAUAUCAAAAAAAGGUGUAACACUUCACAACUAUCUUGGUAGAAACCAUCAGAUCUCUGAACUUUUGUAGACAAAAUGAUAAGGCAAGAUUUAUGGGUUGCAUACCAUACUAUAUCUGUGGAUGAAAAGCCAUUUUCAAAUACAAAAAAAGUGUUUUCUCCAAGCUUUAUUUUUACAGUCGAGUCCCAAUUAGGGAGUUCUUUUAGAGCAUUUGGCUAAAAGAAAAUACUCAAAAGGGCAAAAAUGUCUAUUACAAAAGUUCAUAGCUGGUUAGGUAAAAUGGCUAGCUCCGUAGAUAAACAGGGAACUUAUGUUGUAUCAAUGUGAAGAUAAAAUAAGGGUCCCACUUUUAGGGUUAUAGGGGUCAACAAGUUAUACACCACUAAUGGUAAGGAAACAAUAUGGAGCUGAAUAGUUUACUCUUAUGACUUGUAAGCUCAGCCAGUUUGACUAUUUAUAUGGGAAGCCUAGAACCUUUCAAAAGAUUAAUAGUAUGAUUAAGGCUUGGAAAAAGCUUAAGAGAGUAAGUCCUGGACCAUUUGCUAAUAAGGCCACUCAAAAAUAUCUGAUUUGAAGAACCAAAAAGGACCAAAAUGUGGCGUCUAUGCCUAAAGACCAUUACCAGCUAAUAGACCAAGAAUCAAACGAUGUGCCUCUAAAAUCAUAAUCUAAAAGGAAACAACAUGAAGUAGAAAAAGAGAAACUAAAACAAGAACUUUUGAAGCUUCAGAAAGAAAAGAAACAGUGGCAAAACAAAGCAAAAAAAUUAGAAAUCCAAGUCCACAGGAUUUUCAAGGAAUAUAGCAAGGCCCAAAAGGUUGUCCGAUAACAAGAUAAUGCUAUUAAGGAAUUGAGAGAGCUAAGACAAAAGCAUAAGAGAUUGUGCAUAUAGGUGCAGGCUAAAGAGACAAACAACAUGGAUUUGGCUUAUGAGAAUGAAAAGUUGAAAAAAGAAUGUACAUAAAUAGAAAAUAAUUAUGUUAAAGUUUAAUAAGAAAAUGAAAUGCUCUCAAAUUACAUUUUGACCCUGAAACUAAAGUUGGAUGACUAGAGAAACCACAUUAAAACACUCACAAAAAAGCAUAAAAAAUUAUCUUAUCAGGUGUGGUUCAGCAAAAGAGAAAGAUUAGGAAGACAAAAAAACAUAAAGCAUCUCAUAACUCAGAUAAGCAAAGCAGUGAUCAAGGUAAGUGAAAUGGCAGAAAAGGCUGAGGUGUUAAGAGCUUCAGUCACACCAGCAAAAGGGCAUGGAUAAAGAUUGCUAAACCUCAUUAAAGAGGCUAAAGAUCAGUAAGAGCAAGUUAGGCAUUUUUAUAAAAGGACAAUGUUAGAUUUGAUGUAAAACAGACUCCUAUAGAAUAAAUGAAAGUUUACUUUUGUUGAAAUAAAGGCAAACAUUUUUCUUUUCUUUCAUUUUUUUUCAUGCAUUGCAUCAUAUUCAUUCACUAUCAUUCAUUGUCAUGACAUGAUCACUGAUUUUAAUUCAUGGUACUAAGGUGCAAAAAUAGCUACGCAUUCAUAUAAUACUCAAGCUAAAGCCAGAAAGAUGGAGUAGGACAAGGCAAAUUAUCUUGAAAGAAUAGAAAAAGCUCAAGAGAUACUUAAAGAAAAAUUAAGUAAAAUUCUAAAAACUUUGGAAGAGGGAAAUAGAAAAAAGGCAAUAAAGGAAGAUACCUCAUCUGAAGCUAUUGAAUCUAUAUAUGCUUCAGGUUUUGGUCCAUAUCAGACCCAAACUGCCCUAAUGUUUCAACCACAAUAGCCAACCAUUCCAAAUUACAACUACUCAUAAAUGACUUAUGUACCUAAUCAUGAGAAUGUCAGAGUUUAAUAAUUUUAUUUUCAUCAAAAAGGUAGCUAGACCCAUUCAACUCUCUACUUUGGAUAAGAUAAAUGAGAAAGAAAAGUUGCAGGCAACUGUAUCUUUGGAAAAUUUUAAGAUCAAUCAAACCAUGAAUAGGAUCAAAAAAAUAUUACAGGCUGUAAAAAGAAUUGAUUUUUACAUAUCCAUGGAUGCAGUAAGGCUUUGUUUAGUACCAGACAUGGUGAUACCUCCCAAAUUUAAAGUACCAAAAUUUAAAAAUAUUAUGGUCCUAAGUGCCUCAUCACACAUAUCACAAUUUAUUGUUGCAAGAUGGUAGCGCAUGCUAGUAAGGAGAAGCUGCUCAUACAUGUCUUUCAAGAUAACUUGACUGGGUUUACUACAAAAUGGUAUGUGUAACUAGAUGAAACUCGCAUAAAGUCAUGAAAAGAUCUGACCAGAUCAUUUAUUAAUCAAUAUCACCACAUCAUUGAUAUAGCCCUUGAUAACUUUUCCUUGCAAGAAAUGGAAAAAAAAAGUAUCUAAAUCCUUCAAGUAAUAUGUCCAAAGGUGGCAAAAUGUAGCUACUCAGGUAUAACCUCCCUUGACAAAAAAAAACUAUAGUGCUAUUCAUGAGCACUCUAAAGUCGUUAUACUAUGAAAGAAUGAUAGAAAACAUGCAUAAAAACUUUGCUAAUAUGGUGAUUUCAAGAGAGAUCAUCGAAAAUGCCAUAAAAAAUGGCAAACUUAAAGGAAAGAAGUCUUAUGAAAAAGCACCUAAGAAAAAAGAGAAUGAGACUUAAGUUAUGAGUUUUAAAGGGUAAAAAUUUAGAAGCUACUCUCGGCCAACUUAUCCCACAUAUCACCACACUGUGAAUCAUACUUCCACUUCUUCUUACCAACCAAAUACAUGACUUUUUUAUCUAUCCUCACUACGAUCACCUGCCCACUUAGUCAAUAUAACAAGUAGUGCCCAACCGUGAACCAUAAAUAAGGGAAAGAGCCACAUUUGAUCCUAUACCCAUAAGCUACAUAAAGUUAUAUCAAGAGCUCUAUAAAAACCACCUUAUUGCUUUCAUUCUUGUAAAAUAACCUGAAUAUUCAUAUCUUAAAUGGUAUGAUGUCACUGCCUAUUGUGACUACUAUUAUGGAGUAAUAGGCUAUUCUAUAAAAAAAUUACCUUUUUUUUAAGUAAGAAGUGCAACAUAUGAUUAAAUAAGAGCUUAUAAGUUUUGAUACUAGUGAAAACUCAGCACCUAAUAUUAGCAAAAUUCCUUUACCUAAUUAUACAGUCAAUGCCUUGAACAAAAAUAAAAAGCACAUGGAAAAAAAGGUGGAAAAGUUUAAAAUGUCAUUCAAACAGCUGUAUGUUACUUUAUAUGAAGCUGGGUUGAUACAACUAGUAGCUUCACGCACCUAUGCAAGAAGAUGCAUCCCCAAUCAAAGAUGUAAGUAUCAUAAUAGAGUUUCAAGGCAUUCUAUUAAUAUCUAUAAAUAAUUCUAUGAUAAGGUAGAGAAACUAAUAGACUCAUACCAUAUAGAGUUAUAUGAGGAGUCAAAAGCUUCGAAAAGAUAUUAGGGUGGCUAUAACAGAUAAGCGGGUGCCAAAACCUAUCAUCAUAUGCUAUAAUGAAAAGUCACAAUCAGUUGGAAAUAAGUUUGUUCCCAAAGUAAUAGUUUUUAAAGUUCUAUGCCCAUUCAUUUACAAAGAUGAAAAGGUUGUACCAUCAAGAUAUGAUUACAAGAUGACAACCCAAAAGUAACAAAAAGUUAUGCCAAAGUCUGAAUCUGCCAACAUAAUAAAAGUAUGAGGCAUAACUAGAAGUAAAAGAUGUUAUACUCUGAAAACUUUAAAAAAAACAAGAAAAAAAAAAGAGAAGCAGACUAAACCAAAAAAAAUUUUAGAGGAAGCCACCUCAAGGUUUGUGUUAGAAAAUGAGUCUUUUAAAUUUUUAAAGCUAGUAAAAUAUAGUGAAUACUCUAUGAUGGAGCAAUUAAAUAAGAUGUCAACCAGAAUAUCUCUGCUAUCACUUCUUUUAAACUUAGAACCACAUCACAAUACCUUGCUAAAGGUAUUGAAUCAGGCUUGUAUGGCCCACAAUGUAUCUAUGAAGUAUGUUAAUCAUUUGGCAGGAAACUUUGUGGUGCCUCAUCAUAUCUCUUUCAGUGAUGAUGAGAUUUUACCUGAAGGUAAAGGGAGCACUAAUGCUUUGCAUAUCACUAUUAAAUAUAAAGGCUAUAUAAUAGCCAAAGUCCUUAUUGAUAAUGGAUAGGCUAUUAAUAUCAUGCCCAUGUCCGUUUUAACCAAGCUACCUUUUGAUAUGUCUCAUAUCCUAUGUAGUCAUUUAGUGGUUUGAGCAUUUGAUGAGACCAGACGAAAAGUCUUAGGGGAUGUUAAGUUACCCUUGUAAAUUGGAUCAUGUAUCUUCAAUAUAAAAUUUCAGGUCAUGGAUAUCUCCAUAUCAUAUAGUUGUUUAUUAGGAAGGCCAUAGAUCUAUAAGGCAGGCACUGUUCCUUUCUCACUACAUUAAAAGAUUAAAUUCAAUGUGAAAAGAUAAUUAGUGGUUGUGGCUAAAAAAGAAUAUUUAUUCGUGACACAACCUAUAAAUGCCUUAUAUGUAGAAGUGGCAGAAGAGUCAUUAGAAUGCUCUUAUCGAUCUUUUAAACCUAUCAAUGCAGUAGGUGAAGAGCUCAAAUUCAAUCAAAUUGUGAUCAAUCAAAUGAUUAACAAGGGUUAGAGUAUUGGGUUCAACUUGGGUAAAAGCCUUCAAGAAAUGAGAGAGCCUCUGAAGAUUAAAGAUAAUAAUGGUCUAUUGGGAUUAGGUUAUGAGAAGGAAAAAAUGUGAAGCAACAAUAAAAAGACAAAGAGUGGGAUGAUGGUUGCUCCCUAUCUAAAUAAAACUUUUAUUGUUUGAGAAUACAUACACCCAAGAGCUAAGAAAGAUAUAAGAAAAGAACCAAGAUGGGAGGAAGCUUUUACCAAAUUAUCCAUUCAUAUGAUGGAUAAUGAAAGUCAAAAUGAAGAAGCUUUGGUUUACCCAUGCUUACCUCGCUAUGAACUGAAAAAUUGAAGGGUCAUCUAGAUGCCUAUUGUUCCUAAUAUUUUCUCAAUGUAAUCACAUCUCUUAACUAUUUAUGCCCAAAAACAUUGGGAUAAACUCUUAUAUUUAGGCUUUUUAUUUUUUAUUAUUUCAAUAAAAGUAUAAACAUGCAUUUUGUCCAUUUCUUCUAUUCCAUUCAUUAUCCCAUCAAAGUAUCUCACCAAUAUUUCCUAUUUAAUUAACUUUUAGGUUGCCAAAUGAAUAUAAAGACAAUCAUGGCAAUGAUCUGGGGUUUAAUUUUGAAAAUUCAAUUAAUACCGAUGAACUUAAUACUAAAAAAGACUUUGAAGAAUAUACUUUGUAUUCAAAUUUAAUGAGACUAAUUGAACAAAAAGAUAAAUCCAUUGAGCCUUAUCAAGAAGUUAUUGAAAUGGUCUUCACUUCUAACAAGUUAAAGGAUCUACUGUGAGAAUUUGUAAAUGUGUUUGCCCGAUCCUACUAAGAUAUACUUGAGCUCAACACUUAAAUAAUAGAACAUAGGUUACCAUUGAAACCUGAAUGCAAAUCAGUCUAACAAAAGUUGAGAAGAAUAAAACUAGAGAUGUUAUUAAAAAUCAAAAAAUGAGUAAAAAAGUAAUUUGAUGCACGCUUUUUGCAAGUGGGUAAAUAUUUUGGAUGGGUGGCUAAUAUAGUACCUAUCCCGAAAAAAAGUUGAAAAAGUAUGGAUAUGUGUAAACUAUUAAGAUCUAAAUAGAGUUAGUCCGAAGGAUAAUUUUUUUUUUGCCUUAUGUUGAUACUUUGGUAGAUAAUACAGCCCAACAUUUGGUGUUCUCUUUUAUGAAUGGAUUCUCUAGUUAUAAUCAAAUAAGAAUGGCCUAAGAUGAUAUGAAAAAGACCACAUUUGUCAUUAUAUAGGGAAUUUUCUAUUAUAAGGUCAUGUCUAUUUUAUUGAAAAAUGCUGGGGCCAUCAAAAAACUGUUUAAUCUUGUCCUGUGGGAUUUAUAGUCAGUGAAAGAGAGAUAAAAGUUGACCUAGACAAAUUUGAGCCAUUAAGAACUUAUCCUCUCUAAAGACCAAAAAUAGGUUCGAAGCUUUUUAGGUAGAUUAAACUAUAUUUUUUUUAUUUAUUUCUUAACUCACCCUUAAAUGUGAUCCCAUCUUUAAGCUUUUCCAAAAGAAUGAUCUCGAUCAAUAGAAUGAGAAAUACCAAAAAGCUUUUGACAAGGUCAAGCAAUACUUAUCAAAUCCUUCAAUAUUAAUGCCACCUAUUUCAGAAAAGCCAUUAAUUCUAUAUAUAGUGGUAUACGAAAAGUCAAUGGGAUGUGUGUUAGAGUAACAAAAUAAUUUCAACAAGAAAGAAAAAGCUAUUUACUACUUGAGUAAAAAGUUUACGAAAUAUAAGUCCAAGUAUUCAUCACUCAAAAAGAUGUGUUAUGCUUUAAAAGACUCAGGCAAUACAUGUUAUACCAUACAACUUGGCUCAUAGCUAAACUAGAUCCAAUCAAAUAUAUCUUCAAGAAGCCAUCGCUAUCAGAAAGAAUCGCAAGAUGAAAAAUGAUGCUCUCAGAAUACGACACAGUAUAUGUAAGUUAAAAAGUAAUUAAAUGAAGCAUCAUUGCUAAAUUCCUCGUGGAUCAGGCUACUAAAGAUUAUGAACCUAUGAAACUAGAUUUUUUAAAUGAAGAAUUAAUGGCCAUUUCAAGAGUAGAAGAAGAUAAAAAUGAAGAAUGAACAUGGAAAAUGUAUUUCAACGGUGCUACCAAUGCCAUGGGGCAUAAGAUUAGAAUAGUAUUAAUAUCCCUAACAGAAUAUUACUACCUUAUGAUAGCAAGAUUAAAUUUCAACUACGUUAAUAAUGUGGCUGAAUAUGAAGCUUGUGUUAUAGGAUUGCAUGCUGCUUUAGACAAAAGAAUUAAGACAUUAAAGACAUUGAAGAUUCAGUCUUGGUUAUCUAUCAACUAAAGGGUGAAGGAAGAUAAGGGAUUCAAAACUCAUCCAUUACCACAAAUACAUCUUAAAGUUAUCUAAGCAAUUUUAGAGCAUCCAACUUGAACAUUUGCUUGAUAAAGAUAAUCAGAUAGUAGAUGCUUCGGUAACUCUAGCUAUAAUGAUGCAAAUUGAUGAUACCAUUAAAAUUCAACCCAUCAAAUUAGAUGUGAAAAAUACAUUGACGUAUUAUGCCGACCUGGAAGAAAAAGAAGAUGGUAAUCAUUGGUAUCACAAUAUUAUGCAAUAUCUAAGGAAUCAACAGUACACAAAUAAGCAAUAAAAAAUGAUAAAAGACUCCUAAAAAGAUUGGCUAUGGGAUUCUUUUUAAAUGGAAAAGUUUUGUAUAAGAGAAGUAGAGAACAAGUAUCACUACGUUGCAUAAGUGCUUCUAAGCCAAAAAGAUUAUUGGGGAAGUCCAUGAUGGCAUAUAUGGUGCACAUACAAAUGGAUACAUGAUGGCUAGAUAGAUCAUGCAAGUUAGAUAUUAUUGGUUGACAAUAAAAAAAUAUUACAUUGAUUAUGUUCGAAAAUGUCACAAGUGCCAAAUUUAUGCUAAUAAAAUUCAUGUCCCACCUACUACUCUACAUGUUAUGGCACCAAUUUAACCAUUUUCUACAUGGGAAAUGGUUGUCAUUGGUCUCAUUACCUUAAAGGCCUCAAACAAAAAUAGAUUCAUUUUUGUGAUGAUCGAUUAUUUCACUAAAUAGGUUGAAGCUACUUUUUUCAUAACUGUGACUAGAUCAGUGGUUUGCAAAUUCAUCAAAAGAGAGAUAAUCUAUAGAUAUGGACUCUUGUAGAGGAUCAUUUCAGAAAAUGCAAAAAACUUCAAUAGCAAAAUAAUGCUAGAAAUAUACGCUCAGUUCAAGAUUAAGCAUCAUAAUUCAGCUCCAUAUUGUCCAAAAAUGAAUGAAGCAGUGAAAGCUGCAAAUAAGAAUAGCAAAAGGAUUCUGAAAAAGAUAACCAAAAUAUAUAAAGACUAGCAUGAAAAAUUGUAUUUUGCUCUACAUGCUUAUCAAAUAUCUGUACGUACUUCCAUCAAGGUAACUCUAUUUUUCCUAGUCUACGGAAUGGAAGCUAUACUGCCGGUAGAGGUAAAAAUCCUAUCUUUAAGAGUCUUAAAAGAAAUGGGAUUAGAAAAAGCAAAAUGGAUUCGGGAGCGCUAAAAGUAAUUGAACUUUAUUGAACAAAAAAGACUGACAGCACUCUACCACAGCUAGCUAUACCAAAUGAGAAUGAUGAGAGCUCAUGACAUAAAGGUCUAACUUCAUCAAUUUCAAGAAAGAGAGUUGGUAUUGAAAAGAAUUCUUUCAAGCCAACAUGAUGAUAAAGGGAAAUGAACUCCAAAUUAGGAAGGAACAUAUGUUACAAAAAGAGUUUUUUCAGGAAGAGCCUUAAUCUUGUCAGAAAUGGAUGGAAAUGAGCUUCCUAAUCCUAUUAAUUUUGACGUUGUGAAGAAAUACUUCACUUGAACUAAAAAAAAAAAAAACAAAAAGUUUAAGUUGAAAACCUAAAAAGGUAGCUUGAACCAAAAAAGAAAAAUAAAAUUCAAGUUGAAAACUCGAAAAGGGUAGCUUAAACUAAAAAAAAAAAAAAGUUCAAGUUGAAAACCCCAAAAGGUGACUUAAAUGAGAGAAACUCGAAUGAGUAAAAUAUGAAAUCACUUGAAAAGCAUAACAGAUACAGUGAAUUUUAAAGAGUUUGAAGGUGUUGGGGCAUUAUGUUUUGGUUGAAUUUUUGAAGAAAUCCAAGAUUUAUUGUCAUGAUUACCUGAUUACUUAUAUUGGGGCAUCAUUAUUCUAAAUAGCUAUCCCUAUACACCUUCAUCUUGUUCCCAGCCAUCAUUUUUAAUUUAUUAUUUAUCCAAAUAAAUGAUAUUUGUCUUAUUCUCCACUUUUGAUAUAUAUUUUUCCUUUUUCUUUAUGCCUUACCAUGAAUAGAAGAAAUGCCUAACUUACAUCUCAUAUUUUGAAAUUUAGAUAAUGAUUAAUAAUUGAACAAAGUUAUAAAAAACUGUGUGUUACUUUGAGAAAAUUGAAAGAAAACAAGGACCAUGGAUGAACUCCUCUAAAUAAAAGAAAAAAAUCACUGAUUUUAAAAGCUUUCCUUCGAGUAAAUACUUGUUCAGGGUAAUAAAGGAUAGUUUUCUUGCCAAAGAUGUACAGAAAUAAGAAUACAGAUGAAAAUUGUGAAACCCUUAAUACCAUGAUGGAUGUCACAUUCGCAUCCUAGAUAGGGUAUACAUUCAUAUCAUUGUAUGAUCAUUCAUUACAGAUCCGAUCUUGAUCUAAGCCAAAUCAUAUUUAAACUUGCGACAUCGUCUCAGUCAUUAAUUUAUGACCUUGACUUUAUCUUGGUCGCUCUCAGACUCGCGGCAUCAUCUCAGUCAUCCGAUCUUGAUUCAGGUUAGAUCAUUUUAAGACUCGUGACAUCGUCCCAAUUAUUAAUCUAUGACCUCGACCCAAUUUUGAUCAUUCUCAAACUCGUAACAUCAUCCCAAUCAUCUGAUCUCGAUUCGAGUUGGAUCAUUUCAAGACUCACGACAUCGUCCUAAUUAAUAAUCUACGAUUCAGACUUGAUCUUGGUCACUUUUAGACUCGUGGCAUCAUCCCAAUCACUCGAUAUUGACUCAGGCCAGAUCAUUUUAAGACUCACGGCAUCGUCCGGGUCAUUCAUUUUUUAUCUUGAUUCGAUCUUGAUCACUUCUAGACUUGUGACAUCGUACCAAUCGUCCAAGCCAGAUUUAUGACAUCGUCUCAAUCAUUCAUCUUUGACCUUGACUCGGUCUUGGUCACUUACUGACUUACAGCAUUGUCCUAGUCAUUCAGCUUCGACUCGGUUCUGGUCAUUUUCCAACUCGCAGUUCAUUCCCAAUCAGUUUUACUUGUGAUUUGAUUCGAACAAAGUGGAUGUCUAGGUCUUUGCAUCAUCUCUGUCCAAUAGUGAUGUGCAAAAAUGGAUAGCUGUAGACACCCAUAUGUGGCCGAGGUCCAUCGCAUCAAUUUUUAUUAUUUGUUGCCACUACUUUUGCAUUACAAAACUAUUAUUAUGUUACUACUAUACUAUUAUUAUAUUAUUAUAAUAUUAUAUUAUAUUAUUAUUAUAGUAUGUUGAUAUUAUAUUACUAUUAUUAUAUUAGUAUUAUAUCAUAUUAUAGUAUAUUAUUAUAUUAUAUUAGGUUAUCAUAUUAUAGUUAUUAUUAUUAAUAUUAUUAUAUUUGAAAUUAUUAUUACUUUUAUUAUUUUUAUCAGAUUUUCUUUCCUUUUUCCUGAUCAGGGCUGAACAAAUUAUAGAAAUUGAAAUCUAAUCAAUCAGUCAAAGGCUUUAAUGCAGAAUCAUGUUUGGAUAAUGGUUGAAUUCAAUGGUGAUCAAAUCAGUGAACAAAAUCACACUCAGGCAAAAUCAAAUCCCAAAAUUCAAGCCUGGGAUUGAUUCCGUCCAUUUUCUAAAAUCUGUUCUAAGAGGGCCUAUAAAUUGAACAAGAAAUCAAAGGAAUGACAAAAAAAAAGUAGUGAAAAAGUUAGGGUUAUUAUUUUGGAAAUAAUUUUUAGGCAGUAAGGUUUUUGGAAAAUUUUGGUCUUCUGGGAUUUAGAUUCUUAGGAGUUCUGAGUUUGAUCUAGAGUUUCUAAGUUUAGAUUUGGGAUUCUAAGAUUAGGUUUAGAUUUCUGGAGGGAUUUUGGAGAAUUUGGGAAAAUAAUUUUUUUUUGUUUUGGAAAAUUUUGGAAUUCUAGAAAAACAUAUGAAGUUUUCGGUAGAAGUUUGAAGUUUUUAAUGAGAUUUUCAAAAAUUGGUGAAGUUUUCAGAUUCCAAUUAAAUCUCUAGAUAGGUUUUUAAAGAGAGGGGAGAGAGUUUUUGGGUAAGAGAGAGAGUGGGUCAAAGGUUUAUGAAACUAACCAUAAAGACUUAGCUUUUAUACUAGUCCAAAAUGACAAUGUUUUGAACACCUCAGAUCUUUUCAUCUACCCAACAACCCAUAUAAAGAUUCACGUGCAAACCCAACCCAUUUCACAGUUUUUUUUUUCUUUUUCAUUUUAUUUUUUCAUUUUAUUUUUUAUUUUUCUUUGCUUUAUUAAAUUUUUAUUUUAUUUUCAGUAUUUUUUUAUUUAAUUUUGCUAGUUUUCAAAAAAAAAAAAGAAAAAAAUUUUUUUUGAAAAAUAGAAAAAGCAAAGAAUAAAAAAAUAUAUUUUCAAAAAUUAAAAAAAAUAAGUUAAAGAAAAAAAACCUUUCAAAUAAGUUUAAAAAACAAAGAAAUAAGUCUAAAAAAGAAAUCUUUUUCAAAUAAAUUUAUGAAAUUCACUAAACUAUUCAGAAAUUUCAUAAAUUAGUUUUUUUUUUAAAGAAAAAAAAUAGAAUUUUUUCCUCUAAAUUAUUAAAGGAUUAUUUUUAAAUUAAGUCUUACCAAACUAUUUGAGGACUUAAUGAAAUUUACAAAAUUUUUAUAAAUCUUUUUACAAUAAAAUCUUAUCAAACUAUUGAGAGAUCUGUUUCAAAGUAAAUCCUACCAAACUAUUAUAAGAUUUUAAUAAUUUUUUUAAAUAAAAUAUUAUAAUAAAUUUGAUGAUAGAACCUCUUUAGAGUGGGGUAUUAGUCUCUAUGAAUACUCCUGAGGUGAGAGAAUUAUCUUAAAUUACUAUCAAACUAUUAGGACAAUUUUAAUUUUAAUUUUUAACAUUAAAUAAUUUGGUAAAUUACAAAUAUGAUCAAAACUUGAUUAAUCUGAAAUCAAACUAGUACUAUAUUUUAAAUGGGGGUGCUAUAACAUUUUUCACAUGUAAUCAUACUCUCGAAUUUAAAAUAUGAUUUAGCAUAUCAAAAUCUGUUUUAGGUGGCCAAUCACACCUAAACAAAAAGAUUGGUGGUGACUCCUCUAAUCCAUGUCUAAUGGUAAGUCAACGAAUCUAUACGUUAUGACAAGGGUUUUUGAAUUUUUGGUUUUAUUUUAUUUUUUGAGAUUUUUUGCCUUGGUUUUUUUUUUUUUUUUGGAAUUGGGAUUCAAUCUCUUGUUUGAUUGGAUUUCUAUUAGGUUUCUAAGGAUUUUGGAUUCAAGUUUUUGAAUUUUUUUUAGAUUUUUUGAAAUUUUCUUUGAAUUUUCCUAUAAGGGGUUGAAGUUCCUAGCAACUAGCGUUAAAAAUCUCACUAGCUUCUAAAAUUUUUUCGCUAGAUUCUGGGUAACGUUGAAUUUACCGUUUGAAUGUUAGAAAAAGAAACAGAGAAAAAACGGUGUUAAAGAGAAAAGAUUCCAAUGGUUCUGAAAUGAAAAGAGGAGAUUUAGGGGUUUCUAUUCUUGUAUAAAACAACACUAUUUUUUGGAUUCAUAAAAACUUGGGAUCCGUGCAUUUUGCCACAUUCCAACCCAACCACUAGUAUGAUCUAUUCUUCAACCCGAAUUUCUUUUUUGCUUUAAGUCGAGCCAUGCCCUAGUUGAGUGUUAGUCACGUCGAUCCCUGUGCUUGCAGCUACAUUCUUCAGUUGCUAAGCCAAGUCGACUCGAGGUAUUUUUUAUAUGCUUAUCUUAUUUGUUUGUUUUAUUUAUUUAUUUAUUUAUUUAUUCAUUUAUUUAUCUACUUGUUUUUUAAAAUACCUUUACAAAAUCAUAUUUAAAUAAAAAAGCCUUACUAAUAGAUUGCAGAGCUAAUAUUUUAUUUUCAAAAUAAAGUUUUAUCAACAUAUUAGAAUGCUUUACAAAUUUUAAUUUAAAAAAAUAAUUUUUAAGAAAAGCUUUACCAAUUUAUUGAAGGGCCAAUAUUUUAUUUUCAAAAAUAAGAUUUUAUCAAUAUAUUGGAAAGUCUUAUAAUUUUUUAUAAUUUUGAAUAAAAUAAAAUAAAAUAAUAUUUUUUUUCAUAAAAUCCUACAAAUAUAUUGGAGGAUAAUUUUUUAUAGAAAAUCUUACCAACGUAUUGAAAGAUAUUUUUUACCAUAAAUUAGGUUUAUAAAAAUUUACUUCUACAAGCAAAAUUAAAUGAAUCUGAUGGUGAAACUUUUUUAAACCGUGACAAAUAGUCUCAUUGAAUACUCUUAAAGUGAGAAAAAUUUCUAAAUUAUUACCAACAUAUUGGAGUAAUUUAAAGAAAAUUUCUAAUGUUAAAAUUAUUUGGUAAAAUUAUAAAUAUAUUUUAAGGCUUGAAUAACUUAGAAUCAAAUUAAUACCAUCUUUUAUAUGAGCGCUGUAAGGGAUAUAAUAUUUCUUACAUGUAAUCAUACUCUCGAACCUAAACUUUGGUUUCAUAGACUAGAAUCUACUAUUUAAAGAUACUUAAGUUAAUCUUGGGAUUCUUUUUUAAAUAGGACAAAUUUAGUCAGGUGGCUAAUCACAUCUAAAAAAAAAGAUUAGUGGUGACUCAUUUAAUCUAUGUCUAGUGAUAAAUCCACAGAGCUAUUCAUUAUGAUAAAACUCAAAUCUCAACAUUUACAACUAUUUUUCAUAUUCUCAAAUAGUCUCCUUAAUUAAAAAAAAAAAAAAGUAGUCUAAAGAAAAAAUUAAGUAUGCUUAAUUUGUUUGAAUUGUUAAGUUACUUUGUUCUAAGUUUUAAAAUUUUUAACUUCUUUUCGUAUAUGUUAAGAUUUUAGGUUAUAUAAUCAAAGACAAGUAAUUUAUGUUCAUAUUUCAUAUAAAAAUCAUUUUUGAUUUAUAAGAUUUAAAUUUAAAUUAUAAUUUCAAAUUCUUUCUAAUAAUUAGAUAAUGUAAAAUCAAGAUAUAUUUAAAUUUAUGCUUUAUUCUUAUUAUUAACUUCUUUAUUAUUAGAAUAAUUAAUCUAUAUAAGUAUAUGCCAUAUAUAUUCAUAUCGAUAAUAUCUUUUAUAAAAACAAGAAAAAUUAUCAUCAAAGAAGAAUCAAAGCAUGUGCAAGGAAUAUUGAACAUAACAAUUUGCCUAGUACAAACAGUUAGAGAAGCAUUUCUAAAAUACAACAUGUAUAGGGUUUAAAAGAAUAAAACUUUGACAAAUAGGUUUGGUUUUUGUUUUAAUAAUUAUAUUUAUUUAUUUUGCGGACAAGUACAUGUAAAAAGUGAGAUAUGUUAAUUUAAAAUUUAAUUCAAUUAAUUUUUAAAAUUAUUUUUAAAAAAUAAUAUUCGAUUAAAAUUUAAAUCUCAAUACUUAUAUUUUUUUUCUUUUAUUUCAAAUAACUUUUUUUAAAAAGAAAAAAUGAGUCAUGUGCAUUUUUUUUGUUGGCUUUUUAUCAUUUGUUAAUCUAUCUUUGGUCGAACUUUUCUAUAGUAUACUAUUAAUUUAAUAACCAUCACUUCGCUUAAAUAAUCUUAACCUUACAAUUAAAGAGGUAAAACAUUUCCAUUGAUAAGAACUUACUUAAGAAACUUCUUGGUCAAGAAAAUAGUAAUCUCAAAUGUUAAUCAUGAAAUUAAAUCAUUAAUCCUACUAUAUAAUUCGUCCAAUAUGAUCUAAUCUGAUUGGAACAUAUAUCUAAAUUUAAGUAUAUGUGCAAAAAAAAAUAAGCAAAUGAUUCUUAAGUGAUGAAAAAACUUAUGUAAUUUAAAACUUAACUCUGUUAAUUCAUGCAUAUAGUUUUUUUUUAGAUGAUAUUUAAUAAAUUUGAUAUUCAAAUUUUAAUACUUUUUUUCAUUUCAAAGCUACAAUCUUCUUUUAUAACAACAAAAAAAAAAAAACUAAAAAUAAUCUGUUAUCUGUAACUUUAAACUGAUGAAUUUAAAUUGCUAAGACUUUGCAGUCAUAUUUUCAUUGGCAAAGUUUAUUUACAUUUAUUUCAAAAGUAGAGAAAAAAAGGCCAUUUGGCCUAACAAUCAAUAUCCUUUUGAGCAACUUCGCAAUAGAUAAGCAUUGGCCCCCGAUCUGCCCAACAACUAAUCUACUGAGGAACUGGCAGAGCUUGAGGCAAGGCUUGGUUUGAUGCUGAAAUCGUUUGCAGUUUGCAGUCAACAGAGAUUAAUUGAGCAGAGUUAUCAUUAUUUUCCUCAACAGAAAUCAUGUUGAUUAUUUGUAGCAAAACACGCUCGAGCUCUUCACCAUCACUCCAUUCAUGAAUCUCAGCCUUGAUGAGCAAAGGGUUCCUGCAAAUUAAAUCCCAGACUGGAAAAUUCUUCCUUGGCAUCAUGUAGUCUGCUUAAGGCUUGGGCAGUAAUCUCCGGCACCAUCUCCUAGGUAGAUGAUUUUUUUCUUCCCCUCUAAGAAUCCUUUCAAUGAUCAUCCCCUGCUACACAAAGCAGAAGCCAAAAUUAAAAUUUUUGACAUCUUAUUUCAUGAUUUUCAUUAAAUUUAUAUGAUUGUUGACCCAUGUCAAUAUCUUGGGUUUCGUUUAUGUCCUUAUACGAGGCAUUACUUUAACAGAAUAAGUGGGAUCAAGAAAAGAACUUGAAAUAUCUAAAAUGAGGAGAUUUAAAAAAUAAAGAAAUAAAAAAAACCUCCAAGCUAGUUGGAUGAAAUUGACUAUGUACGUGUGGAAUACCAUCAAGUGAUAAAAUUUUCUAGAAAUUUUCACUUAUAUGAAAAAUCUAGGUCUUCCUACAAAACUUUGGUGUCUUGAUUUAAAAUAUUUACAAUUGUGAUAUUAAUGAAAUUAAAGCUCAUGUUACUGAUGAAAAAGAUAUGAUACCUUGCACAUAUUUGGAGGACAGAGGUUGCAGCCGUGGGAACUCUUUGUGAAAUCAUGGUAAGGGAUGAUCCUCAGCCUCCCUUCUUCAUCAACAAAGCUGGGGUUGUGUUGAUCUCUGAGAAAUAUUUCCUUAAUCCAAGAUGUUCCAGAAUUGUCUCAAUGAAGAACAUGUUCGCAUCACUCACAAUCCUGAGUUCACACCUGAAAAAAUAUUCAAACCAAUUUGAUCACCUUAAAUUUCUAUUGCUUCAAACUGUAGUUUUUAUAGUCACAGGUCAAAUACCAAGAGGAGAAGCAUAGAAAAAAAAGAGUACCCUAAAGAAUGAGCUGAUUUAAUAGCGGGGACGAUCCUAGGAUGGAUAGGAGCUAUUUUCAGAACCUCAGCAAUGUCAUCAAUGGUUUUUCCCUGGGCAUGAAGCUCCUUCAUCAUCCUGUCUGUAAUUUUAUACCACAAACACUGAGUUUCAAUUUUUACUAAUGUAAAGCCAACAGAAAGAGAAAUUGUAGAGGGCUUAAUACGGGUUACCAUGAGAGAAUUCCAGGGCAUGGUAGGAAGAAGCUGGUUGAACAAGUCGGUGAAACCCAAGUCAUCGACAACCCAGUUAUCACUAUCACCGUCGAUGAUGGUUUUGUCAAAAUCAAAAACCACAACAAUUCCAGCCAUCUCUCUGAAUGAAAAUCAAACAAAAGACAAAACAAGAAUGGAAAAACUCGACAACUCUUUGAAUGUUGUUUUCUUGGUAUAGAAUCACGUAACAGGGGAGGGGUAUUUAUAUGCAGAAAAAUGUUAUUAGGUUUAAACAAUGAAUUUUUUUAUGCCAAAGGAAUAUUACGUGAAGGGGUUAUAAGGUGUAAGUAGGAAGCACCAAGCAGGCCACAAAAAGCCGUUUUUCCUGCAAGCUUCCUACGCAACACAUACUAAUCUGAUACAACUGCUUGUAAAUUAUUUCUCUGGUAUAAGCAAUAUUAACCGUUUGAUGGAUGACUUUUGAACCAGUGAUCAAUCAAGUUUAGUCAGCGGAUCAGGGGUAAAAGGGUGUCGGUUAAUUAUGAAAGGGAUUAGGUUUUAGGUUUAAGGUUUAAGGUUUAUCAAACUCCUCUCCAUUGCUUCAUUCGCAUACUUGUGCCUUUACUAGCCUCCUGUUUUUGCAAAUCAAAUCCCAAACUGGGAAAUUCUUCCUUGUCAUUAUAUAGGCCCCAUCUCCCAGCUUCAAACUUGGACAGGAAUCGCCAAGCCCAUAGCCGAGGUAGAUUAUUGUUUUCUUCUCCUCCACGAGCAUGAGAGAGACUUGGAUCCUUUCAGUCACAAUACCCCAUUAAGAAAAGAGUUCAAUCAUUAGUCAAUAGGAUGGGAAGAAAAUGAAGAUAACUUAAAAAUAAUUAGUAGCAUAUAAUUAUAUAUCUUACAGCUAAUCAUGCUUUGGAUUCAUUACGUGUACUAAACAUUAGAAUUCAGUCAAGGAUGCAUAUGGUAUAAUCGGGUAUUCAUGUACGCCUCCAAAGAUUCGAAAACAAAAGAUGUUUUCUUUGGACGCCUUCAAAUUUUGUUUUGGAGACCUUCAAAUUUUUCUUUUGAACAUAUCUUUCUUAAUUCCUUAUUCCUUAAUCCUUCACUUACUGCCACUAUCUAAUAUCCAAUCACAUCUCACAGCCAGUUAAUGCCCAACACCUAGUAAACAUCCACUAAUAAAUGGACACCUCCAUAAAAAUAUCUUGCAUCUGCUACCGUUAGAAUUCAGUCAUAUUUGAUGCAUGCAUGCAUGGUUCACGUUGUUAGUAACUAGUAUGAUUUUCAAGUUAAAAAUGACAUACCUUGCACAUGUUUGGAAGGCAGGGAUGAUGACAUCCAUGAGUAGAUUGAGUGAAAUCAUGGUGAGGCAAGAUCCUUAGCCUGCCUUCUUCAUUUACGAAACCUGGGUUGGUAUUGAUCUCUGAAAAGCAUUCCCUCAGGCCAUGAUGCUUCAAAAUUGUGUCGAUGAAGAACACCUUCGCAUCGCAUACAAUCUUCGAAUCACACCUGAAAUUAAUAAUGCCAUACGACUUUUUUCUUUUCUUUUUUUUUUUUCGAGCGAGAAAACCAGAAAGAAAAAUUAAAUAUACAUGCCGGCAGGACUGAAGUUGGCAAGAAGGAAACUCCUAAAGCUAAGAAAUGUUGCCAGAGAGCUUAUUAAGUGUAUGGUCCUUUAAUUACUUCUUGCACAGAGGAAUAAUAUCACAGGCUGCAACCCCUCAGAAUGCAACUGUGGCAUCUGCUCUCUCAACAGACGAUUGGACUCAAUAUCUCGCUACUUCUCUACAGAUGAGGGAUAUGCAGCAGAUGUUGGCUGGUCUGACCUUCACCGAAGAAGAAGAUGUUGUUGGCUGGCAUCAAAGUCCGGCAAGUUCAUACUUUCAAAUACAUGGGACUGGAUCAGGUAUAGGCAACCCACUGUGGUUUGGCAUAAAUUGGUCUGGAUUCCUCUUCACUCCCUAAACAUAGUUUUAUCGCUUGGCUUGAGGUUCUUAAUAGAUUAAGCACAGUAGCUAAUAUUAGGAGUUAGUGUACUCAAAUGUCAAAAAUCACUUGCUGCUUUUGUGAUAAAGAGGAGGAGACUAAGAAUCAUCUUUUCUUUUCUUGUGACUUCUCAAAGCAAGUUUGGCAAUUAGUUUUAGCAAAAGUGAAGUGUGUUUUUGAUUGCAACAUCCAAAAGUGGCAGCAGGAGCUUGAUUGGAUUAUUCGGCAUACCAGAGGUAAAACUUUUAAGAUUGUAAUUUUGAGAGGAGCGUGAACAACAAGUAUAAAUAUAUCACAUAUGCCAUGCGAGGGAUUCUCCAUAACUUGGCAUUUGUUCUCCAAACGUUGACAAAUACUUUCCCAGACAUUAGUUUUAAUGUAAAGUUUUGCGUUUUAAAAUUUGUAAAAAGAUAUGAAUAAUCCAUCUAUUAGCUCUGUAUGUAAAAAAUUAAAGGAUUGUAUAGGAAAUGCUAAGGCUUAUUCUUUGAUUUGUGGACUGGUAGCCUCCUACUUCUUUGGACCAAUGAAAUACCAUUUAUGACAAAAAAAAAAAAACGAAAAUAUACACGAACAGAGAGAAAAAUGUAUACAUAGCCCAAAGCAUGAGCGAUUUAAUGGCUUGGAUGAUUCGGGGAUGUAUUGGAGUUGUUUUUAGAACAGCUAUAAUGUCAUCAAUUUUUGUUCCAUGUGAAUGAAGUUCUUUCAUUAUUAGAACCUGUUUUGUACAUAAAAAAAUUAAGCCCUGGUUCUUAAGUUUGGAAAAGAAGGAAAAAGAAAAACAAAUAAAUUAAAAGACUAACCAUAAAAGAGUUUCAAGGCAUGGUAGGGAGGAAUUGAUUGACCAACCAUGUAGCACGUCUGAGAUAUAUGAAACUUGGAAUUCAGGUUAAUUGAUUUAUAAAAUUAUUUUUAAGAGAUGAUAUCUAACUGAAACUCAAAUUUCAAUAUUUACAAUUAUUUUUCAUAUUUUCAAAUGGUCUUCUUAAUUAAAAAAUAAUCUGUAGUAAAAAAAUUAUGUACGCUUAAUUUGUUUGAAUUGAUAAGUUCUUUUGUUAUAAGUUUUAAAAUUUAUAAUUUUUUCUUUUAUAUGUUCAGAUUUUAAGUUAUAUAAUCAGAGACAAGUAAUUUGCAAUCAUAUUACAUAUAAAAAUUAUUUCUGGUUUAUAAGAUUUAAAUUUAAAUUACAGUUUCAAAUUCUUUCUAAUAAUUAGAUCAUGUAAAAUUAAGAUAUAUUAAAUUUAUGUUUUAUUCUGAUUCUUAACCUCUUUAUUAUUAGAAUAAUUAAUCUAUAUAAGUAUAUAUCAUAAAUAUUCAUAUCCUCAAUGUCUUUUAUACAAGUGAGAAAAAUUCUCGUCAAAGAAGAAUCAAAGCAUGUGCAAGGAAUAUUGAAUAUUGAACCUUUGGAAUUUGCCUAGUACAAUCAGAUAGAGAAGCAUUUCUAGAAAGCUGUAUAACAUGUAUAGGGUUUAAAAGAAUAAAACUUUUGACAUAUAGGUUCGGUUUUUGUUUUAAUAAUUAUAUUUAUUUAUGCUACAAUCUAGUACUUGCAAAAAAGAAAUUUAUUUUAAUUGAUUUAUGAAAUUAUUUUUAAAAAUAAUAUUUUAUUAAAAUUUAAAUCUCAAUACUUAUAUUUUAUUUUUUUAUUCCAAGUAACUUCUUUUUAAAUAAAAAGAGUCAUUUGGAAAUUUGUUUAGACUUUUUAUGAUUUGUUAAUCUACCUUUGGUCCAACCUUUCUAUAGUAUAUUAUUAAUUUAAUAAUCACCCCUCGGCUUAACUAAUCUUAACCUUGCAAUUAAACAGUAAAACUUUUCCAUUGAUAGGAACUUCCUUAAGUAACUUUUUGGUCAUGGAAAUAGCAAUCUCCAUAUUGAAAUGUUAAUCAUGAAAUUAAAUCAUUAAUCUUAUUACAUAAUUCGCCUAAUAUAAACUAAUUUUAUUGGAAUAUAUAUCUAAAUUUGAGUAUAUAUGCAAAAAAAAAAAAAAGAUAAAUGAUUUUUAAAUGACGAAAAAAAUAAAAUAAUCUUUUAAUUCAAAAUUUAAUUCUAUUAAUUUAUGCAUAUAAUUAUAUUUAAAAAAUAAUAUUUAAUAAAUUUAAGAUUUAAAACACGGCACCUUCUCCCAUUCCAAAGUUACUAGCUCUUUUGUAAAAAUAAUAAUAAUAAUCUGUUCCUCGUAAUUUUAAACUGAUGAAUUUAAUUUGAUAAGAUUUUGCGAUCAUAUUUUCAUUGAAAAAGUUUAUUUACUUUUAUUUCAAAAGUAGAGGGCAAAAAAAAGGCCAUUUGGCCUAACAAUCAAUAUCCUUUUGAGCAACUUCGCAUUAGAUGAGCAUUGGCCUCCGAUCUGCCCAACAACUAAUCUACUGAGGAACUGGCAGAGCUUGAGGCAAGGCUUGGUUUGAUGCUGAAAUCGUUUGCAGUUUGCAGUCAACAGAGAUUAAUUGAGCAGAUUUAUCAUUAUUUUCCUCAACAGAAAUCAUGUUGAUUAUUUGUAGCAAAACACGCUCGAGCUCUUCACCAUCACUCCAUUCAUGAAUCUCAGCCUUGAUGAGCAAAGGGUUCCUGCAAAUUAAAUCCCAGACUGGAAAAUUCUUCCUUGGCAUCAUAUAGUCUGCUUCUCCAAGCCUUAGACUCGGGCAGUAAUCACCGGCACCAUCUCCAAGGUAGAUGAUGUUUUUCUUCCCCUCUAAAGAAGCUUGAAUCCUUUCAAUGAUCAUCCCC
This 112832-nucleotide long non-coding RNA is filed under the name Durio zibethinus. RNAcentral describes it as "long non-coding RNA (DZIB_LNC001604)". Lineage: Eukaryota; Viridiplantae; Streptophyta; Magnoliopsida; Malvales; Malvaceae. The record is from RNAcentral.